RNAcentral lists this long non-coding RNA (91009 nucleotides) under Citrus maxima (pomelo). RNAcentral's name for it is "long non-coding RNA (CMAX_LNC001527)". The stretch from base 80696 to 80857 matches the Rfam family "U1 spliceosomal RNA". Lineage: Eukaryota; Viridiplantae; Streptophyta; Magnoliopsida; Sapindales; Rutaceae. The record is from RNAcentral.
GAAAUGAAAAGAAUACUAUAACUAAUAAAUCUAUAAAUCUCAUUUCCAUGAUGACAUUAUAGCAGUGGGUUACCAACCCCAAUUGAAUUAUAUAUAUAUAUUUACUCGAAAAUUAGGUUAGAGGGUAAACUGAUUACACAAAUUCUAUAGAAAAAUGGCCAAAAAGGCUGCCUUUUGCCUCUGUAUAUGUGAGCUAACUUUUAACUAGUAUUCUCUUCCAGAUAAUUCAUCCAUAUACAACUCUGCAAAUCACAAGAAUCCUUCACGAAAUGGCCGCCAAUCCAAUAGAUUUCCCCUCUUCAGUUUCUGUUUUCUGGUCUUGCUGAAAAGAGAAUGCAACAGACUAGUAAGUAGACUACAUUUGAAGAAUUGCAGAUUCGCUUGAAUUGAAAAUAAAAAUUAAGGCAUUUAUUAAAAUGGCUUCUAGAACAGCUUAAGGGGUAGUAUGGGCAGAUUAGUAAAAGGAUGGAAGAGAAAUUAUGCAAGAAUGCUUACUUGAAACAUUUGUGAUAACAUUAACACUUUUCUGAGCAGCAAGAGCUUUCAACUUGUUCCCACUACCUAGUACAAGCAAGCUCCUCAUAUGUUGCUUUUGUUCCCUAGGACUAGCUGUCUUUGUUGUUUGGAUAUUCUCACUUCCUAUCUUUUGAAAAAGGGAAAAAAGAAAACUUGCUUAGCGACGCUUAAUUACUGCUGUUAAUAUUCUGGCCAUUUAACAAACUUAUGCCCAUCGUUUGGAAAACCAAAAAAAUACAAUUAUUUUUCCAAGAAUAUAAGCAUGAAGAAAACUGAAACUAAGAAUGAAAUCUGAGAGGUUCAAAAGGCAUAUAUAUGAAUUAAAAUGAAGUUGAUUAUAAUAAGGGCUAAUAUCAUCAUUUGCAAAGCAAAAAAACCAAAAUAAGAAGCUAGUUUAGAGUUUCUUAUCAGCUAGCUCUAAAGAAAGACAAGUGCAGCAAAUUAAAGAUGGUUUUUUAAACCUCUCUAAUCUUAAACAUAAGUAGAUGAGGUGCCAAAUGCAUGGAUGGAUCCAGUACCGUAAGUAACAAGGCAGCUUCUUCUAAUUAAGCAUAUCGUCCCGUCUGGUUAUUUCCGUUUGCCAGAACGCAACCUCACCCAUGAUCACAUAAUUAUCCACCAACAAAACAAUCGUUGCCAAGGUCAUAAUCAAGCCAUCAUCAGACAGCCCGUGCUCUCCACGGACGGCAGCAGCUAUAACCUCGUGAUAAAUCCAUAACAUUUUCCAUCCAGAAACGAUGUGCGGGACCCAAAUCUGCACUACGAAAAGCACCACGAAAGAAGUUGAGCAACAAAGGUACGUAAAUCGAGAGAAGAAAAUAAUACACAUUGAUGCUUAAAGAGAGCAGAACGCCGGCCCGCCUGCUUUGUGUGCAGACAUGAGAUAAAGCUACUGCGUAUUGUUCCCAGUAAAAGAUCGAAGAAGCUGAUUCGAUUCUGAUGCUGAAUCCCCAGACCAAGACUAAGGUUGGAGCAAGGGUUGCUAUGCCUGCAUAUUCAGAGCCCAACACCUCCGCGAACAACAUCAUCCAGCUGUUUAAGUUUGUGAUGAGCAUCAUUGUUAACAAAGAUGACAUGUCGGGAAGAAGCUCAUGAUUGUGGGUUGGCCAAAUGGGCAUUUUCCCUUUUUCUAAAAUAUUUUUUUCCUCGGUACUGUAUGUAACUUGUCUGUUUGGCUUCUGGGAAAAUAAAUAUGAGAGGAGAAAGCGAUUGGAGAAAAUUUAGCUGAAUUACACGAUGAGGAUUGGAAUUGAGGGAGUCCAAACCAUGUGCUUCUACUCUGUUAGUGCACAAAAUGGGAAAUGGCAGAGAACUCAAAUUAAAGCUUCACAAAAUGGGAAACACCUAUCUAAUAUAAAGUGUUGGGUGGAAGUGACAAAUUAAGGAAUUUUGAAGGUCAUAGUCAAUUUAUAGACUUCAUUAAUUCCAAUAUCUUAUUAAUUUCUGACAUUGAAAAUUAACAUAUCGUAGACUUGUUGAGCUGUACAAAACUCGUUACUCAUUCCAGUCACUUUAUUUCUCAAAUUUAUGAUCUUUCAAAAAUCUUCUCAACUCCCACUGUUAUUGCCGGUUUUUCUGUUGAUCAAUUAAAAUUCAUUUCUUCUGUUUGAAUGCAGGCACAUUUAUUUUUCAUCAAUUUUUUUUAUUUACGCAUAUCUACAUUUUGAGUAAUUGUAAAAAAUUAUGUAUGGGAAUUAAGAAUUAUUGUUAUGUUAUUAACCAAACUCUCAAGAUUUAAAAUGCAGUGGAAAGUUUUGUAUGUUUCAAUAUUAUUUUUUUCAAUAUUUUUUGGAGAAACAAUUGUUCAAAAAAAGUAAAGUCAAAAAGCGAGAAACUUUUGCCAAAAAUUGAAAAUAAGACUUGUACUCCAAGUUAUUGCUAUACGCCCACACAUAACAUAUAUCUCUAGAAUAAAAUGAUGAAUGAGUAUGUAGAAGAUGAAAAAUUCAAGAACAGACCAAUAAGUCUAAAAGAAGAAAUAUUAAUUAGAUGUGAAGAUGAUCGGUAUGAACUUAACGUGUUAUUGGAUUGUUUGAAAUCUUGUAUUGUGAAGAUGGAUACAAUAUUGAAGCUAAUCAUGACAAUGAGUGAACAUGAUAAAAUAAUCAGCGUUCAAAACCAUUUGAGCAUUUUACAAUUUAAAUGCAUAGAGAAAUUGUAAGAUGGAUGGAGUGAUGAUGCCACAGAGGCAUUGAUUAAUCAAUUAAGGUUACUUGAUUUUAACCUAAAAAGACUUACUUGCCUUUUGAACUUUGUAACAGGCUAAUAUUUAUAUUUAAUUUUCUCCAUUAUUUUAGUAGUAUGUUUGUCUAUAUUGUUUAUCAUGAAUAUGGAUUUUAAAAUUUUAAGAACCUUGCUUUUAUAAUUAAAAAAAAAAGAGAAAAUAAAGAAAACAACGAACAACAGAAAUAGAUAACGAAUACAUAUUCUUUAAAAAAUUUUAAAUAAUUUAUAUCUAAAAAAAUAAUUAUGGGUAAUAUGAAAACAACGAACAACAGAAAUAGAUAACCACAUGCUUGUGUGGUAUUCACAAUACUGGCUUUUCCUUUGCCCGUGAGCAUCAGAGAUUCGAGUGAACAAGUUCACAAUUCACCUAAUUUGCCGAAUUUGAACCUGGUCAGAAUUAUGGGUAAUAUGAAAACGCUAAGAUUGUGUGCAGAAGAAUCACCGCAAAGUCUCCCUCCCUUUGUCCCCAUAUAUACCUUUCUAAGAUCUCUAUAUAACUAUACAAAUUUUGGACGUGUGGAAUUAGCAAAAGGAUCAGGUAAUAGAAGUUAUCAUGUAAAUGUAAAUAUGUGAAUGAAUUUGAGUGGUCAAUGUCGGUGUCAUAAUUCAUUAGGAAUCAACCUUUGGAGCCAACGGAGUUAUUCUCAGAUAUUUCAGUGUGGAUGGUACAAAUUGAAAUAGGUGUGGCCCAGUUAUUGAGAUUAUAGUCUGGUGCCGCUUGUGCAACAUAGUAAGAUCAUUUGGUUUUCAUCCCUGAAGAAAUUUUGGAAAUGAAAGGCUUGAUCCAUUCAAAGGUAUAAAUUAAAACUUGAAUUUGCAUAUGGCCAAUCACCUACGCGGGUACAUCAUCAUUUUCUGCUCCCCGCGCAUAUCGCCCAAAGUUGCAUCCAUUUUCACUGUGAACAGCUUUAACAAAGCAAGCAUGACACUGAACACAUGAUGCAAUUCUUAGCAUGCAAGAAGGCUGGUGGUUAUUAGAAUCAAUAAAGGUGUUUGGCAAAAGAGAAAGUGAAAGAAAACUUUAACUAAGAAAAUUCUUAUUGAUUAAAAUAUGGAAUUAUUCAUUAUGAUUGUGUUAACAACUAUUUAUAGUUACACUAAAAACUGAUUACAAAAGCAGAGCUCAAAGCUGCAACGUUAACGAACUAAUCAGCCUUCCAAUCAUAACGUGCCAGCUGGAUAAAUCGUUACAACUUAAUCAAAACCAAAUAACCACCCAAUCCAGCUCAGCAGCUCAGCACGUCAUCAGCCAGCUCAGCAGCUUUAGCUUAUACACUUAACAUCCCCCCUCAAGCUCAACCUGGUGUAGUCAGGGUGAGCUUGUCUUUCAGAUAAUGAAAAGGGUGAUAAGCUAAAGCUUUUGUAAGGAUAUCAGCUGAGUUAUGGGAACUGGGAACAUAACUAACUUGGAAGCUCUUAUUAGCAAUCUUUUCUAGCAAGAAAUGAACAUCAAGUUCUAUGUGUUUAGUUCGGGAGUGGAAUUUGGGAUUGCUUGCUAAGGCAGCAGCACUUUGGUUAUCACACCAAAUGACAAGAGUAGAGACAAGAGAAAUACCAAUUUCAGUCAGCAAGGACUUAAGCCACAAAACUUCAGAUGUAGCAAUUGCUAGAGCUCGAUACUCUGACUUAGUGCUAGACCUGGACACUACUCCUUGUUUCUUUGAACACCAAGAAAUCAUAUUAGGACCAAAGUAAACAUAAUAUUCAACAAUUGAUUUUCGAUCAUCUCUAUCAGCUGCCCAGUCUGCAUCACUGAAACAAUCUAUGUGUAAGGGACCUUGAUUAGAAUACUUUAAUACCAUAUGCAAUGUACCCUUUAGAUAUCUAAGAAUCCUUUUGCAUGCUUGCUAGUGAUUAUUUGUUGGUGCAGCUAGAAAUUGGCUGAGUUUGUUGAUUGGAAAUGCUAUCUCAGGUCUGGUCAAGGUAGCAUACUGAAGAUCUCCAAUUGUGCUUCUAUACAAAGUUGCAUCAACAAAGAAUUCAUUGUCAGUUUUGGUAAGUGGAACAUUGGCAGCCAUUGGACCUGUGUUUACACUUAUAAGUUACAUGGCCUGAAAUGAAAUAGAUUUGACACACAUCUUUUCCAGGACCAGUACUACUGUUCUGACUGUUAUCAUAAGCACUAAAAGUACCAGCACCUACAUUUUUUUGAUUAUAUCCAGAUCUAUUAUAACCUUGGCCAUUCUGAGCAAAAUUUGUUGUCAUAUCAUGCAGAGAUUCAUUAUGAGAUUUUCCUUUGCUCAUUUCCAACCUAGUUUCAUGACUAAGCAUCAUAGAAUACACCUCUUCAACAAUGAGUUUCUCUUUUUCCAGUCUAGUAAGUAUAUUUGUAACUAAAGACUCAUAGUUAUCAUCUAAUCCAGUAAGCAAGUGCAUAAUCAAUUCAUUUAAAGUAACUGAAUUACCUCUAAUGGCCAAACUAUCAGUAAUUUUCUUCAUCUUAUUAAAAUAAUCACUUACUGAGAGUGAUAUUUUCUUUGUUGAUUGAAGUUGCAUCUUCAAAGGCAGAUACCUCGCUUUAGAUUGUGACAUGAAGAUUUCGGCAAGUAUCUCCCAAAGCUCAAGUGAUGUUUCACAGUUGAUCACCAUGAUUAACACGUUAUCCACCAUUGACGAUAGCAUCCAGCUCUGCAGAAGCUUAUUGGUUUUCAUCCAUAAAGCAUAAUCUGGAUUUUUUUGUUUCUGUGAAGCUUCAGCUCUAGAUCUUCCAAGUUCUUGAGUUGAUUCAGUGAGAUAACGUUCUGGACACACAUUCUCACCAUUGAUAAAGCUUUCAAGUCCAUUAGCAAUGAUUGAUGUUCUAACUUGAGCCUUCCACACUAGAUAGUUUGAUAUGUCGAGCUUUACAGGUUGAACAAAGUGAAAUAAGAGUGAGGAGGAAGCUAUAUGAUUGGAUCCAGACAUAAGUGUUUGCUCUGAUACCAUAUUAGAAUCAAUAAAGGUGUUUGGCAAAAGAGAAAGUGAAAGAAAACUUUAACUGAGAAAACUCUUAUUGAUUAAAAUCUGGAAUUAUUCAUUAUGAUUGUGUUAACCACUAUUUAUAGUUACAUUGAAAACUGAUUACAAAAGCAAAGCUCAAAGCUGCAACGUUAACGAACUAAUCAGCCUUCCAAUCAUAACGUGCCAGCUGGAUAAAUCGUUACAACUUAAUCAAAACCAAAAAACCACCCAAGCCAGCUCAGCAGCUCAGCACGUCAUCAGCCAGCUCAGCAGCUUCAGCUUAUACACUUAACAGUGGUGCUGUUAACAUACAAGAGUUCCUUUAAACACUUCACUAGCUAAACCCCACCCCCCCCCCCCCCCUCCUGCCCCCGCGCCCGGGGGAGCCCAAAAAUGCUUGAGGGAAAUCCUACCAGGCCUUAACAUGGUUUCACCACUGUCAAAACCUGAAAUUUUGCAUAUGAUUGGAGUUUUUUUUUUUUUUCCUUUUUCAUAGAUAAUUUUUUUGAAUUCUUUGCUGCAUAAAUCCAAUUCAGUUUCUUUUAUUUCACCGGUGAAAUAUAAUAAAACAUAAGGCAAAAUAAAAUGUGUAUUCAGACUAGUUAACCAUGUACAAUCUUUCAAUAACCAAUAGUUCAUGCAGUGUAGAAGGAGAACAAAUGUUUGUAUUGGAUAAUCAAGAGCUGCUGCUGGACCUACCGUAAGUAAUAAUUUCUUGUAGUUUUAUCAUUGCCAGGACUUCAAAAUCUAAACUUCAAAACCUUAAACACGCUUUGCUUUUAUCUUCAACGGAGUGAAUGAACUGGAAUUGAUGGUCAAGUCAACGAGGUGUCACAUUUGAAAGAGUAACCUCAUUAACAGAGCAAACUUCGGCACCCGAUGAGAAUUGACCUGGCCUUGCAACAUUUCGGCCUACAGAAAAUGCAGGUUCGGUUGGUUGAGGAAGUGUUACAGUAUCGCUUGCUAACAUAACAACCACAGAAGACAUGGUAGGUCUGUCUGCUGAGUCUGCUUGAACACAUAAUAAUCCAAUAUGGAUAAAUUUCAAAAGUUCAGCAGCAACGCAUGACUGCUUGAGUACUGGGUCCAUCAGCUCCAAUGCUUCUCCUUCACACCAUAGCUUCCAUGUCUAUAAUAUUGUUAUACAGGUCAUAAACAAAGGUGAGACUCAAAAUCAUUGGAUAUUAUUCUUCAGAAAGAAAGAUAGAAAGUCACUUACAUAAGAAAGGAGGCUUUGACCAAGUUCAGAUAGAUAAAACCCAGUGUUCUUUUUCCCACUGAUGAUUUCUAGCAGUAGAACGCCAAAACUGAAAACAUCUGAUUUUACGGAAAAUAAUCCUUCCAUAGCAUACUCUGGGGCCAUGUAUCCACUGUUUGAAAACAGAACAACAUAAGAUCAAAUGCCAUAGAAAAGCUAAUGACCUAUGUGACCUCCGUAUUUUGAAUCUGGUGACAUGAUCAUGAGGUCACAUAUUCAAACCAAAUGCAAUAGAAUACUGUUAGCAAAUUAAUUAUUGGAAACAGAGAAAACAGAGAGAGAUGGGAAUGGAAUGCACUUACUAUGUUCCAACAAUUCUAUUGGUAUUAGCUUCACUUUGGUUUCCACCAAAUAUCCUAGCCAUCCCAAAGUCUGAUAUCUUCGGGUUCAUCUCAUGAUUGAGUAAAACAUUACUAGCUUUGAGAUCACGAUGAAUAAUUUUGAGUCGAGAGUCCUCAUGUAAAUACAAAAGACCCCGAGCAAUUCCAUUAAUGAUGCUUAUGCGUCGUUUCCAGUCCAGUUGUACACUCCUCGUUGAAUCUGAUAAUGAAUUAGACAGCAUUUAACCUGAUUAGCUACUUUGUCAUCUACUCUUCUAUGGAAAGGAAGCGGGGAAAAUAAUAGGAAAUGGAAAGACUUGGCUACAAUUGCCAUAGUGCCUAGUAGGGGGCAUAUAAUGUGCAAACCAUAUAACAGGGCCACUUCAAUUAUACAAGCUGGAAUUAAACAAAACAACCACAGGUUCUAUUUGCACAACUUAACAACUAGCAAUUAAGGAAAUAGAAAGUCUGAGAAACAAACCAAAGAGGAAGACAUCAAGGCUUUUAUUGGGCAUGUACUCAUAUAUAAGCAGUGAUUCAUUUUCCUCUAAGCAGCAGCCGAACAGCCUCACAAGAUUUUUAUGUUGCAAUUUGGCGAUUAGAGUAACUUCAUUCUUGAACUCUUGUAGGCCUUGCCCAGAUGUUCUUGAGAGCCUCUUCACUGCUAUUUCCUUGCCAUCUGCUAAUUUACCCUGCAAGCAACUUUCCAUUUAUUGUUACCGUGAAAGUUUUGUAUGCGUACGGAAAACGCAAGUUUCCGCUGACAUGAACUCAUUUCCAAAUACUGCAUUCGGUGAAUACUUAUGUAUAUUUAAACAAGCGUACAGUAAAAGUGGAUUGGUAUGAUUAAUAGUUGUUUUUUUAGGCAACUGUACUAAAGUGUUUAGUAAAUUAUUACUUGGAAACUAAGUUAAUUUAUACUAAAGUGUUUAGUAAAUUAUUACUUGGAAACUAAGUUAAUUUAUACUAAAGUGUUUAGUAAAUUAUUGCUUAGAAACUAAGUUAAUUUAAUCUCACAUUUGUAUGAUGAAAAAAUUAUAAUUUUUUUUUAUAAUUUUUGUCAAAAUUAUCAUUUAAAAAUCAUAUGUACUUUUCAAAAAUUUUAUUUUAUAAUUAUAAUUUUUUUUCUUUUUACAGUAAUUAUAACUUAAAUAAUAUAAUACCUUGAUAUGAAAUACGACCUUAAGCAUCCCUUUAUAAUUACCUUGUAAACAGCCCCAAAUCCGCCUUCUCCAAGCUUAUUUUCAUCAGAGAAAUGCUGCGUAGCUUCAACUGCGAGAUGUAACGGAAACAAAGGGAACUCUUGAGAUUCUUCCUGCUUCUGUCCUCGUAAAGCAUCAUACGUAUAGUCGUUGCCAAGUCUACCGUCUGCUAGAUGAAGCAGCCCUGUCUCUUGACUAUUUGCUUUCUCCUCUGCAAAACAACGGAUUAAUUAACUUCGUAAACUAUGAAUUAGAACAAGGGAGUGGUCGAGUUACCUUUGACCCUUUCCUUUCUUCUCUUUAUACACCGAAGUAAAAAACUAAAUAGCACAAGUACUAUAAUUGAUGAUACAGUGGCGCCGAUUGCAAUCCGUGUUCUGCUUUCCCUCGUUUUCUUCUUUCCCGAAUCUAACAUAUAGCCAAGUUAAAGAAUCUCUGAGGAAAACUCUUUCUACAUCUUAUGUUAUGUUUAAUUUAUAUAGAAUUAAGGAACCUGAGAUUUACGAACUCACCGUCGGAGCUACCAUUCUUCUUAUUAGGUGGAUAGAUGGGAGCCGUAGGGUCCUCAAAGAAAGGGUACAUCUCGUAUCUUAUGACACAACUUAGCGAAAGGGCUCUAACACCUUGCCUUCCGUAGCAGCAGGAUGAAAGUCGAGAAACAGUAGCGCGCAGGCAAAUAUUGCAGUCUGAUUUAGACAGAUAUGGUAUGCACUGCACUAGAGUCCAAAUUCUGUCAAUGCUAGAGACGUUAACUAUUUGGGCUGCAGCUGCAUAUUUUGAGUUAGAAUCCCUUGAGGUUACAUUUUGAAUUAGAUCACUGAAGGACUGAGCCAAAAUAUUAGAGAACUUAUAAGGGUCAGUAACGUUCAUUAUAUUCCGUAGGUAUACAGUUUCCGAUGUAUUUAGCGAAAAGGGAAAAGAAUUGUUAGAGAAGCGCACCAUACACUGAUCAUACCAUACAAUAGCCACCUUGGCGCCAGUACAAUUUUUCGCAAUGGUAUCGAAUGCAACUUGUAUGCAGUCUUGGCAUGCCUCAUAAGAAACGUCGAAUUUACAAUUGUAAAUACCAUAAACUUUGUCUGGGUAAUCCCCUUCAGUUGUCUCGUUGUAGAGAGAACGGCCACCUUCAUUGUAGAGCUUUUCCUUGAGUGUCGCAAGGUUAUACAUGAAUAUGUCGCCCGAAGCAGUAUUGUUUUCUCGUGGGCAGGCAUGGUAGAGAUAAUUAUUGGAGUCAAGUUUAGCCGCCUCUGACGAACUUUGUAACAGAACUAAAGAUAGAAAUGAAAAAAGGUGAAGCAGGUUAACUGUGCUUCUAGUUCUCGGGCCAAAUAAUACGAGCAGAAUCGGCAUCUUCCCCUUGCUCUUCAAUUCUGAAAAUUUUGAGUUCCAAUGUCAAGAGGCUGAAUUAAGGCACAAGCAUCCAACUAGAAGUAAACAGGAUUAAUGAUGAAUACAAGACGAGUUAACAUAUUAGAAAAGUCGUGGGUCACAUUUGAUGGUAAAAUUUCUUAUGUUGAAAAAUAAGAGAUUUUAGGUUCGAAUCCCAUUCACAUAACUUGUAUUGGGAUUGGAUUUUCAUUAAGCUAAAUAACCAAAGACCAAUGAAAUUGAAAAGUCAAACAAAAGACCAUUGGUGAAGUCUAAGAAACCAAGGAAGUCUGUACAACACGGAUCAUUGAUAGUUUCCUGGCAUCCUCGUAUUGGAGAUUAAGAACAGGAGGUGUUUUUUUUAAAAAAAAAAAACUUAAAUAGACCUAAUUAAUAAAGUUAAAUGUCUGAAUUUGAAUGAUAUAUUUAUCUUUUUUGUGUCUAAAUUCAUAUAAAUAAAUAUUAUUAUUUUUUAACUUAAAAAAUCUGAAAACUAAUAUUUUAAUAUUUGUACCUUUACAAAUUAUAAAUGUUAAACAAAUAAUAAAUGUCUCAAAGAAUAUAAAUAAGAUAAUAUAAUAUCAUAAUUUAAAUAAUUUUUAAUUAAAUACAAUCUUUUUAUAUUCUGAAUUCGUAUAUAUUAAUUAAUAUUAUUACAAUUAUGAUGUUUUUAUAUAAAAAAUAUUCAUAAAAAAUUAUAAAAUUAAAUAAUGAAACGACCAUAAAAAAGUCGUGCAUGUCUGUGGAGGCCCUACUUAAUUAAUUUUCAAAGACGCGGCCAGCCCAAACAGCACGGAAUUAGACUUAAGAAAGUCAUCUCUUUAGCAGGAAUUAUUAUUCGCCGGCGAACUUUAAUCAAAUGACCAGAUUCAAAACAAGAAAAAGAAACUCAAUCAAAUGAAAUUCUUAAAGUAAUAAUUAUACAACACAUUUUUCAGUGUUAAAAAUAAUUAUUAAUUAUCAAAUUACCAAAGCCUAUUACUUAUCCACGGAUUAAGAUGAUUACUUUGAAAAGUUUUGUUAUAUAUAUUUCACUGAUGAAUCUGACGGUGGAUGACAGUUUGAUUGGUACUUUCCUUUAGAGGGAGUGAGUUAGGAUGCACUUUUGCUUAGGACAAGUUGAAAGAAUCAUACAUAAACUUUGAAGCAUAAAUUAAACUAACUCCUGCUUAGGAGAAGUUAAGAUCGUGAAAGAAUUAUAUUAAGCUUUUAGACAUUAAUUAAACUAACUAUGAUCGAAUUCACCACAAAUGUAUAACAUAAUUUGUUGUGUAUAUAACUGUAUAACAUAGAUUAAAAAAAUUAACUUUUUUGUGUCUUUAGAACUAAUAGGUAUAUACCAUAAGAUAUUUCUUGAUAUCUCACACUAAGUAUUAUGAACUCAUAGUAGCUAAAGGUCGACAAUAAUAGAAGUCAAGGUCGACAAUAAUACAAGUCAAGUUUUCAUCUUAAUUUUUAAAAGAUUAAUAAAAUUUUACAUUACAGAAAACAAAUUGUUAUACUUUAUGUUAAUAUCAAUAAUUUACCUAUUGCAUAAAGUAUGAUAAUUUGAUAUUGCAUAAAUCUGUAAAGUAUAAUAAUUCACACAGGCAGUCACAUAUGUAACCCAUAUAUCAACAUUUUUCAAAAAAAUAAAAAAUAAAAAUCUAUAGAUCACCAUUCAAAAAAUAAAGAAGGAAAAAAUGAAUUUAAGAAAAUGAUUACGGUUUAAGUAAGUUAGGAGAGAAAAAUGGGAUUAAAAGAUAAAAAAUUAAAUGAGAUCUGUAUGACCCAAAGAUGUAAAGUUAUUUUUAUUUUAAAGGAGUAUUAAAGAAAAUGUUUUUUUUAGAAGGUUUAAAAGAAGGAAAGAGUUUAUAACAAUAGUUUAUUGAAAAAAUUAUAUGAUAAUAAUUUUACCAAUUAUAAAAUUUAUCUCCAAUAAAUAAGUGUUGAUGCCGAAGAACGAUCUCAACAACUGAAUUUGUUUCUUUUGGGGAAUUACAGCACGAAUCCAAGCUCAAACGCAAGUCUGAUCGUAACUUUCUAUACCUGCUAACCAGAAAACACGGUUAGGAUACGCCGGUGGGGUUCCGGCGUAGACCCUCCAAUGCUUAAGUCAGAAAUUAUGUAUAAAAAGAGAAAAAUGAGAAUGACGAAUAAUGAAUGAGUUAAAGUCGAGUAAUUUUCCGGUAGAGUGGCUGAAAAUCUUGUAUAAGCUUUGGUUCAUUUUGUUAACCCCUUCACCUGAUGCGCUCUUCAGUUUAAAUAGGCUCUUGGUUGUGCGCGGUUACCUCUUUAACUUUAACUAGAUGAAACAAUCGUGUCUCUUGACUAUUUGCUUUCUGCUCUGCAUAACAACGAAUUAAUUAACUUCGUAAACUAUGAAUAAGAACAAGGGAGUUGUUAAGUGAAUAAAAACACCAGCUCGGCCAUGUCAUCAACCCCACGCCGAAGUAGUCGAGUGGUACGAGCAGAACACUGGUAAUAAGCCUUCUACAAACAUGGGACGACCAGAAACAAGUACCAACCAUAAAAGUAUACCGACCAGAGACAUAUACCGAGCCGAUACCCAUCCCCCAGAGAGUGGGCACACGAUCCAGAACUAUUGAGGGGGAGGCGAGAUCCCACGUUUGCCCAAAGUAAAACAGUUAGAGUCCCACUAGGGGCUGCCGCUACCCGAAAAACAAGGGGAAGAAAGCAGUUAGAGUCACACUAGGGGUUGCCACUACCCGAGAAAAGGGGAAGGAAGGGAGAAGGAAAACGGGGGGAGAGCGGCUAUAAAAGGGGAAGAAGUCGAUGAAGGAGGGGACAGAAAAACCAAAGAGAGGGAGAAUACUGCCAAAUCGCAACCAAGGCCAUUUUCUUACAAACUCCGAAUAGAUUAAAAGUCGUUCUUGAAUCCAAAUUGACCCGUUUUCCCGUGAAACAUCUUGUGCUAACUUAGGCAUCGGAGGGUUUACGCCGGCAAAACUACCGGCGUCUCUUAUUCAUUUUUGGUGAAUGCAGGUCUAAUAAGAGAAAGGAGGGCGAUUCCAACCCCAGUGGUUCAAGCAGCAGCUGAUAACAUAAACGUUGGUGAAAGAAUCUGGUCGGUCCAAGAGCGAGCAGAUUUUAGCAUCAACAUUUUGGCGCCGUCUGUGGGGAGCUGAAUAAAAAGCUACCACCAAAUUAGUAGUUACCAGAGAAGCAUCGAACGGUUAGAUAUGGAUGUAUCAAAAAAGAAUGUUUUGAGGAAGGACAAUGAAACGGUGGAGACAAUCACUCUCCGGGAAAUUGCAAACGAAGCCCGAGAGAGGGUGAUGCAAGAUCGGCUGGAGCGAAUGGAGAAACAAAUGGAGACUCUCGCGGCCCUACUGGGAGAGCUGAGGGAUGAACGUAGAAGGGAUUGUGAAACCCCCGUGGGAAGAGAUGAAGUUGGAGUAGGACCCAGCCUCCGGAGGCAUAGGGUCGAGGAAAUCCCUCCGCCAGCAGACCAACCUAAUGGGGUUCAUCCCCACAAAAGUACAGGUCCGGUUCCAGCAGAACAGAUGGAUGAAGGGAGGGACCAACCUCACCCCGGACGGGUAUUUGAAAUUGAUGGCCGAGCAGCCAAUGCUGAUGAAGGAGAAUUAAGACAGCGGUUGCAUAACGCCAAGCAGGAACGAGAUCAGAUUGCUGCGCGUGAUCCUGAUCGAGCUGUAGAAUUGGAGGGAGAGGUGCGCAGAUUGGCACAGAUGAUGGAGGAGAUGCAGGGCAAGAGAAAGCCCCUGAGCUGGAGAAUAAUGUUAGAUGAAGAGUCUCUGUUAUCAAUCGAGAUCAUGGGUACCGUAAUCCCAAAAGACUUCCGCUUCUCCGACCUCAAAUACUCUGGGCGAAGUGACCCGCUAGUGCACAUCGAGCGUUUCAACGACAUGACGGGUGUGCAGGGGCUAACACCAGCUCAAAGGUGCAGGGUGUUCCCAUUGACCCUAGAAGGACGAGCCCGAGAGUGGAACUGAUGGGGAUGAAACAAGAGGAACAUGAAUCCCUUCGAGAUUUUGUAAAACGAUAUCACCGAGCCGUGUUGGAUCUGGGAGCUCUUAAUCACCCGCAGGCGUUGAGGGGAUUAAAAGAAGGUGUAAGAAUCGGCCGAUUGUGGUAUAACUUAAGAAGCCCCCUAGUACAGAAUUACUCAGCGGGGUAUGAGCAGGCGAGGCGAGAUAUAGAAAUCGAAGAGGAGAAAGCGGCAAGAAUAAAAAGUGAACAGCUGGAAGAGCUGAGGCGAAAGGAACGAAGAGCCCCGAACGGGAGCGGGUCGGGAAAGCGAGCUGGGGAAUCUUCAGUAAUGGGCGGAGUAUCAGCUCGGUCCCGCACUUACCCCAUAACUCCGAGAUCACAACAGCUCCAACACAGCCGGGCUCAACCUCCGCGCCCCCCGUUCCCAGAGCGACAGCGAGAAUUCAGGCAGAUGGCUGCCCACCAUUAUCAAAACACUCCCAGAGCGUUAAAUGCAACUAAUUCCAGGUCGGGACAACCAGAGCAGCUACCGGCUAUACCAGCCCGAGGUGACAUUCAUGAUAGCCGAGCAGUCCAAUUGGUUGACCAGAGUAUGACAUAUAGACAGUACACUCCAUUAAAAAUCUCCAUGGAAGAACUGUAUGAAAGGAUCGAGGGACGAGGCCUGCUGUACCCUUCAGCCCCUAUAAUAAAACCUGCUCACCGACGGGAUAAGAACAGAUUCUGCAAAUUCCACGACACUCACGGUCACACUAUCAGCCAAUGUCGUGACCUAAAGAUUCAGGUGGAGGAUUUAGUGAGGAACCGGUACUUGGAUAAGUAUGUAGAUGGAAUGUCCCCCGUCAUGGAAUCGCAAUACGCACAGGAUGAAGGAGUUGAGAGAGGUCUGGAACGAGAACAGCCGACCAUCCAUGUGAUUGCAGGAGGGCCAACGUUGGCCGAGGAUUUAAAUAGAGCACGAAAGAACUAUGGAAGAUACGCCAUGACUAGCAAAGAGGUGCUCCUCAAUUUGCCAGCAGCCAAGAGGGCAAAAGUACGGCAAGUUCCCAUUAUGUGGACAGAGGACGACGAAGAGGGCAUUUCAUAUCCUCAUGAGGAUGCACUGGUGAUUAGGGCAUUGGUGGCUAGCACAGAAUUGCGACGAAUACUGGUGGACACGGGCAGCUCAGUAGACAUUCUGUUUAAAUCGGCCCUAGAUAAUAUUGGGAUUUCAGACUUGAAGCUGGAGCGGACGAAUACAUCCUUGAAGGGAUUUGGAGGAGGACGGUUAACUCCCAUGGGAAUCAUCGAACUCCCGAUUACUGUGGGGUCAAAACCGUUUGAAAGAACGAUGAUGCUGGAUUUUGUCGUGGUAGAAGAAAGAAGUCCUUACCAAAUGAUACUGGGGAGACCCUUCAUGAGGAUAAGCCAAUGUGUAAUGUCCACGCACUAUCUGGCAUUGAAGUACAAAAUAAAUGGAGUUAUUGGCGUAGUAAAAGGAGACCAGAGAAUGGCAAAGAGCUGCUAUCCUACAGCAGCCAAGGAAACACUGCAGGUUACCUCUCUAGAUAACCGAGGGGAUUCAAAAAAUGGUCGCCAAGAACCUGUUGAGAAGCUGGAGGGAGUUAUUGUAAGCAGGAAUGACCCAAGUAGAGCGGUUAAAAUCGGGUCAGAAUUGGGCGAAGCAAUAAAGGGCGAGCUGGUGAAGUGCCUACAAUCCCAUGCAGACAUAUUUGCCUGGUCUCAUGAGGAUAUGUCAGGAAUCGAUAAAAGGGUAGCCUGCCACAAGUUGGCAAUCAAGAGAGGAGCAAGACCGGUGAGGCAGAAAAUGAGGUGCUUCAACCAGGAAAGAUACGAGGCCAUAAAUGUCGAGGUGGAAAAGCUGCUGAAAGAAGGAUUUAUAAGGGAAGCCAAGUACCCGGAGUGGAUUUCCAAUGUAGUACUGGUAAAAAAGGCCAACGGGAAGUGGAGAAUGUGUGUAGACUUCACAGACCUCAAUAAGGCAUGCCCGAAGGACAGCUUUCCUCUACCAAAAAUAGAUCAGUUGGUGGAUUCAACCGCGGGUCAUAGUCUGCUCAGUUUCAUGGAUGCUUUUUCGGGAUACAACCAGAUACCCAUGGACGAGCAGGAUGAGGAAAGCACCACCUUUAUAACUAACAUGGGUUUGUUUUGUUACAGGGUGAUACCUUUUGGCCUGAAAAAUGCAGGAGCUACCUAUCAAAGGCUAGUGAACAAGUUCUUCAAACCAUUGAUCGGUCACACUAUGGAAGUAUAUGUGGAUGAUAUGAUCACAAAGUCAAGGGAACCGAGAGAUCAUGUGAAGCACUUGGAAUAGACCUUCGAAUUACUGAGGAGGUAUGAAAUGAAGCUGAACCCGGAGAAAUGUGCAUUUGGGGUCAGCUCGGGCAAAUUUUUGAGAUACCUGGUGAGUCACCGAGGAAUUGAGGCCAACCCGGAAAAUAUUCGGGCGGUGAUAGAAAUGAAGUCCCCACGAACAGUUAAGGAGGUGCAGAGCCUUACGGGGAAACUGGCGGCAUUGAACCGAUUCAUUUCACGGGCCACUGAUAAAUGCCACCCUUUCUUCCAAAUCAUAAAGAAAGGGAGGAAGAUGGAAUGGACAUCAGAAUGCGAGGAGGCAUUUGGACAGCUGAAGGAAUACCUAGCCUGCGCCCCGCUACUAUCAACUCCGAGAGAGGGUGACCAACUACUUUUGUACUUGGCAAUCUCUAAGUGGGCUACCAGCUUGGUCUUAGUCAGGGAAGAAGAAGGGAAGCAACACCCGGUAUACUACACAAGCAAGGCCCUGGUAGACGCAUAAACCAGAUAUCCGCUAAUGGAGAAGUGGGCACUAGCUCUAAUAACAGCAGCACGCAAACUCCGACCAUAUUUUCAAGCCCACCAGAUCGUUGUGAUGACUGACCAGCCCCUUCGGUAAGUGCUUCAGAAACCAGAUGCAUCUGGUCGAUUAGUAAAAUGGUCUGUGGAACUGAGCGAAUUUGACCUGUCCUAUAGGCCCCGAGGAGCAAUCAAAGCCCAAGCCCUGGCUGAUUUUAUGGUUGAUCGUGUUAUACCAGGGGAAGAAAUUCCGGAGGCACAACCAUUAGAGCAGGAGAAACCAGAGGGGGUGUGGCUGGUGAUGGUUGAUGGGUCACGUAGUGAACAGGGAUCCGGAGCAGGAGUUGUAAUACGGAGCCCAGAAGGGGUCGAGGUAUCCUAUGCAAUAAAAUUCGAGUUCUAGCUUACAAAUAACCAAGCUGAAUACGAGGCCUUCAUUACUGGGCUCGGGCUUGCACACGCACUACGAGCUGAAAGGGUAGAAAUCCGAGCAGAUUCUCAGCUAGUCUGCAAUCAGCUUUGCGACCAAUUCCAAGUAAGGGAAGAAACGUUGGGGCUUUAUCUGAAAAAGGCGAAGCAAAUGGUCGAACUCUUCAAAGAGGUAGAGGUAAAGCAGAUAUCUCAGAAUGAAAAUUACCGAGCAGAUAUGUUGGCAAGAAUGGCUGCAAAUGUAGACCCAAAGUUACCUAAGUCAGUUCCAUUGGAGAUAAGGACCUCGCCGAGUAUAGGGGAGGAAGUUGAGGUAAUGAGAGUAAGCACUGAAGAAUCAUGGAUGGACCCGAUUCUCGCAUACAUCCGCGAUAGCACUCUACCGGAGGAUAAAAGGCAAGCAAAAAAAUUAAAAUGCCGAGCAGCAAGGUACACGCUACUUGAUGAGGUGCUCUACCACCGAGGAUUCACCUUACCACUUUUGAGAUGUCUGGAUAAGGAGGAGGCUGAUUAUGUACUAAGGGAGAUUCAUGAAGGAAUAUGUGGAAAUCAUUCGGGAGCAAGAACUUUAGCCUUCAAGGCACUCCGGCAAGGAUACUUUUGGCCAACCAUGCACCAGGAUGCGAAAAGGAUGGCAAGGAAUUGUAAAAUCUGCCAAAGCUUCUCAGAGGUUCCUGCACAACCUCCAGAAAAGCUGACCACUAUGACAUCCCCAUGGCCUUUUGCUCAAUGGGGAAUCGACCUGAUUGGUCCGUUACCAAAAGGCCGAGCAGCGGCAACACAUGCAAUUGUAGCAAUAGACUACUUCACCAAGUGAGUAGAAGUGGGAACCCUCAGCCAAAUCACGGAAAGGAAGACGACGGAUUUUAUUUGAAAAAAUAUCAUCUGCAGAUACGGAAUCCCCUAUACCAUCAUCACAGACAAUGGAAGGCAAUUCGACAACAAUAACUUCAGAGAAUUUUGCCGAAACCUGGGGGUAGAUAUGAAGUUCUGCACCCCUGCGCACCCCCAGGCAAAUGGACAAGUGGAAGCAGCCAACAAAGUAAUAAAGAAACUCUUGAAAACAAGAUUGGGAGAGAAGAAGGGAGCUUGGGUCGACGAGCUACCAGGAGUACUGUGGGCUUACCGGACAACUCACAAAACCGCCACAGGGAAAACCCCGUUUGCUUUAGCUUUUGGCCAUGAAGCGAUAGUCCCAGCAGAAAUUGGAGUAGGAACGCAUCGAACAGAACAUUUUAAUGAGGAGUAAAAUGAUGAGCAGAUUUACUUGAACCUGGACCUGUUGGAGGAGAAAAGGGAAGGGGCCUCACAGAAAGUGGCCCAAUGUCAGCAGAGGGUCGCGCGUUAUUACAACAAGAAAGUACGCAUGAGGCAGUUCAGAGCAAGGGAUUGGGUGCUUAGGAAGGUGAAUCAAAACACUAGGGAUCCCUCCCAUGGCGUGUUCGGUCCAAAAUGGGAAGGCCUGUACAUGGUGAUACGAGCGACUGGACCAGGAGCUUACAAACUAGCAUACCCAGACGGACGAGAUGUGAAGAGGUCGUGGAACACCGGGUACUUGAAGAAAUAUUUCCAGUAAGCAAAAUGCUUUACCAAGUCUUCAUUUGAUAAGAUUUCCAUUAGGGGUGGGCAAAAUCGGGUUCGGGUCGGGUUCGGGUCAAUCCGAUCGGGUUUCGGGUUGUUCGGGUUAGACAAGGAACAAUCCGAACAUAACCUGAAUUAAUGAUCCGACCCGAACAGAUCCGAACCGACCCGAACUAUCUUAGGGUCGGUUCGGAUCGGGUCAUUAAUUCGGGUUAUGUUCGGGUUGGAUUUAAAAUGGGUAGGAUUGAGUUCGGGUCAAUUUGGGUUAGUUCAGGUCAAUUCGGGUCAAUUCGGGUCAGUUCGGGUCAAUUCGGGUCGGUUAAAAUCGGGUCAGUUCGGGUCAAUUCGGGUCAGUUCGGAUCGGUUGAAAUCAGGUCAAUUCGGGUCAGUAUAUAUAUAUAUUUUUUAGAACUCGAUCGGGUAUUCGGAUCGGGUCGGGUUUGACCCGAACCGAUCACAACCCGAUCGGGUUUGUAAAUUUCAAACCGAUCGAGUUUCGAUCCCGACUCGAACCCGAAAUUUAUCGGGUCGGGUCGGGUCGGAUCGGGUAAAAUGCCCACCCCUAGUUUCCAGGCAUCUUCACAUUGGAGACUAAUAACAGGUGAUGUUUAUUUUUUUUCUUUUUUUUUAAAUCCUUAAAAAUAAAUAUUAAGUUGUUUGUUUUCUAACUUAGAAAUUUUAAAAACUAAUAUUUUAUAUUUGUGUCCUUAUAAAUUAUAAAUGUUAAACAAAUAAUGAAUAUAUCAAAUAAUAUAUAUAAGAUAACAUAUUAUAAUAAUUUAAAUCAUAUUCAAUUAAUAUAAUUUUUUAAUAUUUUAGAUUAACAUAUGUUAAUCAAUUUUAUAGUAGUUUAUAAUAUUUUUAUAUGAAAAAUAUUUAUAAAAAAUUAUGCAGAUAAAUAAUGAAACGACCAUAAUAGAGUCUUGCGCUGCAUGCAUGUCUGUGGAGGCCCUACUUAACUAUUUGAUGAGAAAUUUCAAUGAAAAUGAAAGGAGUACCAUAUCAAGGCUAUUCAACGCGGACCAAUCAGGCUUUUCGAAGACGCGAACCAGCCCCAACAGCCCGGAACUAGACUAAGGAAGUCGUCUGCAGUGGUCCUUUCGCUUUCUAAUGGGACCUUCCCUGAUUAAUUAUUCAUAAUUGGCAGUGUCUAAGAUUAUCCCUUCAGUCAUAACUGGCUGCUUCUAGGCAUCUUCAUUCUUCAGAUCGAAGGUUAGUCAUCGUUAUGAAAUACCAUGCAACUUUAACAUACGUUAGAUUAAUUAAACACGAAUUUCUGGAACAAGAAAAAAAAUUCGAAUAUAGCAUUCUAUUAUAAAUAAAUAAUUUCAUCAAAAUGGUGAGUUAUAGUCAUGGGUGACUGCCAUCUAGUUAAGAUUGUAAAAUUCUUUUGUGUUCGUAAAAAAAAAAAAAAAUUUGAGUUCAAAUCCUGUCAGUCUGUCACAUAGGUGGGGAGUGUAUUAAAUACUUGCAGUGCUAAAUAAUAACAUUGAUGUCACAUCUGUGGAACUGCAUGUCUGUGGAGUCCCUACUUUUUUUUUUUUUAAUAUUGAUUACGCACUAGAUUACUGCAUUGCACAUAUAUUUACAACUAUUAUUAUAGCAGACAUUACACUGAUAUUUACAAUCAGAUAUACAUAAGUACCAGAUUACUGCAUUGCACAUAUAUUUACAACUAUUGUUAUAGUAAACAUUACACUGAUAUUUAUAAUCAGAUAUACAUAACUGAGACUUAUAUAUGAUUACAUUAAAUUCUAUGAAAUACAUGCCUAGAUAAAUUACCUUCACAGACGAGGGAUGCCCCUACUUCACUUGCAUUUCGCAAGAAAGAAGAAGUUAUAAAUGUUUAGCCCCCACUUGAUUAAAUAGUUAUGUGACAGAACAAAACCAUUCAGCAAUCUAGUGCUCAAGAUUUUUAAAUUAUUCACCGGCGAAACUUAAUCAAAUGAACAGAUUCAAAACAAGACAAAGAAACCCAAUCAAAUGAAAUUCCCUUUAGCAAUGAUUAUACAAUACAUUUUUCAGUAUUAAAAUUAAUUAUUAAUUAUCAAAUUAUCAAAGCCUACUACGUAGUACGUACUUAUCCACGGAUUAAGAUGACUACUUUGAAAAGUUUCGUUAUAUGUAUUUCACUGAAGAAUCUAACGGUGGAUGACAGUUUGAUUGUUUAGAGGGAGUGGGUUAGGAGGAUGUACUCCUGCUCAGGACAAGUUCAGAUCAUGAAAGAAUCAUAUAUAAGUUUUUGGACAUAGAUUAAAUCAACUACAAUCGAAUUCAUCACAACUAAUAAUAUAAUUUGUUGUGUGUAUAGGUAUAUUCUACUAUUUUAGGCAAAUUAUUGUAUAACAUAUAUUAUUUUUAUUAUUAUUAUUAUUAUUAUUAUUAUUAUUAUUAUUAUUAUUAUUAUUAUUAUUAUUUGUGUCUUUAGAACUAAUAGGCACAUACUAUAAGAUAUUUCUUGAUAUCUCACACUAAGUAUUAUGAACUCAUAGUGGCUAAAGGUCAUCAAAUAAUAUAAGUCAAAUUUUUAUCUUAAUUUUUAAAAGAUGAAACCAAGAUUAUUAAAAUUUUGCAUUUCAGAAAAAAAUUGUUAUACUUUAUGUAAUAUCAGUAAUUUACCUCUUGAUAAAAGUAUAAUAGUUUGAUAUUGCAUAAAUAUGUAAAGUAUAAUAAUUCACAGAGGCAGUUACAUAUGUAAUCUAUUUAUCAACAUUUUUCAAAAAAUAAAAAUAAAAAUCUAUAGAUCACCAUUUAAAAAGUAAAGAAGAAAAAAUAAAUUUAAGAGAAUGAAUAGGAGUUAAUAACUUAGGAGAGAAAAGUGAGAGAUAAUAAAAUAAAUUAAAAGAUUAAAAAUUAAAUGAGAUUUGCGUAAACAAAAGAUGUAAAGUUAUUUUUAUCUUAAGAGAAUAUUAACAAAAGGUUUAAAAUAAUAAAAGAGUUUAUAAUAAUAGUUUAUUAAAAAAAUUAUUAAAAAAAUUAUAUAAUAAUAAUUUUAUCAAUUAUAAAAUUUAUCUCUAAUAAAUAAGUGACAUAUAUAUUUGAGAGCUACAAAUUAAGAUUUAAAAAUAGGAAAAUUCUAUGAUGCCGUAAUUAAAAUUACGGCAUCGAUGCCGUAAUUAUUAUGAACCGUUAGAUUAAAUCAACGAUUCACAAUAAUUAUAAAAUAAUAAAAUUUUUAAUUAAAUUAAAUCUAACCGGUUAUAAGCCGGUUAAGUACUUUUUAAAGAUAAAAUUUGACCGGUGUAAGUUUAAAGGAAAAAAAAAAAGAGGAUUUACCUUUUAAAGAAAUAAAAAAUUAGAAAGGGAAACUUCCGUUCAUAUUUUUCAUUAAACCCUAAUUAACGAAUUCCUAAAGAAACCUCUCAUAUGUCUACAGAUUGCAGCCAUUCUUGAGUUGAUUUUCUGUCUUGAUUUUCUAUCUUGUUCGAAUUGCUGAGUCUCUGCUGUUGCUGCCUCUAUCUUGGUUUGGCCGUCGUCACCUGUGCAAGGUAAAUUUAAUCCUCUGUCUCGUUCGAAUUGCUAAGCAUUUUAGUUUUCAUUCAUGGUCAUAAUUUGUUCACGGCAUUGAAUCUAAGAAUUAAGAAGUCGCUGCAAGUGUUUGGGUUUGCAUAGUUUUAUUUCAUAGUCAUAAUUUCCGCAUUUGUUCACGGAAUUAAGAAGUUCCAGUGCACUCCUGCCUUUGCCUCUUGAGAAAAUUAGAAGCUUUGCCAAUAGCAGUAGCAGUGGCAUUAGCAGAAGCUUUCCAUAUUCAAUGCUCUGUUCAGAUGCCUCUCCAGUUGCUCAUCUAAGCUUUUCAGAUCAAUCUGAUCUGCUCUCACGAACCCAUCACUGCUUUCUUUCAUUCUUUCUUUCAAGGGUGCUUCUGUUCAAAUCACUCCCUCCUCCUCUUUCUUCUUCUUCUUCAUGUUGAUGAUAUUCAGUUGUUAUAACUUGUUGUUGUUGUUGGAGUUAUUAUUUCUCUACGAGAAUUUGCUUGUCAAAAUUUCUCAAUAGGAAGGAAGCGAAGAGUAUGCAAACAUUUUUUUAAUUAUUAUUUUUCUUUUCUAUUGAAGCAUGUGGGCACAUGGCAUUGCCUGAACACAACAUGUAUUUGUGACCACUUUCCUCUUCACAAUUAUUAUUAUUAUUAUUGUUUUGUUUUUUCUUUUUUUUUCUUCGAUUUUGAUUGGCCAUCAAUUUUUUUUUGGGUGAACGAUAUAGAGUGCUAUAUGAGUUAUGCUAACUGCUGUGACCUUGAUUUUGUAUUAUUGUUUGCAUUGAUUUUGGUUGAUAAACAAAUGUGUGGUGGAUCAUGGAUGGAUGUAUGGAUGAGGAUAAUAAAUAAAUGAAAUAUACAUAAGACACAAGCAGAUAAAUUAAAGGUAAUGGAUCAUAAUUCUGAAACUGGAAGUGGGUUUUUGUCUCAAAUAUAAUUGAAGUGAUAGAGAAUUAUGUGAAGUUGCAGAAAAAUUUUGGGUUUGAAAUGCUUUUGUUUCUAGGUAAAUUUUUUGCUGUAUUUUGGAUGAUUUGUUGCUGUUUUUGGUUAAAUUUUUCUGGUGUUUUGGGCUUCAUUUGGUGCUGUUUUUAGGUUAAAUUUUCUUCUAUUUUUGGGUUAAUUGGCUGCUGUUUCUCAGUUUAUUUUUCUGCUGUUUUUAGAUAAAUUUACUGCUGUUUUUUUCUUAUAUUUUCUGCUAUUUGCAGAUAAAUUUUUCUGGUGUUUUGGGCUUCAUUUGCUGCUGGUUCUAGGUUAAAUAUUUUGCUGUUUCUGGGUAAAUAUACUGCUAUUUUUUAGUUAAAUUUUUCUGGUAUUUUGGGCUUCAUUUUGUGCUGUUUUUACGUUAAAAUUUUUGCUGCUUAUGGGUAAAUUGACUGCUGUUUUUCAGUUUGUUUUUCUGCUAUUUUUACAGAAAUUUAAUGCUGUUUUUGGGUUAUAUUUUCUGCUAUUUUCAAGUAAAUUUUUCUGGUGUUUUGGGCUUCAUUUGCUGCUGGUUCUGAGUUAAAUAUUUUGCUGUUUCUGGGUAAAUAUACUGCUGUUUUUUAGUUAAAUUUUCUGCUGUUUUUGGAUAAAUUUUUUGUUGUAUUUGGGAUGAUUUGCUGCUGUUUUUGGUUAAACUUUUUUGGUGUUUUGGGCUUCAUUUGAUGCUGUUUUUAGGUUAUAUUUUCUGUUGUUUUUGGGUUAAUUGGUUGCUGUUUCUCAGUUUAUUUUUCUGCUGUUUUUAGAUAAAUUUACUGUUGUUUUUUGUUAUAUUUUUUGCUAUUUGCAGGUAAAGUUUUUUGGUGUUUUGGGCUUCAUUUGCUGCUGGUUUUGGGUUAAAUAUUUUGCUGUUUCUGGGUAAAUAUACUGCUGUUUUUUAGUUAAAUUUUUUGCUGUGUUUUGGAUAAAGUUUCUGCUGUAUUUGGGAUGAUUUGCUGCCCUUUUUGGUUAAAUUUUUUUGGGGUUUAGGGCUUCAUUUGGUGCUAUUUUUAGGUUAAAUUUUUUGCUGUUUCUGGGUUAAUUGGUUGCUAUUUUUUAGUUUAUUUUUCUGCUGUAUUUGAGAUGAUUUGUUGCCGUUUUUGGUUAAAUUUUUUUGGUGUUUUGGGCUUCAUUUGCUGCUGUAUUUGGGUUAAAUUUUUUGCUGUUUUUGGUUAAAUUUCCUUCUAUUUUUCAGUUAAAUUUUCUGUUGUUUUUGGAUAAAUUUAUUACUGUUUUUGGGUUAAAUUUUCUGUUGUUUUACAGGAUCCAAAACUUGUGAUAUUUCCCAUUUCUUUUUGUGCCUAAUAUCUUCAUGUACAGGUUCUUGUAAACUCGAAAAUGGCUGAAAAUAUAGAUGAGGGUAACGAGAAUGAUUUCAAGGAGAAUGAUAAUGUGAGCCAGGAAAAUGAAAUUUCAAGAAGAAAUCGACCUUUCAUUGAGUAUUUGUAAGUCUUCUUACAUUAAAUAUUAUGUGUUUGACUAUUGGUAAAUUUAUGAGUAUUUAGUAAAGCCAAGCACAAUAAUGUUAACAUGCACUGAUUAUAUAUAUUUUUUUCAAAAUAUUUAAUUGACUGCAGCAAGCAAGAAGCAAAAAUAUUACGGGAACAAGGAAAAAAAGUGGUGAGUGUAGGUGCGAUAAUUAAUUUCCAUUAAAUUUGGGACGUGUUACAAGCAAUAACUUAUUGUCAUAUUUGUUUUUUAAUUUUUUAGGAUAGAAUUAAAUUAGGGAAAUGUUUCAAAAAUUUGAGUGAAGAAGAGAAGGCUAAAUUUAGAUUGGUUGGUAGUGAUAUAGCACAGAAUAAAGACAAAGAAGAUGAUUUUGUGAAGGGAACUCAAAAAGCCAUGGAAACUAGAUGCGCUCCAGAUCGUUUUGCAAAACUGGUCACAAAAUUGUCAGAAAAUAAAAAAAAAGUUGUUGUGGAGUUAGGAUUUGAAAGUCUUCUGCACAUAAAAUGUGGUCGACUGAAACGAGAUUUAUGUUCAUGGUUGGUUCAAAAUUUUGAUCCAUUUACUUCAUGUAUUUUUUUGCAUGGUAAGAGUAUCAGUUUGUCGCCUCGAGAUUUUGAGUACAUUAUGGGAAUAAAAGAUGGUGGAGUCGACAUUGAUGUGGAUCUUGGUAUUGAUGACAUAGAUAAAUUGAGGAAUGAAUAUUGUGAUGACAGUGGAUACAUUAAGCUGAAAACUUUAGAGUCAAAAUUGGUGAAUCAAAGGGAGGUGAAUGAUGACUUUAAAAGAAGCUUUGUUUUGUUUGCUAUAGCUACAAUUAUUUUUCCUAAAUCGGGGUUGAAUUUAGCCCCGUAUUACUUGGUUUUUUUGAAAGACACCAGUGCCAUAAAAAAAAAAAAAUUGGGCAACAUGGGCUUUUAAAGGGCUAGUUGAGGGCAUACAAAAGUUCAAGGCAGGACAACAUAAAGUUGUUAAUGGUUGUGUACUAUUUUUGGAGGUAAUAAUUUUUUUUAAAAAUGAUUUCAUCAGUUUUAUUGUGUUAUUUUGUUUUUGCUUUGUUUUGAUCAUUUUGUUAAUAUUGCAGCUUUUUUACAUGGAUUCUAUAUCAUUUGCACGAAAAUUUAUUGAUAAAUCUUUGAGUCCAAUAACAACAUGGACAAAUCGAGAUGUAACUAACUUAUUGAGUUUUGUUAAGAAAAAUGGCGGUUAUGGGAGCUCAAAGGUAUGGCAUCUACUUUUUAUUAAUUAAAUAUUAGCGUAUCAUAUUGAAAUGACAUGUAUUUAAUAAUAUGUGGUAUUUAUUAGGUUAAUUUGCGAGAAAUCCAUCCUCAACAAAACACGGCCCAGGAAACAUUUGAUGGAACAAGUCGGAAGAAUGAAGAAUGCAUACAUAAUUGUCAACAUCAGAAGGAAUUAUCACUUGUUCGAAAAGAUAUUGGCCGUAUGGCAUUGGAGCUUGAUGGUUUAAAGCAUUCAAUGGGUAGCUGGAUGCAGCAAAUGCAACAAGUAAUGGAAACCCUUAAAGAGAACUUAACACAAAAGCAAGUUGAGCAGCAAAAGGAGAAUAAUGGCGCUGCUGUUGGAAUUACUUCUCCUUCCCGAAAGCAACAAAAGAACGAUGAAUCAAGCCAUGAAAUUUUAACUUUUGCGGAACUAAUGAAGAGAGCCAAAGAAAGGCCAGAUGGAGAUGAUAUUCUUGAGAAGAAAUUACUGGAUGAGGAGAAUGUUGAAGAGAAACAUGAUGAGAGAAUUUUGACGGGCGAGUCAGACCUAAAUGAGGGAAAGCGUAAGCAAAUUUUCUACAAUGCAGCUAUACAGGUAUUUAGCAAUAAACUGUGAUCUUCUUUUUUGCACAAGUAAAACAUAAUAGUGCAUGGAUGAGUAUUAAGUUAUAAAUCAUAAUUUUUGUAGGAUAAUGGUCGGAAUGAUGAUUGUUCUAUUGAAGAGGAAUCAUCAAACCAACUUAGUGUAUUUGAGGUUAAAGAUAUGCGCUCCCGAAAGCGAAAGCCUGGUCCAUACUAAAAAUCCCCUUAUAAUCAGUUUCCCAAAAGACGAAGCAAACAAAAAUUUUUUCAUGAUUCAAUCACUCUACUAAAUUCAUUUUCAGAGGAAGAUAUGAAGUUGCUGCAGUAUAUAUUUCAAGGAGAAUUGCCUAUGGAGUAAUUGGAUUUUCUCAUGACCCAUUUUCCAUAUGUUAUUAUUUUUGCAUUAACACUGUUAUAGUUCUAAUUCUAUUUUUGGAUUCUUAAUACAGUGAGCAUAUUGUUGAUGGAAUUAGUUUUUUCGUCUCUCGCCAAGAGAUGUUUUCUUUGGCUCCUAAUACUUGGAUCAUUGACACAGUAAGCAUACCUUCCUUAUAUCUAGUUUAAUCAUUCAAUUUAUUUAUUUUCUUUCUAAGUAUUUAAGUCUUCUUGUUUAAUGGCUCUAUUCGUAGGUCAUAGAUUGUUUCGUCAACUACUUGACAAACAAAGAACGUGCAAAAAUGAGCCUAGAGAUGCGUAUUUGGUAUUUGCCCACCAUAUUUUCGGUAAGUUGUAAAUGUUAUACUAUGAAUUUGUUUACUGACAGUUGACCCUUUAUGUUGAUAAUAUACUAAUUUUCUAUUUAUUUUAUGAGUUUUGCAACAAAAAAUAGUGGCAAACAUGGACUCUAAAAAGAAAUCAAGCAUCGAAGACUUUGUCAAAAAUCAUAAUAUUCGAGAUAAGUACAUGUCAGAACUUGCAGUAUGUGAAAAGGUAAGAAAUUAAAUACAAAAUUACAAUAAAUCAUGGCAUUGUUUAAGACAUUUAAUGGUAAUUAUUAAAAAUUAUGCAUUUGUCAUGUAGAUCUAUGUUCCUAUAAAUGAUGGCUUUGCACAUUGGUAUCUGGCGGUGUUGAUUGUUAAAACGCAAACCGUUGAAAUUUGGGACUCUUUACCUAGUAAUAGUUCGAAUUCACAUUGAGAGGAAAUUGUUAGAGCAAUUGUAAGUGAAGCUUGCAUUUCACCUGUAUUAUUACCAAUAAAUGCAAAUGUAUGCUGACUAUUAUCAUCAUUAUCACAGUUACAGGGACUCGACGAAGUUUUCCUCGAUGAUUUUUUGGGAAAAUUUCAUUCAUGUUGGGAUUUUUUUAGUUUUAAAAUUUUAUAUCCAGAUAAUGUCCCAGUACAACCAAAUGGAACUGACUGCGGUUUGUUUGUGAUCAAGUUCAUGGAGACGCAAUGUGAUCUAUUAUCUAUAAAACAUGUAUGUGACAUUAAUUUUACAUCAUAUUGAUUAAAAAUUUUACAAUGAAUGAUGACUCUAUUUCUCACUUUUUUAUUUUUUCUCGUACUAUAUUUAGUAUAACUCAACAAUAGAAAGAUAUCGCAUUGCACUCCACCUUAUCAACGGAGAUACAAAUAAAGUGAGAGAUAGUAUCAGAUGUAAGGCUGAAGAAUUUCAUGAUUCGCACAAGAAUAAUCUUCCACCGAACAAAGUGACGAACAAAGUUAAUGGUCAAAAGAAUUUGAAGAAGAAAAAGUAGAGUCCAAAAGCCUGCAGCAUGUUAAAAGUAAGUUCUCUUUAACUGUUUCUUUCUUGCUUUUUUUUUAUCCUAUUACAUUUCAUGAUUUGUAUUAGUUAUUUAUUAGUUAUUGCAAUUAUAAUUGUUGUUUCACAUAAAAUUAAUUAGAAACAAUUUCCAAUUUGCAAUUGCCUACCGAGUAUAAGCAGAAUGUGGACUGGAAAUAGUCAAUGUUUUACUGCAAGUUUUCCUUUAUUCUCCAGGUGGCUCACAAUUUCCUCUUCAGUGACAUCUUGUGGGAAAGUGGAUCAUCUUUGUUGGGGAGCAGUAGUAAUGAUAGUUCCUUUAGAAUACUUUCACUUUAGCUUCCAGAAACUGAAGCAAUUAACAAAUUAUAAUCUGGAAUUAAGGUUGAUUAAUUCAUCGCAAUCACAUGUACCAUCAUCACAGUGUUGGAAAAACUGCAGUGUACAAGAGUUCCGAUUUUACCAAAUGGGAAUUCAUGUAAACUUCUCUAUAUUAGAGCAGUUCUUUACCAUAGAGAGAAAGUGAAACAUAUAGUUUGUGAGAAACUCUAGAAAGCAAUUAAUUGAGCUACCGGAACUUUGCAUGCUAAAGAUUCUACGAAGCAAGAAUUUUCAACUUUUCUUUCCUCACUGCAUGUUCUUGGCAACAAAAAACAACAAAAGCCAAGUCACUCUUCUUCAAUUGAAACAGUUUAAACAAGACCAAAAUAAAGAAAACAAGUUAGAUGUACAAUCUUUGUGCAGAACUUAAAGUUUGCUUGUGAAAGAUCAUACACGAAUAAAUAUAUGUAGUAUGCCUUGAAGGAACAUUUAAAGCCAUUCAUUUGUCAAAUUGUGAAGUUAUGUGUCUGUUAAAGCUUCUUAGGUCUAGUGGCCUUGAAUUUGCCUUUCAAAUGAUUUUGUCUUUUUAGAUAAAUCUAAAUAAAAAAAAAGUGGCACAUCAAAUCAACGCAUAUUAGAAAUAUUUUCCCUUUCUACAAUAAUAUAUGUGGUGGAGGCUUGAGAUCAACUGUGUCUUUGUGUGUCGUAUAUUUAAUAUAUAGUAAUUUAAUAAUACUGGGGGAACCGAGGAACUUUCGUGGAGGGGAUAUUUGAUAGACUCCAAGUGGGACUCAGAAGAAAAUAAAAUUAAAAGGACCCCCAAUUUGAACUGGCCACUGUCAAUCACAUGUAUUUGUUAUGCAGGUAUCAGAAUUCAUCUCAUGCCCACAUCAAGAAUCUAUAAACGAUAACCAGACAAUAUCCGAACAACCAAGUAGUUGGUUUUUGUGGCACAGAUUGGCCCGGGGUAAAACUCAUCAUUACUCCCUCAAAAUCUUGGAUUUGUUUUGAUUAUAUAGCGAAUAAGUCGGGGUAGUUUUGUCCCUUUAGAAAAAAAAAAUUACAUGGAUGCAUAUGUUUGCUGCCAAAAAGUGCUAGGGUUGCUCAAGAGUAUUGCACGAAUGCACGUCUUCUAUUCACUCCAAAACUCCAAAAGCUUUUACUACCAUCACUGCCAAAAUUGAAAAACAAGAAGCAAGCAAGGCCCAGUCAAUAAUAAAAAAUAGUUGAGGUUUUACACAACCAUCAUGACUGUCCAAACUUGCUGCGAUAGCAUGAUAAUGAUCUAAUUAUUUAGAAAAAUUAAAUUACAAGCAUAAUAGUAACCUAGCUAGAAAAAUAAGACCUAAUAUAACUCCUACGCACAUGAACACGACACAUUAUUUUGCAACAAAUAAUUUUCAGAACAUUAUAAGAGAAACUAGAGGCAAAACGGGAAAAAAUUAUAAUUCUAAAAUUACAACCAUAGUAGUAAUCGAUUUAUUUAGGGACAUUGUUAAUAUUUUGACACUUACAAUAAUACUCAACAGGCAAAACAUAAUUAAGGCUGACUUUAUACUUCUGGGGCUGGAUGAGUAUUUUUAAAAUAAAUGGGGUCAUUUGUAAUAUUUUGACUUAAUGGGGACUAAUUUAAAAUUAGCCAUAUUAAAACUUUUGCAACUUGUCUAGAAACGACAGAAUUUGAAUACUUAAUGGGGACUAGUUUGAAAUUUGCCAUAUUAACAACUUUUGCAACUUGUCCAGAAUACGUCUUUUCCUAAUUCAAUAGUUCCAUUCAAAUUUAAAGACUUAAUGGGUACUAAUUUGAAAUUAGUCAUAAUAAAAACUAUUGCAACUUGUCCAGAAUACGUCUUUUCCUAAUUCAAUAGUUCCAUUCAAAUUUAAAGACUUAAUGGGUACUAAUUUGAAAUUAGCCAUAAUAAAAACUAUUGCAACUUGUCCAGAUAUAAGUUGUGAAACGACAGAAUUCAAUAGUUCCAUUCAAUCCUACAAUUUCCUUGCCCAGUUUUUUCUAACGACCACAUAGAACACAAUGAAUGAUGAUCAACAAGGUUAAUUCUUCAUUGUCUUUUAAUGAUUUGUUACUCUUUGCUAUUAUUUUUUAUGUUAUUUUCUCUCUUUCUAAAAAGAGUAGUGUUUUUUAACCUUUUAAAAUUAAUAUUAAUUGUGUCUAUUAUAAUUUACAGGCUAUUGUCUAGCAGUGCCAUUUCACUGAUUGUAAUAUUUUCUUAUUGUAUUAUGACAGGCAUUAACAAAAAUUACAAAGUGCCAGAGCUUGAUGUUCCAUCAUCAUAUGAUAUUCCUUCAACAGCUCAAGCAGGAAUACAAUCAGGUUUUUUAGUUGUUCAUAACAAAACAAUUGAACCAAAUUAUUUUUGUAAUAUUUUGAAAAUCAAAUAACAGUAUCAGUUUAUUUUAGUUGUUGAUAAUAAAAUAAUAGAAUUAGACUAUUUUAGCUGUCAAUAAUAAAAUAAUAGUAUCAAUUGAAGUUAGCUAUUCAUGAUAAAAAAAUAAUUAUUCAUACUCUAUUAUGACAGGGAGGGAUGGUUCAAACUCUAUUUAUUGGGAUGAUAAAAGCAUGUAUGAACUCACUGCUGAAGACGUUAUUGGAAAGCGAUUUGCAUCACUUGAAGAAGCUACAGAUUUUUAUAAAAAAUACUCAAAAAUAAUGGGUUUUAGUGUUCGCAUUUAUGAUGGGAGACGUGAUACAAAUGGUGCACCCAUAAUGAAACAUUGGGUUUGCAGUAGAGAAGGUGAAAGGGAUAAAAAGUAUAUUGAGCAUACAAACAGAAUCCGUGAACCUAGAGCUAUUACAAGAGUCAACUGUCGAGCAGCAUUCAGGGUAAAUUUAGAUAAGGAGUCCAAAACUUGGGUUGCUAGAAGCUUUGUUCCGAAACACUCUCAUGAGUUGGCAGCAGAUUUUGAGACUCAAUUUCUUCGAUCUCAUCGAAUGGUUAAAGAUUCUGACAAUGCUCUAGCUAAUUCAAUGCAAACAGUUGGUAUAAAGACAAGUCAGAUUAUGGACUUCUUUGUCAACCAGGCUGGGGGUUAUGACAAUUUGGGCUUCGGAUUAAAGGAUUUAUAUAACAAUUUAGAUAAUGAACGUCGAUCCAUGAUACUCGAAACAGACUCAGAAGCUGCACUUGCAUACUUAAAUGCAAAAGCUGACAUGGAUCCAGAUUUCUUUUGUAAGUACUCUGUAGAUGAGGAGAAUAGACUUGCAAACUUAUUCUGGGCAAAUUCUAUUGCUCGCUUGGAUUAUAGUUACUUCGGCGAUGUUUUGGCUUUCGAUAGUACUUACAAGACAAAUGAGUAUGGGAAGCCUUUAGUUAUUCUAUUGGGUGUUAAUAAUCAUUAUGCAACAAGUUUUUUUGGCUGUGCAAUUCUCACGGAUGAGAUGGUUGAGACCUACACAUGGGUGCUUAAAACAUUUUUAUGUGCUAUGAAUAAUAGAAAGCCUAUAUCUAUUGUGACCGAUGGAGAUAGAGCGAUGCGUAAAGCAAUUAAAAAGGUAGGUCCUGAAGCUCGGCAUCGACUGUGUAUUUGGCAUCUACAAAGAAAUGCACAAUCUAAUGUACAUAAAACGCCUGAAUUUGUUACAAGGUUUAAGGAUUUUCUGUUGGGAAAUUACAGACCCGAAGAAUUUGAGCAAUUGUGGCAGAACAUGGUGGAAGAGCUUGGUCUUCAAAAUAAUGAUUGGGUUAAGAAGAUAUACUCAAAACAAGAGAGAUGGGCAGAAGCAUUCUUACGGGGUCAUUUCUUUGGUGGCAUGCGCACAACACAGCGUUGUGAGGGUAUGAAUGCAUAUAUGAAUAGAUUUCUUCAAAGAAAGUUGAAGUUGUAUGAAUUUGUUCGUCAAAUUGAUCGAGCCUUGAGACGUACAAGGAAUAACAAUUUAGGACAUAAUUUUAAAACUAAGCAUUCUAUUCCAAUGAUUAGUACUCAUCUUCCAAGCUUGGAGAAGCAUGCUGCAGGGGUUUACACUCAAAAGUUAUUUUACAAGGUUCGUAAACAGAUUUACAAAGAAGGCCAGUUUAUAUUGUUGAGCAAUGUCACUCUUCUAGAUAUUCAAGUGUACACAUUAACUAGGCAUUUAGAAGCCAAAAAGAAGUGGACUGUGGUUUAUUAUCUAAAAGAACAACAUUUUGAGUGCUCCUGUAAGAAGUUCGAAUCUACUGGAAUACCAUGCCCUCACUUAUUUUGUGUGAUGAAACAUAUGCAUGUUAGUGAGAUACCUGCUUCAUUGAUUAACAAAAGAUGGACUAUGGAUGUGAAAGUUUACAAACAAUCUCUAAUGCCAUUGGAAAGUCAAUCUAAGGAUGUUCUUAACAAUUUUCGGUAUGGGUCAUUAAAUGCCGAAUUCAAUGAAAUUAGUUUUUAUGCCUCAAAAUCUGAUGCUGCCUAUUGGAAAUUAAAAAGUCAUCUUGCUCAACUGAAGAGUGAGAUAAAGGAGUUGAGAACGUGUGACAACGGAGAUACAGAUAGACCAUGCAGUGCAGAAAAGAAAGCAAGAAUUGUAAAAGAUCCUCUAGUUGUGAAGACAAAGGGUGCACCCAGUACGAAAUUUAACAAAGGUGUUAACACAAGAAAAUGUGGAUAUUGCAAACAAGAUGGACAUACUGCACGGAAAUGCCCAAGUAAGAACGGCCAUGUUACAAGUGUGGACAACUUCGCUGGACCAUUAAACAGCUUCACAAAAUUUAUUUGGUAUGGGAAAAUAGGUCAUUAUUUCUAUAAUUAUUUUUAGUCCAAAUCAAUGUGUUGUAUCAAUAAUUUUGUUCAAAUUUUCUGCAGAUUAUAUCCUAAGGAGGCUGCCUCACUUGCGUCAAUGCACACAAAAUUAUCCUAAAAUAAUCUGCAUAUGCCUGAGGGUGUGGAUUUGGACAAGCUAUUUGCAUUUUAAGAAAACACAAUUUUGACCAAGUAUUUUUUAGACUAUAGUUAUGGCCAUGUGAUGUAGUCUUAUAUUUUAAUGCAUUUUUAGUUAUAAUAAUAAUGAAUAUUACACCUCUCAUGAACCUAUUACUUUCUCCUACUUUGAUGACAAUGAAAUAUGACAGGAACCUCGAACAAUGUAAUAUUCAUGAAAUUUUAAGCUUACAAAAAAGGGCCUAACAAUGAUAUUCUAAAUCUUAAUACAUCAAUUGAUCUUAUUUCCUAAGAACUGCUACGUGCAUCGAUUAGGUAUCCUAGGACGUUUAUACAUCACUAAUAAACUAGUAAACCAUACCACAGUUGCAAUGUAAUAUUCUUUCUUACCUUGCUGAUUAGAAACUUCAGCGGCCAAAUGCCAACUACAUCAACUUUUGCUUCCCCAUAGCUGAGUGAAAUUCUUGUAGUUCCUAAAUCCAAAAUACAAGUAAGAGAAAUCAGUGCAAAUGUUCAUUUAUCUUGAAAUUCCUUUGAAACUGAGGCCCAAAGAGAAGCUAGAAUAAACAGUCAUGCAGGUUUUCUAUUUUAGGGAAAAAAAAUGAAAUUCUUUCUGUAGUAUACUUAUUAAGCAAGAUAACAUAAACCAUGAAUUACAAAAGCUGCCAACAAUUAAAAUAGGCGACCAAAUGGAAUUAAAAAUACGGGCACACUGUGUACAGAAAUUCUGCAGGAUACAAGGCCAAUAUAAUUUACGAUUCAUACCAGACUCAAUUGGCCAAACCUAUGGAAUUGGAAUGAUGCAUUUAUUUAACUCAAAAGGUAAAUAUCAGGCUUAAGGUUCUUACAUAUUAAAACAAUAAUAAUUCAUUCAUUUUGAACAUGAGAUGCAACUUGGACUAUUUCAAGUUAUUCCAAAAGAAAGCAUUAAAAGGAAUUUGUUCAUCCUACGUGGUAUAAGUAGUAUACUUCAGUUAGUAUUAUACAUCAUCAGUUAAAUCAUUUCGACUAUUAACAUUGAUAACAACAAUAAUAAAAUAAACAUAUGUAGUUAUAAAAUAAAUAGAUAAAUUCAACUUCGGAUAAAUUUGGGUUGUUACAGUAACCCUCCAAGCCACCACUGUAUUAUAACCAAUAGACAUUUGAAUUAUAACAGAUAGACAAGAAUAAAAUGAAAGCCAAUAUUAUUCAUGCAGAAUUAAUCUAAUUUAUUUUUCAGUUAAGGUUAGUAACAAUUUAUCUGUAAAUAAUUGAACCAACUUGGUUAUUACAACAUUACUUUUUCAAAGCGUUUAGAGCUCAGAAUAUCAAGACAACAAUUUGAUGGUUGGUUAAUUGAGUACCGGAAUCAGUGAUUUUUACUGCAAGAAUGCAAUUGUAAACACCACACAGUAAGUUUUCAAGGCAUCCAGCAUAUUAACUCAAAAAACAAAAUUCUCAUUACUUGUCUAUAAUUGCUGAAGUAGAGUGUACCAGGAUAUCAGGCUCAGCAUCUUGAAAAUCUUGCAAACUAACAGGGGACUGCACAUAUUCGAAGGAUACAGAAUUUCAAUCUAAGGGGGCUGAAUCUUGUACAUUGCACUAUUAUCGAAAGAAAUGAACUCAUAUUUAUGUCAUAUAAAUGCAUAUAUGUCGUGAUUGGAGGAGAGAACAUUCUAGAACAAUUGCUACUUAAUACCUUUUCAUUAUCUUUAUUUGAGUUCAAGUUCACAGUAAGAUCUAAUUAUCCAAUCUUCCUCAUAUCAGGUUUGUCAGCUUGUAUGAGUCAAUCUUACACAUAUGAAUAUUGAGAAUUAUUCAUAAAGAUAUUUCAUAAUAAACAUAUAGUCAACUUUUCAAGAACUAGUGAAAAAUGGCGGAAAAAUAGUAUUCAAAAGAAUUCUAGAAUCUUUUUCCUCUUUUCCAAGAGAAAUGCAUAUACUUAUAGAUAAAGGAAGGAAAAAUUUUAAGGGCAGCGCAGGGUAUGAUAAAUAACAACUCCUUGACAUCCUUCAACUAAAUGUGAAGAAUUUGAAGUUUUUGUGGAUGCCUUUACUUCUGAAUUCAAUCAUACACAAACAGGCCAUAUUAUUAAUAGGAAAAACUUUUGAAAGGGGACCACAUACUCCAGAAUGUCAGGAAUCAGGCGGAAUUGAACCCGCCACAUCAUGGCCUCUGUGCUAAGAGUUAAUAGAAAACUGCAGAGUAUUGUUUGGCAGUGGCAUUUGAGGCAAUUCCUUAAAGAUUAUGAGUAGAAAGAUAUCUUAGAAAAUCUACUGGAGGUUAAAAGUUAAUAGCCACUAAUUUAAUUACAUUCAUUGUGGAGUAUCCACCUUAUUCAAUAACCCCCUUUAGUCACAGCAACUUUAUUCAAUGCAAGCGAAGUCCAUUCUGGUGAUUCAAUAACUAAAGCAAAAACAUAUGGUACCUUGCCAGUCAGAGUUGUCACCAUCACUAUCUUCUGAAUGAAAUUGCCUUCUCAAGUAACUUUCUUCAUCAGCAAAUGCAGGCCUGAGGUAACCCACUAUAGAAAGACCAUUUGAAGGAUGAUCCAUUUUUCUAUCAUAGUCCAUAUUAACAGCCUACGUGAAAAAACAAUAAAUAAAUCAUUACACUAGAGUACUAAAAGUAAUUUGACAUACAUAAUACUGAGAAAAAAAAAAACCAGAAUUUUAGCCAUGUAAAGUUGAAUAAUCUGGAGAUUAAAAAAAUUAAUAAAUAAAUAAAUAUAAAGUUCAUGUUAUUAGCAGACAAACAGUCAGCACUUCACGUUAAAUAAUUAAACUUGCAAUAGAAAGAUAGAACAAUAACUGACUUGAUCAUGGUGUUGGGAAACUGUCAGUGACGUAACAAAAUUACUAAUUACAAAACCAGCUCAUAAUCACCUUUGUCAAACAAUUGGCAAAAUAAAUAGGAUGAACCCAGUUGGAAGUAUCUGGCAUUCCCCCAGUCAACUGAGCAUAGACUGUGUUACCAAAAGCUAUUAAUGAGGUUAUGAUAGCUUUAAAAGCUCAAAUAGGGCAGUUGUAGAACAGUCUAUACUGUGACUGUCCUCAUUCAAAAAAUUAGCCGAGAAAGCUGAGUUACACGGAAGGUUCAAUGGUUAAAGAUGUGACUUUGCAUGGGUGCUAAAACCAACAUUUAUUAAGCUUAAAGAUCUGUCUUUAUCACCUAAGCUCCUCUGUAACAAAAUAAAUUAAGCCUAGAGAUCGAUCUUAAUCAGUUAAAGAUGAUCUGUACAGCUGCAGAAUCAUUUACACCCCUUAGUUUAUCUUAAACAACAACAUCAAUAUCUGUCAUAACUCUCACCAAUAUUCAUUCUUUUCACAAAUACAAUCACCCAAAAAUCACUCAACCCAGCAGUUGCAAGUCCUUUGCUAAGAUCAAUCAUUAAUCAGAUAUAAACUUUUAAGAAAAUAUAAAACCUCAACGACAAUGACAACUUACCAGUCUCCUCAUCAGGCCUGGACGGCGGGCCCUGGCACCACAAGGCAGUCCCUCAUUGCAUCUUAUAACAGGUAUUCUGCUCAAUCACAAGCUUGCCACUAAAAUCCCCUUUCAUCCAGCUUAGAAGCCACAUGAUCAGGAUCUCCGAGCCUUACUAGAAGCGAAAGAGUGAGAAAAGUAAAGGGGCAGAAAAAAUGGUAGAAACCCUCAGCUACUUGCUUGCAAGUAUUAGGACCAGAUCUUACCAGAUCUAAAAUGAUUUUCCAGAUUGCAUACCUCGCGCGAUGCGCGCCAAACCGAUCUGCAAAGUUUUGGAGUUGGAAGAUAGUUUCAGGGUUAAAACUAACGGAUGCUUUUGGUGCUCUUCUUGGUUUCUUCCACAGCCUUACCAUCACCAGAAUCUGAACGACAAUCUGCAUCUCAUCUCUUCGACAAUCUGCAUUCCCAACUAUUUGGAUUGUGAUCGACGGUUUCACGGUUCACGUGCCAGCGGAUUCGGGUUCGGAUUUGGUGAAUCUUGGCUUAAAAUUUAGGAGAUUUGAGACAGGGCGGUGCUUUUUCUUUUGAUUUUUUUUUCUUCUACAGUGACGUUGAGACUCAAUGGGAAAUGUAUUUUUUUUCCACCUUUUAUUUUCAAAAAAGGGGAAAAAUAGAUAGUAUAAAAAAAAGUUUUUUUUUUUACUUUUUUGCUGUUGAUGGUGCCAUAAUUGUUAUAAUAUUGAAUUUUUUUAAUAAAUAAUAACUAUAAAAAUAUUUUAAUUAAUUAUUAUAAAUUUUAAUUAGGUAAUAUUAAAUAAAUAAUAAUAAUAAUAAUAAUAAAUUAUUAAUAAAUUAUAAUGAAUUAUAAUUAUAAUAAUUUUAUAAUAAAUAAUAAUGAAACAAUUUCAUACUGAUAAUAAUAACAAUAAAAUUAUAAAUAUAAUAAUAUUUUUACGAAAUAAUAAUAUAAUAAAAUAUUAAUAAUAAUAACUUAUUAUUAUAAUUAUUAUUAUAAAGUUUGAUUACAAUAAUAUUUUCAUAAAUAAUAAUCAUAAAACAAAAUCAUGAAAUUAAUAAAUAAUAUCAAUAAUGAAUUAGUAAUCAUAAUUAUAAUACUAUUUUAAUAAAUAUUAUGAUGAUGAUGACGAUUAUUCUUAUUAUUAUUAUUAUUAUUAUUAUUAUUAUUAUUAUUAUUAUUACCACCAAUUGACAAUAAUCAACAAAGGGCAUUUAAGAAAUUAUGAUAAUUCAUUCCGAUUUCAAGACAAAUUAAACAUAUCGAUGGAAAUGAAUCUCAUUCCGACUUCAAUUUCUACAGCUCAAAUAAAUAACUUAUUCUUAUUCACAUUCUUGAUUCUGAUUGUAGCCCGUUACGAUUACUGAUUGGUAAAUGCACCAUGAGCAGAUUAUUGUGGUUUAAUUGGGUCUGUUUUUUUCAAACCUAAUGAAUAAUUAGUUUGGGUUGGAUAAAUUAUAAUUAACCAGUCUAACCCAACCAAAUCUAUAAUAAUAAUAAUAAUAAUAAUAAGAAGAAGAAGAAGAAGGAGGAGGAGGAAAAUGAUAAUGUGUUAAUUCUCAAUUGCAAAAUUAUAACGACUUAAAUGGUUUAUCUAAUUUUUUAUUCUUUUUAAUCUUUUAAUACAAGAGGCUAUUUCAUUCUUGCAUCUGAUGCUCUAGACUACAAUUCCAAAACCAAAAUCACAUUAUCUUAUAAGUAAAUUUAUUAUUUUAUAAGAUUAAUAUAAAAGUAAGUUGGUUUUAAUUUUUUUAUUUUUUUAGUGAAUACUUAACGGCACAUAAUUAUAUAUCACUUUCAUUUUAUUUUUGUAUAUGAUGCUAGCUAAUUAUCUAAAAAGUCUUAAUUUGGAAUUGGAAAAGGAGAUGCAGGAGAAAUAAAGUCUAUAUGGUUUUUGUGGAAAUUUUCUUAAUUUAAAGAUAGUUAAUUUAUUAACUUUCUUUACGUACACUAGAUAGUGAAUGAAAAUUUCAUGUUAUAAAAAAUAUGUAAAUCACAGAUAAAACUAGUAAUUUAAUGAAAAAAUGGUAAAUUAAUGUUGGAAUUGUAAUUUGCACGAAGAACUUGUAAACAAGACAAAAACUUAGAAAACUGACAUAGAACUUGUAAAUUCACAUUAAGUGUGAAAUAAAACAAAAAAUAUGUAAAUCACACAUAACACUAGUAAAUUGAUGGAAAAAUGAGAAAAUUAAUGUUGGAGUUGUAAUUUGUACGAAAAACUUGUAAAUAAAACAAAAACUUAGAAAAAUGACAUAGAACUAGUAAAUUCACAUUAAGUGUGACAUAAAACAAAAAAUGUGUAAACCACACAUAAAACUAGUAAAUUAAUGAAAAAAAUGAUAAAUUAAUGUUGGAAUUGUAAUUAGCACGAAGAACUUGUAAUCAAAACAAAAACUUAGAAAAAUGACAUAAAACUAGUAAAUUCACAUUAAGUGUGAAAUAAAACAAAAAAUAUGUAAACCACACAUAAAACUAGUAAAAUAAUGAAAAACAUGGUAAAUUAAUGUUGGAGUUGUCAUUUGCACGAAGAACUUGUAAACACAACAAAAACUUAGAAAAAUGACAUAGAACUAGUAAAUUGACAUUAAUUGUGAAAUAAAACAAAAAAUGUGUAAAUCACACAUAAAACUAGUAAAUUAAUGAAAAAAAUGGUAAAUUAAUGUUCGAAUUGUAAUUUCCACGAAGAACUUGUAAACACAACAAAAACUUAGAAAAAUGACAUAGAACUAGUAAAUUGACAUUAUUUGUGAAAUAAAACAAAAAAUAUGUAAAUCACACAUAAAACUAGUAAUUUAAUGAAAAAAAUGGUAAAUUAAUGUUGGAAUUGUAAUUUGCACGAAGAACUUGUAAACAAGACAAAAACUUAGAAAACUGACAUAGAACUUGUAAAUUCACAUUAAGUGUGAACUAAAACAAAAAAUAUGUAAAUCACACAUAAAACUAGUAAUUUAACGAAAAAAAUGGUAAAUUAAUGUUGGAAUUGUAAUUUGCACGAAGAACUUGUAAACAAGACAAAAACUUAGAAAACUGACAUAGAACUUGUCAAUUCACAUUAAGUGUGAAAUAAAACAAAAAAUAUGUAAAUCACACAGAAAAUUAGUAAUUUAAUGAAAAAAAUGGUAAAUUAAUGUUGGAAUUGUAAUUUGCACGAAGAACUUGUAAACAAGACAAAAACUUAGAAAACUGACAUAGAACUUGUAAAUUCACGUUAAGUGUGAAAUAAAACAAAAAAUAUGUAAAUCACACAUAAAACUAGUAAAUUAAUGAAAAAAAUGGUAAAUUAAUGUUGGAAUUGUAAUUUGCAUGAAGAACUUGUAAACAAAACAAAAACUUAUAAAAAUGACAUAGAACUAGUAAAUUCACAUUAAUUGUGAAAUGAAACAAAAAAUAUGUAAAUCACACAUAAAACUAGUAAAUUAAUGGAAAAAUGAGAAAGUUAAUGUUGGAGUUGUAAUUUGUACGAAAAACUUGUAAACAAAACAAAAACUUAGAAAAAUGACAUAGAACUAGUAAAUUCACAUUAAGUGUGAAAUAAAACAAAAAAUAUGUUAACCACACAUAAAACUAGUAAAUGUAUGGAAAAAAUGGUAAAUUAAUGUUCGAGUUGUAAAUUGUAAGAAGAACUUGUAAACAAGGCAAAAACUUAGAAAAAUGACAUAGAACUUGGAAAUUCACAUUAAGUGUGAAAUAAAACAAAAAAUAUGUAAAUCACACAUAAAACUAGUAAAUUGUGAAAAAAAAAUAGUAAAUUAAUGUUGGAAUUGUAAUUUGCGCGAAGAACUUGUAAACAAAACAAAAACUUAUAAAAAUGACAUAGAACUAGUAAAUUGACAUUAAUUGUGAAAUAAAACAAAAAAUGUGUAAAUCACACAUAAAACUAGUAAAUUGAUGAAAAAAUAAGUAAAUUAAUGCCGGAGUUGUAAUUUGUACGAAAAACUUGUAAACAAAACAAAAACUUAGAAAAAUGACAUAGAACUAGUAAAUUCACAUUAAUUGUGAAAUGAAACAAAAAAUAUGUAAAUCACACGUAAAACUAGUAAAUUAAUGGAAAAAUGAGAAAGUUAAUGUUGGAGUUGUAAUUUGUAAAUGUAUGGAAAAAAUGGUAAAUUAAUGUUCGAGUUGUAAAUUGUAAGAAGAACUUGUAAACAAGGCAAAAACUUAGAAAAAUGACAUAGAACUUGUAAAUUCACAUUAAGUGUGAAAUAAAACAAAAAAUAUGUAAAUCACACAUAAAACUAGUAAAUUAGUGAAAAAAAAUGGUAAAUUAAUGUUGGAAUUGAAAUUUGCACGAAGAACUUGUAAUCAAAACAAAAACUUAUAAAAAUGACAUAGAACUAGUAAAUUGACAUUAAUUGUGAAAUAAAACAAAAAAUGUGUAAAUCACACAUAAAACUAGUAACUUGAUGAAAAAAUAAGUAAAUUAAUGCCGGAGUUGUAAUUUGUACGAAAAACUUGUAAACAAAACAAAAACUUAGAAAAAUGACAUAGAACUAGUAAAUUGACAUUAAUUGUGAAAUAAAACAAAAAAUGUGUAAAUCACACAUAACACUAGUAAAUUGAUGGAAAAAUGAGAAAAUUAAUGUUGGAGUUGUAAUUUGUACGAAAAACUUGUAAAUAAAACAAAAACUUAGAAAAAUGACAUAGAACUAGUAAAUUCACAUUAAGUGUGACAUAAAACAAAAAAUGUGUAAACCACACAUAAAACUAGUAAAUUAAUGAAAAAAAUGAUAAAUUAAUGUUGGAAUUGUAAUUAGCACGAAGAACUUGUAAUCAAAACAAAAACUUAGAAAAAUGACAUAAAACUAGUAAAUUCACAUUAAGUGUGAAAUAAAACAAAAAAUAUGUAAACCACACAUAAAACUAGUAAAAUAAUGAAAAACAUGGUAAAUUAAUGUUGGAGUUGUCAUUUGCACGAAGAACUUGUAAACACAACAAAAACUUAGAAAAAUGACAUAGAACUAGUAAAUUGACAUUAAUUGUGAAAUAAAACAAAAAAUGUGUAAAUCACAAAUAAAACUAGUAAAUUAAUGAAAAAAAUGGUAAAUUAAUGUUGGAAUUGUAAUUUGCACGAAGAACUUGUAAACAAGACAAAAACUUAGAAAACUGACAUAGAACUUGUAAAUUCACAUUAAGUGUGAACUAAAACAAAAAAUAUAUAAAUCACACAUAAAACUAGUAAUUUAAUGAAAAAAAUGGUAAAUUAAUGUUGGAAUUGUAAUUUGCACGAAGAACUUGUAAACAAGACAAAAACUUAGAAAACUGACAUAGAACUUGUAAAUUCACGUUAAGUGUGAAAUAAAACAAAAAAUAUUUAAAUCACACAUAAAACUAGUAAAUUAAUGAAAAAAAUGGUAAAUUAAUGUUCGAAUUGUAAUUUGCACGAAGAACUUGUAAACAAGACAAAAACUUAGAAAACUGACAUAGAACUUGUAAAUUCACGUUAAGUGUGAAAUAAAACAAAAAAUAUGUAAAUCACACAUAAAACUAGUAAAUUAAUGAAAAAAAUGGUAAAUUAAUGUUGGAAUUGUAAUUUGCAUGAAGAACUUGUAAACAAAACAAAAACUUAUAAAAAUGACAUAGAACUAGUAAAUUCACAUUAAUUGUGAAAUGAAACAAAAAAUAUGUAAAUCACACAUAAAACUAGUAAAUUAAUGGAAAAAUGAGAAAGUUAAUGUUGGAGUUGUAAUUUGUACGAAAAACUUGUAAACAAAACAAAAACUUAGAAAAAUGACAUAGAACUAGUAAAUUCACAUUAGGUGUGAAAUAAAACAAAAAAUAUGUUAACCACACAUAAAACUAGUAAAUGUAUGGAAAAAAUGGUAAAUUAAUGUUCGAGUUGUAAAUUGUAAGAAGAACUUGUAAACAAGGCAAAAACUUAGAAAAAUGACAUAGAACUUGUAAAUUCACAUUAAGUGUGAAAUAAAACAAAAAAUAUGUAAACCACACAUAAAACUAGUAAAAUAAUGAAAAACAUGGUAAAUUAAUGUUGGAGUUGUCAUUUGCACGAAGAACUUGUAAACACAACAAAAACUUAGAAAAAUGACAUAGAACUAGUAAAUUGACAUUAAUUGUGAAAUAAAACAAAAAAUGUGUAAAUCACACAUAAAACUAGUAAAUUAAUGAAAAAAAUGGUAAAUUAAUGUUGGAAUUGUAAUUAGCACGAAGAACUUGUAAUCAAUACAAAAACUUAGAAAAAUGACAUAAAACUAGUAAAUUCACAUUAAGUGUGAAAUAAAACAAAAAAUAUGUAAACCACACAUAAAACUAGUAAAAUAAUGAAAAACAUGGUAAAUUAAUGUUGGAGUUGUCAUUUGCACGAAGAACUUGUAAACACAACAAAAACUUAGAAAAAUGACAUAGAACUAGUAAAUUGACAUUAAUUGUGAAAUAAAACAAAAAAUGUGUAAAUCACACAUAAAACUAGUAAAUUAAAGAAAAAAAUGGUAAAUUAAUGUUGGAAUUGUAAUAUGCACGAAGAACUUGUAAACAAGACAAAAACUUAGAAAACUGACAUAGAACUUGUAAAUUCACAUUAAGUGUGAACUAAAACAAAAAAUAUAUAAAUCACACAUAAAACUAGUAAUUUAAUGAAAAAAAUGGUAAAUUAAUGUUGGAAUUGUAAUUUGCACGAAGAACUUGUAAACAAGACAAAAACUUAGAAAACUGACAUACAACUUGUAAAUUCACGUUAAGUGUGAAAUAAAACAAAAAAUAUUUAAAUCACACAUAAAACUAGUAAAUUAAUGAAAAAAAUGGUAAAUUAAUGUUCGAAUUGUAAUUUGCACGAAGAACUUGUAAACAAGACAAAAACUUAGAAAACUGACAUAGAACUUGUAAAUUCACGUUAAGUGUGAAAUAAAACAAAAAAUAUGUAAAUCACACAUAAAACUAGUAAAUUAAUGAAAAAAAUGGUAAAUUAAUGUUGGAAUUGUAAUUUGCAUGAAGAACUUGUAAACAAAACAAAAACUUAUAAAAAUGACAUAGAACUAGUAAAUUCACAUUAAUUGUGAAAUGAAACAAAAAAUAUGUAAAUCACACAUAAAACUAGUAAAUUAAUGGAAAAAUGAGAAAGUUAAUGUUGGAGUUGUAAUUUGUACGAAAAACUUGUAAACAAAACAAAAACUUAGAAAAAUGACAUAGAACUAGUAAAUUCACAUUAGGUGUGAAAUAAAACAAAAAAUAUGUUAACCACACAUAAAACUAGUAAAUGUAUGGAAAAAAUGGUAAAUUAAUGUUCGAGUUGUAAAUUGUAAGAAGAACUUGUAAACAAGGCAAAAACUUAGAAAAAUGACAUAGAACUUGUAAAUUCACAUUAGGUGUGAAAUAAAACAAAAAAUAUGUAAAUCACACAUAAAACUAGUAAAUUAGUGAAAAAAAAUGGUAAAUUAAUGUUGGAAUUGUAAUUUGCACGAAGAACUUGUAAACAAAACAAAAACUUAUAAAAAUGACAUAGAACUAGUAAAUUGACAUUAAUUGUGAAAUAAAACAAAAAAUGUGUAAAUCACACAUAAAACUAGUAAAUUGAUGAAAAAAUAAGUAAAUUAAUGCCGGAGUUGUAAUUUGUACGAAAAACUUGUAAACAAAACAAAAACUUAGAAAAAUGACAUAGAACUAGUAAAUUCACAUUAAGUGUGAAAUAAAACAAAAACUAUGUAAACCACACAUAAAACUAGUAAAUGUAUGGAAAAAAUGGUAAAUUAAUGUUCGAGUUGUAAAUUGUAUGAGGAACUUGUAAACAAGACAAAAACUUAGAAAAAUGACAUAGAACUUGUAAAUUCACAUUAAGUGUAAAAUAAAACAAAAAAUAUGUAAAUCACACAUAAAACUAGUAAAUUAAUGAAAAAAAUGGUAAAUUAAUGUUGGAAUUGUAAUUUGCACGAAGAACUUGUAAACAAAACAAAAACUUAUAAAAAUGACAUAGAACUAGUAAAUUGACAUUAAUUGUGAAAUAAAACAAAAAAUGUGUAAAUCACACAUAAAACUAGUAAAUUGAUGAAAAAAUAAGUAAAUUAAUGCCGGAGUUGUAAUUUGUACGAAAAACUUGUAAACAAAACAAAAACUUAGAAAAAUGACAUAGAACUAGUAAAUUCACAUUAAGUGUGAAAUAAAACAAAAAAUAUGUUAACCACACAUAAAACUAGUAAAUGUAUGGAAAAAAUGGUAAAUUAAUGUUCGAGUUGUAAAUUGUAAUAAGAACUUGUAAACAAGGCAAAAACUGAGAAAAAUGACAUAGAACUUGUAAAUUCACAUUAAGUGUGAAAUAAAACAAAAAAUAUGUAAAUCACACAUAAAACUAGUAAAUUAGUGAAAAAAAAUGGUAAAUUAAUGUUGGAAUUGUAAUUUGCACGAAGAACUUGUAAACAAAACAAAAACUUAUAAAAAUGACAUAGAACUAGUAAAUUGACAUUAAUUGUGAAAUAAAACAAAAAAUGUGUAAAUCACACAUAAAACUAGUAAAUUGAUGAAAAAAUAAGUAAAUUAAUGCCGGAGUUGUAAUUUGUACGAAAAACUUGUAAACAAAACAAAAACUUAGAAAAAUGACAUAGAACUAGUAAAUUCACAUUAAGUGUGAAAUAAAACAAAAAAUAUGUUAACCACACAUAAAACUAGUAAAUGUAUGGAAAAAAUGGUAAAUUAAUGUUCGAGUUGUAAAUUGUAAGAAGAACUUGUAAACAAGGCAAAAACUUAGAAAAAUGACAUAGAACUUGUAAAUUCACAUUAAGUGUGAAAUAAAACAAAAAAUAUGUAAAUCACACAUAAAACUAGUAAAUUAGUGAAAAAAAAUGGUAAAUUAAUGUUGGAAUUGUAAUUUGCACGAAGAACUUGUAAACAAAACAAAAACUUAUAAAAAUGACAUAGAACUAGUAAAUUGACAUUAAUUGUGAAAUAAAACAAAAAAUGUGUAAAUCACACAUAAAACUAGUAAAUUGAUGAAAAAAUAAGUAAAUUAAUGCCGGAGUUGUAAUUUGUACGAAAAACUUGUAAACAAAACAAAAACUUAGAAAAAUGACAUAGAACUAGUAAAUUCACAUUAAGUGUGAAAUAAAACAAAAACUAUGUAAACCACACAUAAAACUAGUAAAUGUAUGGAAAAAAAUGGUAAAUUAAUGUUCGAGUUGUAAAUUGUAUGAAGAACUUGUAAACAAGACAAAAACUUAGAAAAAUGACAUAGAACUUGUAAAUUCACAUUAAGUGUAAAAUAAAACAAAAAAUAUGUAAAUCACACAAAAAACUAGUAAAUUAAUGAAAAAAAUGGUGAAUUAAUGUUGGAAUUGUAAUUUGCACGAAGAACUUGUAAACAAAACAAAAACUUAUAAAAAUGACAUAGAACUAGUAAAUUGACAUUAAUUGUGAAAUAAAACAAAAAAUGUGUAAAUCACACAUAAAACUAGUAAAUUGAUGAAAAAAUGAGUAAAUUAAUGCCGGAGUUGUAAUUUGUACGAAGAAUUUGUAAACAAAACAAAAAUUUAGAAAAAUGACAUAGAACUAGUAAAUUCACAUUAAGUGUGAAAUAAAACAUAAAAUAUGUAAACCACACAUAAAACUAAUAAAUUAAUGGAAAAAUAGGUAAAUUAAUGUUAGAGUUGUAAAUUGUAAGAAGAACUUGUAAAUAAAACAAAAACUUGUAAAUGUUGCAUAAAACUUGUAAAUCAACAUUAACUUGUAAAAGUUUCAUAAAACUUGUAAAUCACACAUAAAAUUAGUAAAUGUAACUUGGAACUUGAACAAAAAAGAGUAAUUACCUGCUACUUAGGUAACAAAUUACCUAUUUAUUUAGAAUUAAUGGUAGAAAUUUUUUAUUCAAAUCUAACGGUCCACGUCCAUUACGGCAUCAAUGCCGUAAAUUUAGUUACGGCAUUAAAGAAUGACCCUUAAAAAUAUUAUCUUGGGUGGAUCCCGCCCCUAAGCAUAAGUGAUGGGGAAGUUAGCUGCCAGCCGGGCCCCACGACUCAUGCAAUUCUCUAAUGCGUAAUUUUGCCGUCCGAUUAUUGUUAUACUUCAAAAUGGGCCAUGGGUUUGUUACUUACAAAAGAGAGUUGGGGUCUGAUUGGAAAUACUUGCAAGAUGUUUCAAAAAUGAUUUUGAAAAGUUAGUAGUUAAUUUAGGUGUUUGAUUUUUUUUCUUAAUUCCUUUGGAGAAAAUUAUGCCAUGUAAAUUUUAAAAAGUAAAAAAUGAGUAACUUUUUUGAAAUCUAAUUUUGACAAUCAUUUUUUAUAUUUAAUAUAAUUUCAUAUAUAUCUUCACAUAUAUUAUAAAAAUUUAAAAUUAUCCUUAUUAAUUAGAAAUAAAAUUAUUAAAUUUAAAGAGACUAUUAUUAUUGCCAAUUAUAUUGAGAUAACAAAAUAAAAAUAAAAUUAAUAAUAUAAAAUAUUUUUUUUAGCUAUCAAAUAUUAUAUAUACACAUUAAACAAAUAUUUUACAAACAUGUUUAUAAAUCUGUUAAUAAAUUUUAUUCAACAUUAUGUCCAUUUCAGUCGUUUAUAUUCUUAUAACAGUUGAACAGUAAGAUUUAUCAAAUACAUAUGACUGCUUUUAAAACCUAUAAUACUUUAAAAAUAAAUCUUACUAAACAUUUUAUUAAUUCCGUUCACAACUGAUUAUUUUGACAAUGCAAUUAACAAUAAUUAUUUUAAAAGAUACAACAUUAUUAAAGUGGUCCUUAGUUUCUCGGGCUUACUCCUAAUAUAGGAAUGAGAUUCUUUUGGGCUCUCUUUUUAUGAGAUUUAAUUUUUAUUAUGUGAUUUUGUUGUUUUUCGUUAAUCGGUUGUCAAUUAAUUGCGUUUUAGAAAUAUUUAUCUUUUUAGUUUUUAAGGAUUGCAUUGGAAAUUUUUUAAUAAAAAUGGUUGAAUAUGACCAAGUAAGUAAUAAUAAAUUAAUUAAUUAAAUUAGCAUUGUUUACAGAUAGCGUACGCAGAGUUACGGAAUCCAAGAAAUAUACUAAGUUAAUUAUUGUAUUCAAUUUUUUUACGAGGCCUUCAUCUUAGUAAUGCUAAGGCAUUUCUAAUAUCAUCAUUUUAUUGUCGCUGGAGACUUGCACUGCAUGCAAUAAAUCCUGGAAUCAAAUUUGAUGUAAAACCUUAUUAAACCCAAAAUCCAAAUUUGAUGCAAAUCCUAUUAAAUCCAAAUUCAAUAAAAUCACAUAUUAUUGUAUACCGUUCUUUUACCUCUAACCUUCACCAUCACCAUCGGCGUAUCGGAGUAUGUAGAGACUCAAAAUAUGGAUCUAAAGAUUGUACUAUACUUUUUGUUAGUGACAGUAUCGAAUCACGUCACGUGCUUCUUUGAUCAUUAAUUGGAGAAACAUUUGAAAGAAAAAAAAUAAGUUAAUUUUUCGUUUAAUUGUCUCCAACAUUUCAUUAGUAUUUAUCUAUAGAUAUAGGUGAGGUUUACUAGGUUUACUUUGGCUAUAGAUUUUAAGACGGUAUAAAAACUAUGCUUGUCAAGGCAAAAAAGAAAGGUUACAGAAAGAGAUUAUGAAAAAAAAAAAAUCUUUGAAAAUGUUAUUAUAUUUGUACAAAAACUAAAAUCAUAUAAAGUUUAUGUCUCUUUUUACCUACUCACGACUAAUAAUUUUAUGCCUUCUUACAAAAUAGUUAUAACUAAACCAAAUAAAAAGAAUAUCACUGAAAUUUAUAAGUAAUAAAUAUUCCCGUAUUUAGAUACCCAUGAUUGCUGAUUUAGGAGUCGUAUAGUCAUUUUUUCAAAAUGCUACAGCAGGACAAAGUUUCUCACUACAGCUCCAUAGUGUAGUUCAUCUGUUAACUAGAAAUGCCUAUACAUAGAUAUAUAUAUAUAUAUAUAUAUAUAUAUAUAUAGAGAGAGAGAGAGAGAGAGAGAGAGAAGUUUUUUAUCAACUUGUUAACAGUUGCUCUUUGGUUGGCACGAAGCUAACAAAUGCUGUGCCUAGUUUCCAUCCGAAGGCAAUUACACUGUAGAUGAUGUUUCUCUCGCUUACAUUGUUGGUGCUGCUUGCUCUCCGAAUCUUGGACCGUGUGAUGAGAUGGAUGAUUGGAAGCCUUUUCCUGAUGGAAUUCUACCGGAAGAAAUUACUACAAGUGACGAUGAACGUGUUGUGUACAUAUGCUUUCGUGAGGCUUCUGAGGUGAGAACAAUUGAACGGUGGGAAGUUGAGCAUUGUUGCCGUAAGUCAAUUAAGGUAGGGUCAAGCAAGAAGUGUCGAGACGAUUAACGAAGAUGAUCAGCAGCCUGUUCGGAAUAUUAUUCAUGAAUUUUGGCUCAUUGACGGGACUUCUUAUAUUGGUUGUGUUUAGUUUUCACCUGCCGACAAGGUUCAGUACACAUACUUGAAUAAAUUCAGUUUAACAUUUCAACUACGACCAUGAAGUACCCGUACAGGUUGCCACCUUGAGACUCAGUGUGUAAAAUUAAGAAUGAAGGUGCUUGAUGGAAAUGAUGAAGUGUACUAUGAAAUGCCACAGUGAGGUUAUUUUGGUGGGAAGACGAUAAUUAGAAUUUAGCAGCUCAAGGUACUCUCGAAUCAGCUAAACAAACACCCUCUAGAAGAGCUCUAUAGAAUACACUAGAAUACUGAAGAUGAAGCCAUGAAAGAUUGUGAUUCAUCAAGCUUAAUAGCAAAAUGUAUCAAGAGUUCUUAUUUCUAAUUGUAUCAAUCUAGACCCAAUCCUAGCCAUUUAAAAAAUAAUAAAUGCAAUUUAGUGUAUAAGCUUAGACUAAAAAGCCUGCAAAAUCACUUGCUGGAAAAGACAAAAUGAAUUUAUCGUAUUUGUGCGUUUUUGUUCUUUGUUUCUAGUUAUUCAUUUACUGCUUUUUUUUUUAACUGGACCGUCGAUGAAAACAUUUCAUAACUUGUGAUAUUAUCAUUUUAAAAUAAUAUAUAUGAUACUCAUCCAUGAAUGAUGAGAUAGUUUAAUUCAUAAAAUGUUUCAAAAAUUGUAAAAAUUUAUUAUUCACUUAAUAAGAAUCACAUGACUUCGAAACAGUUCCUUUGGUCCUUGCAUUCAUUAGCUGCUAUGCUAGUGCUCAUCAGUUGAGAAGAUGAAUGGGAUUAAUUGCUUUGAAUUUCCCAAAGUUGAAUCUCUUUCUUCUUCCACUCUAUUUAAAGCCUUCACCCCAUCAACUUGUUAUCGAUGGACUGUUUUUAAUUUUGACCUGCACGUAAGAUACAGAACCUGAGGAUGAUAGCCAAUUAGCCAUGAAAUAAAUUACAUAAGGUCGUUUGAUAUUAAUUUCCACUAGCAUUUGAAAUUUAUUUCCGUUUUCAGUUAUCUGAUCAAUUUUGAGAAACACAUAUGCAAUGUGGUUUCUGUUUUAGUUAAAUUUUAAAUUAUUCAUGGAGUAGUACUUAAAAAGAAAGUAACUUUGAGAAGAAUGGGCAAAUAAGGUAAUUCUGUUAUCACUCUAAUUCUCAAUUUAUAAUCACAUAAUUAUAGGCUCAAUUUGUCUCCUAGCCGUUGGAGUCAAUCGUGCAGCUGUAAAUGAGAUAAUUUACUUUCCAUGCAAGGUUAUAACAUUUAAUAGAUGAUUUGUUGCCAGACUUGGUUAUAACAUUUUUCAAAAUCCAGGAGUGAUUGAUGCAAAAUUUAAUGUCAUUGAUUCUGAAAAUCCUUUAGGAUGUUUCUCUUUAUAUAAAACACAAGUGUAAAAAUUAUUCACCCUGCACUCGACACAAAGAUAGUUAAAAAAUGAGCAUGAAAUUCUUAGGUAUACAAAUUGCAGUAGCAUUUACAUUUACGUUCUCACCUUGACCAGCAAAAUUAAUGGCUUUAGAAUUGAGCUCACCCCAAGAACCUCCAUUGAUUCGGCUCUGUUUCCCAAAGACCUUUCUCCAGAAGAAAUACAUCACAGAAUUGCUCAACUCUCCAGAGCUCGCGCUAUUCAUCUUAGAUCCAAUCAAGAACCCGAAACACUAAAAGCACCUGUUCCUCCUUCUCCUUUUGUUAACACCAAUAUAUACAUAACAAAGAUAUCCAUUGGCUCAACACAGUUCUCACCUUACUUGAUAGUGGAUACCGGUAGUGAUGAUACAUGGCUUCAAUGUGAGGGUUGCACAAGUUGCUUUCCAAUCAAGGGAGGAAGCUUUCCUGUCAAGGAAUCAAAAACUUAUCGCGGCUUAGCUUGUGAGCACGCUUUGUGUCCCCAAAUUGUGUAAUAAAGGUCUAUGCUCAUACGAUUGGAAGUACAAAGAAGGCAGUGGAACUAAGGGUGUGCUUUCGUCCGAAAGUUUCACUUUUCCUGGGGAUAAAAAUACAAGCCUAACAUUUGCAAAUGUAACCUUUGGUUGUGGCUAUGACAAUCAGAACGUAUCAUUUGGUGGAUACAUGGGAAGUGACAAUAUAAUUGCGGGGGUGUUUGGUUUAGGGGCAGGGCAACGAUCAAUCCUGAGGCAAUUGGAGCCUGAGACCAACCUACAUUUCUCUUACUGUCUUCGCUUGUACCCCACAACAGACGGGAGCAACACUACUUACUUGCGAUUUGGCCCUGAUGCUCAGAUAAAAGGAGACAAUAAACGAAAAGUUCAGACAAUAAAAUUGAACCCAAGCCUACCCGGGUAUUUUGUGAAUGUUACAGGUAUUAGCGUUGAAGGAAAACGACUAGAAAUAGACCCAGCUUUGUUUCAGCUGAAACAAGGAGGCUCUGGUGGAUUUGCUAUUGAUUCAGGUGUUGGACCCACUCUUCUUGUUCCUGAGGCAUAUGAAGUCUUGAAACUAGAAAUCCUCGAAUUCUAUUUGGCGCGAGGCUUUCAUCCUGUAAAAGUAUUGCAUGUGCCGUAUGAUCUUUGCUAUGCUAUUACACCUGCAGCUAAUGCUGAUGCUAGUGUUUUCUUCCCGUCAAUGGUAAUCCAUUUCGAAGGGGCUGACCUUUUUCUGGAUGAUACUGCUGUGAUGGGGUUCGUUGCUCCUCAAUUGUUCUGUUUGAUUUUCUUGCCUACGCAUCCAUCCGGACCGAAUCUUCUGGGGGCAUUUCAGCAAGAAAAUCAAAGGUUUUUGUUUGAUGUUGGAAAAUCUACUGUGUCAUUUGUUUCUGAGACAUGUAAUGAGCAAGAAUAAGAUUAUGUGACUCUAAAAAAAUUGCAGGCUUUUCAAAAAUUUUUUUUUUCUUUUUCUUCCCAGAUUGUCAGCUUCUUUGGAUUCAGGUCCUGCAAUUUUAAAGGCCUGAUCAGUACUCAAUUUUAGACAUAGCAGGUGUUAAAAAUGAGACUGAUGCAAUAUUUAAUUACGAAUUCUCCAAAUUUGAACCCUACGUAAACUUGAUUUAGAUAAUCAUGAUGUAAGAAGCAAUAAUGAUACAUGAUUAGGUGUACAAAAAGUUAUCGUUAAUGUAAAUAUAGAAAUUUGUAGAACUGGCAGUCGCAGCUCAUCAUGAUUAGUUGUGCAAUACCUUUAAUGGUAAAGCAUUAAUGAAAUUCUAUAAAGACUAAAAACCAUUUAAACCAAAAGAUAUAGAUUUGAUUGCCGCUCACAUGGGUGGGAAAGGGAGUAGAUUACUAUUAAGCCUAAUAAUAAUAAUAAGGAGCCCCUACGUUACGAUUAACGUAACGUACACUCACACACAGCAACAGUACCAAUUCAUUCAAUUCCUCAAUACCCAAAAACGCUGAUCUAAGCUUGCUUUAGAAAAGAUAAUUAUUAGGUAAGAAACAAUGAUACAUGAUUGGUGGUGUAUAAACAUUUAUCAUUUGUGCAAUAAUAUUGAAACUUGAAACACUGAUAACAUGAUUAGUUGUACAAUAUCUUAACGUUAAUGCAAUUUUAAAAAGAGUAAAGAGCAUUUAAAUGCAAAAUCAGCACCAAUUCCUCAAAAGCCAUUUGUUCUUCUGUAUAUCCAUACAAAAUUACAAAUGAUGCAACAAUGUUCUUGCUACUCACAAAAUAUAGAGAUUAUAGCUGUGAAACCCUUUGAUUUACAGCUACAACGGGUGGCUGCAGUUGCCCUUUACAUUUACAUCCUCACCGAGUUCAUGAGUACAACUUAUAGCUUCGAAAUUGACCUCAUUCCAAGAACCUCCAUUGAUUCAAAUCUUUUCCCCAAACACCUUACUCAUGAAGAAACAUAUCAUAGAAUUGCUUCACUUUCGAGAGCUCAUGCUCAUCAUCUCAGUUCCAUGAAUUCUGCCAAAUCCUCCCGAAAACAAAGCACACCCCGAGCCUGAUCAGUGGAUGCAACCACCAACUUUUUCUUUUCCUUUUGCUAAUAUAUAUGUAACAAAGGAUCGAGUUAAUUGGUUCAAGACAAUUCUCACCUUACCUGGUUAUGGAUACUGGUAGUGGGCUAUAUGUGACUUCAAUCUGAAAGAUUGAUUAGACAUUGAUCCGGCAUUGUUUGAGCUAAGCCGUGGCAGUUCAGGUCGGGUUUGCUAUUGAUUCACGCGUUGGACUGAUAAUUCAGGUUCCUGCUGCAUAUAAAGUUUGAAAGCUGAGAUGAUCAAGCACGUUGUUAUACAAAAUGGCUGGCAUCUCGUAGAGGCAGAGAAUUCAAAGAAAAUUCCAUAUGACUUCUGCUUUUGGGUCACACCAACUGGCAUUAAUGAUUCAAAACCAUCAAUGACAAUCCAUUUUGAGGAAGCUGAUCUUGUUCUGGAGCCUAAUGCUGUGUCUCAGAAAGUUGGUGAUCCCUUAUGAAUGAAUGUUAUCCCCAGCUAUCCUAAUGGACCAAAUCUAUUAGGGGCUUCUCAGCAGGCAAACAACCAUUUCUUGUUCGAUGUUAGAAAAUUUAUUUUGUCAUUUAUUACUGAAAAAAGUAAUGAAUAGGUAGGUUACAAGGUUAAAAUGUAAUGACUGGGUAGAUUAUAAGGUUAUCAAACAGAAUAAUUAGAGUUAUCUGCAUGAACAUAUAUAAGAUAUGUAUGACAAAAUUCCAGAGGCUAACUCUUAGACUACAAUAUUUCGGUUGAGGUUGAAUCAAUAAUUUAUCCAACUCCACAGCAUUCCAUCAUAUAUUUGUAAAACUCUUGGACUAUGAGACGGGCAAUUUAGUAAAUUGAACAUUAAUUAAAUGAAACAUACUUACAAAUAUAUUUAUGUAGAUAUAUUUCAUUAUUAAAAUUAUAAUUCAUACAACACAUCAUUUACACAGUUACGUGCCACUAAAAUUCUCGUUCGUCUUAACUAUGUUACAAUACUGUCAUCAUCAUCAUAUGAGUUUUUGUUUUACCGUCAAAUUAUGAUUGAAAUUUUGACCAACCUAUCUUCUUGUCACUGUUGGUGUACCGUCACCACAGUUUGUUGAGAAUCAAAUAAAACGGGAUUGAAUGAAGUUUUCAAAGACAUAAUCCGCACUUGUCAAAAGGAUAAUCUGCACUUGUCAAAGACAAGAUCCACGCCGAACGGAUUGAAACAUUUCCUUCCGUAUUCACAUAUGUAAACUUUGAAAAAAAUGUAGUCUCUGCAUCUAUAAAUAACUCUCAGUGUAUAAUGUUUUAAUUAAGAAAUGAAAACAAGUUUCUUCAUGGUAUCAGAGCCAUGAAUACGCUCAAGUUUCUUCACGUUUUGCUGCUCUGUUUGCAACAAAAACAGAGGAAACCAAAUUCUUCCCACAACCAUCUUUCCCACCAUUUUUCUUCCUUACAACCAUUCCUACCAUUUCAGAAAUCCAUGCCGAUCAAAAAAACAAGCCACCUAUACGUAAAAAACUUGAGUUUACAAAUUUAUCAACAAUCCUAUAAAUUUUCCAAGAGUGUGUUCCUCAAGAACCAAGAAUACCAUUAAAUUUCUCAGUUUCCAGUAAGUAAACUGUAAAAGUUUCGCAUUUAAACACAUUUCCACGCGCUCCCACGCACCACCCGAAACCACACCCAGUCAACCACUCGCCUCUGUCAUCUUCACGCGCUCCCACGCGCUCCAGAGGUUGAAGAAGACUUCAACCGACAUGUCGUUGUUUAUCUCCAGAGUGCAGCAGUCAUAAACGACAUGUCGUUUCGUAUUACAUUGAAACCGACAUGUCGUUUGUAAAGUAGAGACAAACCGACGUGACGUUUAAUUUCCAGAGGUGCAGCAGUCCUAAAACGACAUAUCGUUUCUAUUCCAUCAGAACCGACAUGUCGUUUUUUCAAGCAGAGGCCAAACGACUUGUCAUUUUUUGAUCUAAAAAGGUUAUUUUUUUUUCUUCUUUCAAUCUAGACCCCAAAAAAACAAAAAAAACAAAAACAAAAACAAAAAAAACAAAAAAAAGGAAAAGGAAAAGGAAAAAAAUAAAAAAAUGGAGAAAACUCCAAUUGAAUCUGCUCAUGUUGUCAUUCAAUCUGUUCAAUCUGAUGGAGUAUUUAAUGCUGGAAUUAUCCUCACUGAGACAAACUACGAUGUUUGGUCUCAAAUAAUAGAGAUGCAUCUUGCAGAAAGAGAAAAACUCUCAUAUAUUCGUAACAACACAAAGUCAUCUGAGGAAUCUUCAAAGGAAUAUGAGAAAUGGUAUAGUGAGAACCAAAAAGUAAAAAAAUGGUUACUCAUAUCCAUGUCUCCGGAGAUCAUGAAGCGAUAUUUACGAAUUCCUACAGCCUACGAAAUCUGGGAUGCAUUAUCAAAAGCCUUCUAUAAUGGAAGCGAUGAAUUACAAGUUUUCACUCUAAACCAGAAGGCAUUCUCUAUCAAGCAAAAUGGACAACCACUCUCUAAAUUCUACGGAGAAUUGAUCAAAAUAUUUCGAGAACUUGAUCACCGAGAUAAAGUGGUCAUGAAGGAUCCAGAAGAUGUUGUAAUAUACAGAAGGUCUGUUGAAAGAUUGAGAGUGCACAUUUUUCUUGCUGGGCUAGAUGAAGAAUUUGACCAAGUUCGUGGAGAAAUUCUACGAAAAGAUAUUAUCACAGACUUAGAAGAGUGUUAUUCUCUUAUCCGAAGAGAAGAUGUACGGCAAAGCAAACUAAACAAGAAGGUCGACUCAGAAACGUCUGCUAUGAUAGCACGACAGCAGCCUCAAAGGAAGCUUGUUGACAAGUCAUCACUCAAUUGCACUCAUUGUAGAAAGAAGGGUCAUACGAAAGAACAAUGUUUUGAAAUCAUUAGAUAUCCUGACUGGUGGGAUACUCGAAAGAAGAACACCAAACAUGGAUCAAAAACUGCAGUAGCUGAAUCCACAUCCACUACAGAUCUUAGAAAAGAAUCUUCAGUGCAAAUCGCAACCUCUAUCAGUCUAAGUAAGGCCCUUAAAACUCUUACACCUGUUAUUAAUAGUACAUGGAUAAUUGAUUCUGGGGCAACUGAUCAUAUGACUUUUGAUUCUCGAUAAGUUUCUCAAUUGAAACCAUCUUCACAAAAACAUAUUUCCACUGCAAAUGGAACCACAACCUCAGUUAUUGGGGAAGGAUCUUUACGACUCACAGAUGAAUUAAAUUUAAACUAUGUGUUAAUUGUUCCAUCUUUAGAUUAUAAUCUUUUAUCUGUGUCUCAAUUAACCACUUACUUAUCAUGUGUUGUAAUUUUUUGGCCCGAUCAUUGUGUGUUUAAGGACAUCCAAACGAAGCAAACGAUUGGUUAUGGUAUUAGACGAGGCAACUUGUACUACUUGGAGAUGUCAUCAACAAACACUGAAAAGCUAAGCCCCACACUAGUCGCAGAUAGUUCCAUAAAAAAAGAGAAAUCAGAAAUUUGGUUAUGGCAUAAACGUUUAGGGCAUGUGUCAUUUGGUUACUUAAAAAAAUUAUUUCCUAAUUUGUUUCUGAAAUUUGAUGUUUGUAACUUUAAAUGUGAUGUUUGUGAACUUUCAAAAAGCCAUCGAACUACUUUUUCAUUGUCCUUAAAUAAAAAUCAAGUUCCUUUCAUGGUAGUACAUUCUUAUGUAUGGGGGCCAUCUAAAGUUUCUACAAUUGGAGGUGCUCGUUGGUUUGUUACAUUUAUUGAUGAUUGUAGUAGAAUGACAUGAAUUUUUCUGAUGAAAUCGAAAGAUGAAGUAAACCCUUUAUUUCAAAGAUUUCAUAAGAUGGUCACGACUCAAUUUCAGGCACAAAUUCGAGUUCUACAUACUGAUAAUGGAGGCGAGUAUAUGAGCACAGCAAUUCAACAGUUUCUGAAAUCACAAGGAUCUGUCUAUCAAACCACUUGUGUGGGGACACCCCAACAAAAUGGCGUUGCUAAACGAAAAAACAGACAUUUACUAGAAGUUGUUCGAGCAUCACUAAUCCAAGCCCACAUGCCAUUAUCUUAUUGGGGAAAAGCACUGGCAUCCGCAGCAUACUUGAUCAACCGAACACCUUCAAGCUCUCUUGGAUUCCAGACUCCUUUCCAGGUUCUGAAUGAUGCAAUUAUGUCACCAAAUGUGCCGAAUUUACCCCCACAUGUGUUUGGUUGUGUUGCCUUCGUUCAUUUGCCGCAACAAGACAAAUUAUCUCCUCGAGCACUACGUUGUGUGUUUGUAGGGUAUGCCUUACAUCAAAAGGGAUACUGCUGCUAUCAUCCACCAUCAAGAAAAAUAUACAUCACCAUGGGUGUCGUCUUUCAUGAAGAUAUCAUGUACUACUUGUCAGAGCCUGAAUUUCAGGGGGAGUAUAAUGAAAAGGAAAUUCAUACUCUUACAUAUCUUCCACCUGAAGAAGGUCAAUCUUCCAUUGAGAUAGUAAACCUUCAAGAUACUGGAAAAGAUAAUGGUGAUGAUUCUCAGGCUAAGAUAAGUGAAGACACAUUUGGGGAGCACAAUAACUCAGACACAACUGCAAUCGAGAAUGAGUCACAUGAAGAAAUACCUAACCAAUCGUCUGCAGAGGAUGUUCCUACCACAAGUCCAAUCAGAAGAAUUCUUCCCUAGCGUCAAAAUAGAGGUAUCCCUAAAACCACAUAUGAGCCUGACUUCUCUAGUAGAGUCAAAUACCCUAUGAGUCAUUUUGUGUCUAACCAUCGCUUGUCAGAAUCAAAUUAGUCAUUUGUGAAUCAAUUAUCUAUUGUAUCUAUUCUUAACAGUGUGCAGGAAGCCUUAAAAGACCCAAAGUGGAAAGCGGCUAUGAAUGAUGAAAUGAGAUCUCUUCAGAAAAAUCAAACAUGGGAACUAGUUGAUCCUCCACCAGGAAAGAAACCAGUGGGUUGCCGAUGGAUCUACACUAUAAAGUACAAAGCAAAUGGCUCUAUUGAACGAUACAAAGCAAGACUCGUAGCUAAGGGUUACACCCAAACCUACGGGAUAGAUUAUACCGAUACGUUUGCACCAGUAGCAAAAAUUAAUACUAUUCGUAUCUUAUUAUCAUUAGCAGUCAACUUGGAAUGGCCAGUGCAGCAGUUCGAUGUAAAGAAUGCUUUCCUCCAUGGAGACUUGUCUGAAGAAAUUUAUAUGGAUCUGCCACCAGGAUGCAGUGGACCAGAACGACUCAAUCAGAAAGUAUGCAAAUUGAAGAAAUCAUUCUACGGGUUGAAGCAAUCCCCAAGAGCAUGGUUCGGGAAUUUCACAAAGGCUAUGGUUCUUUUUGGGUAUAACCAAAGCAGUUCAGAUCAUACCUUGUUCAUUAAAAAACGACAAGGUAAAAUCACUGCCCUUAUUGUCUAUGUGGAUGAUAUGGUAGUUACAGGCAACGAUGAGGAAGAAAGAAAGGCUCUUCAGAAGUACUUGUCGAGAGACUUUGAGAUGAAGGAUUUAGGAGCCUUAAAAUACUUUCUUGGAAUUGAGGUUUCUCGAUCUAAGGGAAGAAUAUUUCUGUCUCAAAGGAAAUAUGUCUUAGAUCUAUUACACGAAACGAGAAUGACAGCUUGUCAGCCUAUUGACACCCCAAUAGAAGAAGGACUGAAGUUUUGUAUUACCUCAGACCAAGUUCCAGUAGACAAAGGAAGGUAUCAAAGGCUGAUUGGAAUAUUGAUGUACUUGUCCCACACAAGGCCAGAUCUUGCUUAUGCAUUGAGUGUUAUAAGUCAGUUUAUGCAUAAUCCCGGAGAACAACACAUGAAAGCAGUAAUGCGGAUCCUGAGGUACCUGAAGACAAAUCCAGGAAAAGGAAUCUUAUUUUCCAAAAAUGAAGAUUACAGCAACAUAGAAGUUUAUACUGAUGCAGAUUGGGCCGGAUCAGUUAGUGAUAGACCCUCUACUUCAGGAUACUUUACCUUUGUGGGAGGCAACCUUGUCACAUGGAGAAGCAAGAAACAACAUGUCGUUGCCCGUUCGAGCGCUGAAGUAGAAUAUCGAGGCAUGGCCCUUGGGGAUAAGCUCUAUCUUAAACGAUUUGGGCUAUCCAUCACAACAACCAAUACAACUAUACUGUGACAACAAAGCUGCACGAGAUAUUGCUCAUAACCCAGUUCAACACGAUCGAACAAAACAUGUUGAGGUAGAUAGAUUUUUCAUCAAGGAGAAAUUAGAUGAAAAAAUCUUAGAACUGCCGAAAAUUCGAUCAGAAGAUCAACUUGCAGAUAUUUUAACGAAGGUCAUUUCAAGCAGGGCAUUUACAAAAUUCCUAGACAAGCUGGGUAUGUAAGACAUCUAUACACCAGCUUGAGGGGGAGUGUUGAGAAUAAAAAAAAACGGCAUUGAAUGAAGUUUUCAAAGACAUAAUCCGCACUUGUCAAAAGGAUAAUCUGCACUUGUCAAAGACAAGAUCCGCGCCGAACGGAUUGAAACAUUUCCUUCCGUAUUCACAUAUGUAAACUUUGAAAAAAAUGUAGUCUCUGCAUCUAUAAAUAACUCUCAGUGUAUAAUGUUUUAAUUAAGAAAUGAAAACAAGUUUCUUCACAGUUUUCUUGAUUGGUGCACUUAAACGUAACGGGGCCAAAGUGGGGUGUAAUAUGUAGAUUCAAGAGAGCUUAAUGGUUAAGGAUUAUAAGUGAGGACUACUAAAUUUUAACGAAAAGAGGAAAAAUUGUGGACUAGUAUGAUUAAAAAGACAUUAAAGAAGUGUGGACUAGUAGUAAGUAACGCAUAUGGAAAGAAGAAAUAAAAAAACAUCAAUGAUCUAGUUAAUUACAUUUGGGUGAUACAUAUUUUGAUAAAUUAAAAUAGUGACACAUAAUUUAAAAAUUCUCGAUCAAGUGACAAUACGUAAAUUUUUAUCAUUAAUUCUAACGAAUGAAGGGAAAAAUUAGAAAAAAAGAUUUAUUUUAGAGUUAACUACACUUGGAUGACACACAUUUUGAUAAAUUUCAAAAUAAUUACACACGUUUUAAAAAUACUUGAUUAGGUCAAAAUCCAUAAACUUUUACUAUUAAUUCUAAUGGAACAAAGAUAAAAUAAAAUAAAAAUAGUUUUUUUUUCAUUUUUCUCUCUCCCCUUCUUCCUUCCUCUUCUCUAGUUUUUUUCUCCUUUCCUCAUCUUCUUCAGUUCAUUUCCUUCUCGUUUUCUCCUUUUUUUUCAUCUUUUCAAUUCGUCCUUUUUUCUCCCUCUUUCUCUCCUUCUUUCUUUGUCUUCUCUAAGCAUCUUCUCCACACCCAUGGCAAAAUAGUAGCCAUGAGUUGCUAAGGUUGACUCAACAAGAAUUAAAAAAAAAAAAUAGUUUGAUUUAACAGAAAAAAAAAAAUCCUUGUUAGUUAGACUGACCUAGAUUCAAUUAUAAGUAAGUAGGUACAGAAACACCAUUUUGCAACUAAUUGUUGGGGCAAAAAUAUUAUUUUCUUAUUAAUUGACUAAUUCCUUUAGUUAACGGAUUAUUCUCUAAUCAAGUAUUUUUUAACGAUGUAACACUUUUUUUAAAUAUGUCAAAACAAGGUCACUGAUGGUAAUUAACUCUAAAUUAAAUCUCUUUUUAUUCAAUUUUAUCCUUGAUAUGUUAGAAUUAACAAUAAAAGCAAUGGAUUGUAUGAUAGAAUAUUUUUAAAAAAUGUGUCAUUAUUUUAAAAUUGUCAAAACAUAUGUCAUUCAAAUGUAAUUAACCCUUUUAUAAUCAUCUAUUAGCUGUAAUGGCUUGUCUUAAUUUUCUGAAGGCACAUGGGCGCCAUGUUCAUUCAAUUGAUAGAAAUUUGGUCUAUUGAUCAGGUGUUCCGUGCCGUUUUUGUCUUGAGAAUUGAAAAUCAGCCUCAACCUGAAAGCGUGUUAGCUUUGAAAAAAAGAAAAAGAAAAAAGCGACACAUCAUUUUCAAGCUGAUUAUAAUUCUUCUUAGUCUGUGUUUCGAUGGGAGAAGAGAAAAAGAGAGAGAAAAGUAAUUUAAAUUUUAUUUUUAUUUUUAUUGCUUGACUGGACAAAAUAUACAAGAAUUUAAUUUCUAUUAAAAUUUAAUAUCUAUCAUAAUGUAAAAUUUGAAUUUCACACCAAGUAAUGAAAAAUUUAAAUUUCUCUUAUGUUGAAAAUCAAAGCUUCUAAAAUUACCUUUCAACUUUUUAACUUGUUUAAUGCCAUUAAUAAUUAUUAUUUAUAAUUUUAUUUUAUCAAUAUAAUACUAUAAAUAAUUUUAUAUUAAUAAAAUUUAAUAAAUGAUUUAAGAGAUUUAACAAAAUAAAUGAACUUAUUUAUUUUAUUUAUUUAAUGCAAAAAUAUAGAAAUAUAAAUUAACUAUUGCCGAAAUUCCACUGGAAUUCAUGUGGAUUGUUGCCCUACCACCAACAGAACACCGCCGAAUGUAUGUAUAUAUAUAAUUCUAAUAAAUCAUGAAUUGUUUUAGAACUUUUUGACAUUAAAAAGGUUUGGUAUUGAUAUUAAAUUAUAUUUCAUUACUAAUGUAGAUAGUUUAGUAUUUAAAGUAAAAGAUAAUUUUUUCCAAAGAAAAAUAAUUAUAAUUUCUUUCCCUAUCAAAUUUUAUGUCAAAUUAAAUAAUAAAUUUUAAUUUCACUAUUCUCCUUCACUCCUUUCUUCUCUCUUCCCUUUCAUUCAAUUCUUUUCCUCUCUUCCCCUUUCUUCAAGCCAAACAUGGCCUUAGUCCUUUCUUCUCCCUUCCCCUUCAUUCAAUUCUUUUCCUCUCUUCCCCUUUUUUUCAAACCAAAUAUGGCCUUAGUAUAAUUUGGCUCUCAGGGCAUAGAAGGAAAAUUGCACGGGUAAGGAAAAAUUUCUCUAUUAAUUUUUUUUCUAAUGAAAUAAACGAUCCAUAUUAAAUUCUGAAUUUGAUAUUAACUAAUUUUUUCACUACAUUUAGAAAAUUAUGAGAGAAAAAUAAUAAUAAUAAUAGUAAGAAAGAAUCAUAAUCUAUAUUGCACAGGUUGUCGCAGUGACUCGUGAGUCGUGUGUCGUUUUUCGUGGGCGGGUGACUUGGAUUUGGCCUCAUAUGUCACUGCUCGCGUCAUCUGAAUUUCUCUUUCAUAAUCUAUAUUGCACAUAAUAACAGCGAUUAAUUAAGAAGCACUGAAGCACAAAGCCGCAAACCAGAUUUGUCAUCAAACCUAGUAAUUGCAGAUUACAAAGCUUGUACCAACAACCAAAAAUGAGCUGGUGGUGGGCUGGGGCAAUUGGCGCUGCCAAGGUACAGACUUAUAAUUAGAUCAUCUCUUUCAAUUGCUGUGCUUGAAAAAUUUAUUCUUAUUAGUUCAUAUUUUUAAAAUCUUGAGUUUAAUUUUCAUUUUAAAUUACAGAAGAAAUUCGAAGAAGAUGAGCGACCACCGCAACCUCAAGACUACCAGCACGUGGGACUCGUGAUAGGCAUUACGGGAAUUGUGGGAAACAGCCUAGCUGAGAUUUUGCCCCGACAGGAUACUCCCGGGGGCCCGUGGAAGGUCUACGGAGCGGCCCGACGCCCCAGGCCCGACUGGAACACCGAUCACCCGAUCGAGUACAUCCAAUGCGACGUUUCCGACCAGGACGACACGCAGGCCAAGCUCACAAAACUCACCGACGUCACCCACAUCUUCUACGUGACGUGGGCCAGCCGUCCCACGGAAGCCGAGAACUGCGAGGUCAACGGCACCAUGCUUCGCAACGUGCUCCGUUCCGUUAUCCCGAACGCGCCAAAUCUCCGCCACGUCUGCCUCCAAACAGGAGCGAAACACUACUUGGGACCGUCCGAGUCGUUCGGCAAGAUACGGCCUCACGACACUCCUUUCACCGAAGACCUGCCAAGACUGAAUGUGCCAAACUUUUAUUACACUCAAGAAGACAUACUGUUUGAAGAAGUUGAAAAAAGAAAGGGGCCGUUGCCAUUGACUUGGUCCGUACACCGGCCUCAUUUAAUAUUUGGGUUUUCACCGUACAGUUUGAUGAAUGUUGGGGGCACUCUGUGUGUGUAUGCGGCUAUAUGUAAACAUGGAGGGGUUCCUUUACUGUUUCCAGGGAGUAAAGAUUGUUGGGAGGGCUACUCGAUUGCGUCGGACGCGGAUUUGAUUGCGGAGCAACAGAUUUGGGCGGCGGUGGAUCCGUAUGGGAGAAACGAAGCUUUUAACUGCAGCAAUGGGGAUGUUUUUAAGUGGAAGCAUUUGUGGAAAGUGUUGGCUGAGCAGUUUGAGAUUGAGAAUUAUGGGUUACCACAGGAGGGCGAGAGAGUGAGAUUGGAGGAAAUUAUGAAAGGUAAAGAAGGUGUGUGGGAGGAGAUCGUGAGAGAGAAUCAGCUGCAGCCCACAAAGUUGAGUGAGGUGGCUGUCUGGGGGUUUGCAGAUAUGAUGUUAGAUGGAGGGUUUUUGUGGUUGGGUAGUAUGAAUAAGAGCAAGGAGCACGGAUUCUUGGGCUUCAGGAAUUCUAAGAAUUCUUUCGUUUAUUGGAUUGACAAGAUGAAAACUUACAGGAUUGUGCCUUAAGAGGAGUGAUACUCUUGUGAAGGUUGUAAUUGUUGUUUGGUGAGUAAAUGGUUAUUAUGUUUCAUUAUCAUGAUUCAUGUAACUGUUUGAAAAAUCAAUGGUUUUUGGUCUGAAGUUGGAAAAUCUACAGUCUCGUCGCAUCUGUUUAAUAAAAAUAAAUCGGAGGCUUUUUAAUUUCUGUUUCUUUGUGUUCAUCAGUUCAUCCCGGCCUUUCUUUCAUCUUUCCUUGGUACACCAACCAGUUGUAAUAAUUGCACAACAAAACUGAUAGUGUUACAGAGAUCUAUUUAUGGCUAUGCUUUGGUUAAUGAAAAAACUAAUGUAUACGACAUAAUUUGUGGCAGUGGGGGCCUGCGUUCGCGCGGCCCCCUCCCCAACUCAUUUAAAAUUUUGAACUAUUUUUGUGCGCCAUUAUCUCAACGGCUAUCUCUCAACUUACAACUAUUUUUGUGCGCCAUUAGCAGCCUCCUUAUUCUAAGUGAGUUUCAUAAUCCUGAUCAGACUGAAAAUCUUUUGUACAUUGUCGUCUGGUUGUGACUAGUGCCCUAACGGUGUUACAAUCAGAUCUCUGCCGAAGUCAAUGCGUAUCUUAGUAUACUUACCUAAUAAGAUCCUAAUUAAGGUUUAUUUUAUUAUUUAAAAAUUAAAAAAAAAAACAAACUGAAUAAUUAUAUUUGCUCACCUAAACGUUAGGCCCCAUCUUAAUAUAUAGUUCCACUAAAAAAUUAGUUUUUCUUUAUUUUCUUGUUUAAAAUGUAGGAUUUUAAUUUUUUUCAAUUAUUUAACAUUAAAUCUUGAUUGAAUUUAGACCUCACUGAGAUUUAGUUAAGGAUUAUUCUCUAUUUUUAAAGUUAAAUUUCCAUCAAAUAAGGUUGUUUAAUGAUUUCUACUUUUAAAAAAAAUCAAGGCAAUUAAAAAUUAUUAUGUAGAAAAUUUGUUAAGGAUUUAUAUUUUUUUAAAAAUAAUCAUACAUAUUUAUCAUAAAAAAUUCAAUCAAUCUCAUGUUAACCUUUUUUUUUAAAAAAAAAAAAUUUUCCUAAGACCUAAAAUUUAAUUGCGCCGACCCUAACCCACAGUUUAGGAUGGAUAGAUUUUGUUGUUUUUUUUUCCAUAUGACGGUAUUAAGAUUGUGGAUACAUGCCUUAAAUGGACUUAGACCCUUAUUACCCUACGACGUGUAUCGCCUAAAUUGACUAUAAAUAAAAUAAGGCUGGAAAUGUAUUUAAUAUUCUAAAAGCUUGUCCGAAAUUGGCUAGAAAUAAAAUAAGAGCAGAAAUGUAGUUAACAUACUGAAGCUGGUAGCUGCAUCUAAAACUUUCCAACGGCUAGUCUUCUAUGUCUAACAUUCAAGACCCUGCUCAAGAAUGAUAGCAUUUACCAAUCACACGCUCAUUAAAUAAAUCAUCUUACCAAAAGCACUUUCAUUUUUGUAAUAAUACAAUUUUAUUAUUGUAUAUUAAAUUAAGUGCAAAAACUAAAAAAAAUCAGUUAUUGGGAGAUUAUGGACCCUUGGAGAUCCAUUGUUAUUAUUCAGAGAGGGGAUGAAGAUCCCUCAAGCAAUUCUGACAAGGACGGGAUCAUAUGCGGAAUAUUGGGAAUGGGUACAUGGAUUUCGACCUCCUCUUCUCCUCUCCCCAUUACCAUUUAAGGUUUAAACGAUAAAGGAAGCAUGUUGAUUUUAUCAUGAUUAAGUAAGUAUGCGUGUCACAGGUGCAAUCAAGCUUUGGAAAAUCAAUUGUAAUGGUUUGAUGUUGGAAAACCUUCGUUCUGCCAUCUCUUUUAUUACUUGUUAUGAGCAAAAAUUACUUGGAAACCCUUGUACUACCCAAAUAGAAGUCAUGUUUGUUGGUUAGAUUUCCAGCUAUGUAUUACUUUGUUGUUUGUUAAUAGCAAAUAAAUAAUUAAACGUGUUUGGGGAAUUAAAUAAGGUGACCAUGAUCUCCUCCAAUUAAAAGUGAGCAAAUAGAUGAGCAGAACACCUCGAUCAGGUGGUAAUUCUUGAGACCAUGAGCAGACCACCCCGACUAGAUGGUAAUUAUUGAGAUCAUGAGCAAACCAUCUCGACCAGGAGGCAAUUCAAGUGAUUGUGAGUAGAUGGGUUUGAGGAGACCAAAACCAGGUCGGUCCACAGACCCCAAUUAAGUUUUAUUGACGAGUUCCCUUUGAAAAUUCGGGCAUGACGUCCAUGCAUGGCCAGUUGUUAUAAUUACAACUCAAUAACUACUAUGUAACGGGCGCAUUAACUCAUGAUUCAAGCGGCGCAUUCAACCCAGUAACGCCAACGCAUUGAAGAUGGUAUGAUAAUUUCGGAUGCCUAUAAAAGUACUAAAAAAUCCAAAGGGAGGGGGUGACUUUUCUCUCUCUAUGAUAUUUUUUACUCUCUUCAGAGUCUUCAUUCAUCUUUAUAGAAAAAUAAAAAACAGUUUAUUUUUUUUAGUUUUAUUUUGGUAAACCCAUAAACUGACUUGAGCAUUGAAGGGUUCAUGCUGUAAAAGCUUAUGGUGCCUCUUACCGUUCUCUAUUAUUUCAGGUGUUCGCAAAUUAUUUACGAGUGGUUGCAAGGUAUUCUUGACGAUUGGGCAGCCGAUUCUCCACCAAAUAAAUUUAAUGCUGGUGCAGAAGUCUAGUAUUCAGUCGCUAAUCAACUCAAUUGGAUUUCAGCAUCAACAAAACAAUUUUACGUCAUUCUCAAACUUCAAUAAAAUUGAGCAUAUAUACAAAAUAAAAUUGACCAAAUAUUUCAAAUUUUGAGGAUCAACAUUAUCUAUCAUAGACAACAGCUAGCAAUACAUAAAGGCAGCUACCAAUGUAUAAGAGGAUAAGAUCGAUCAACAAAAGGGUGGGGUUCCACGAGGGCCAGGUCGCCCGCCGACCAUUGGUCCACAACAGCUCUCAAAAAGUGCAGCAGUAGCGCAGCACAUAAAUACUAGGGAUGGCAAACAGCGGGCCUGGGCCGGGCUUUUUCAAGCCCAUGUCCAAGCCCUCUGUCAGCUAAGUGUACAGGCAUGGGCCGGUCCAGGCCCAUUGCGGGCAUGGGCCGGUCCAGGCCCAUUGCGGGCAUGGGCCGGUCCAGGCCCAUUGCGGGCAUGGGCCGGUCCGGGCCCAUUGCGGGCCUGGGCCGGGCUUGGGCUUUAUUUAUUUAUUUUAAAUUUUUUAAAUUAUUGUAAAUUUGAAAUAAAUUAAUGAUCAACAAGUUAUUACAAUCAUAGAUAAAUUAAAGAAAAUGAAUAUUUCAAAUUAAAAUAAUAAAUAAAGCAAAUAAAACUCAUAAUUUUAAUUUUCUUUAAUACUAGAUUUUCUAAUUCAAACGCUCUCUUAAUUAAUUGACACAAAAGAGAGAAUUUAGUAUCAUAAUUUUAGUUUUUUUGAAUCAUAAUUGAUUUAUAAGUUAAGAAUUUAAGUUUUCUUCUUUUAUUUUUAAAUUACUUUUCAAUUUUAAUCAUAUUAUUCUAAUUUAUAAAAUUAUUUUUUUAAAAAAAGUAGUGGGCUUGGGCUUUGUCCGGGCUUUUUUUCUUGGGCCCUUGUCCAGGCCCUCAUGGGUGAGGGCCGGGCCUAAGCCCGCGGGCCUGGGCUUGGGCCGGCCCGGGCUUUUUUGCCACCCCUAAUAAAUACUAUUACAAUAAUUAAUAAUGCCCUAAAUAAGUACCCAAAAAAAAUCAAGACUUUUUUUGUAGGGAUAGCGAGGGCUCGAUUCAAUUUGGUUUGCUUCUGGAUCGAACUAAACUGAUCAAUUUUUGUCCAAUCUAUAAACCAAAUUGAAUUGAUUCGGUUUGAUUUUUAUAGUUUUGAACUGUAAAUUCUUUUACAUUUUGUAGUUUUUUCAAUUUCGAUUUUUUUAACCAAUAGGGUUUUCUUAAUUUUUUAAAUCACACCGACGUAGAUUGAACCAAAUCAUCGGUUCGAUUAAAUUUUUUCUUGGCAUCAGUUUUUAUACCCGCCCCUAAUUUUUUUGUAUCACCCAAUUCAAUUAAAGUUACCAUAAAGAAAUAAAACGGAAAAUACCACCAAAAAAAAAAUUCAAAGUAACCACACUCGGCCCUCCUAACAACGAACCCCAGCCUAGCAGCAUCUUCUUAUCUCUCCCUAAUUAGAAUGCAAUGCAAGGAUAUAUAUACGCUGAUGGUUAUUGAUCAAGCAGAUGUAGAAAAUAUACAGUGGUGUCUGUGCGCGCGCGCGCGUGCGCGUGUAGAUUCAAGAAAGCUUAAUGGUUAUGGAUUAGAAUUGUGGACUAACAAAUGGAGAAGGUAAAUGGAAUUUGUUUAAUUUAUACAGCCUGAUGUUCCGCAUCGAUAAUGAAAGACUAGUAAGUACUAAGUAGAAAGAACCAUUUAUAUAUAUAACCCAGUGAUCGAAGUUCAAAUUGUUCAUGACACUUCGAUAGGAACAGGUGAGUCAAGUUGAUGAAAAGGUAAACGAAAGAAUGUAAAACAAAAUGUAAAUUCAAAUUUCUCGGUUUUUGCUUCAUAUAUGCAUUAAACACAGAACGCUUCUAUGUUGAUUGUAUGUUAAUAUUUGCAACCAAUCACUCUGUCAACAAUUAAAUGACUCUUUAUAUAUAUUACUAUUAUUCGAAGAAUUCGAGUUUCUCUGCUGCAAACAAUAAUGUUUGGCAAACCUAGGAUUAAUUAGAGUGCUCUAUUUAUAUUUAUUUGUGGGAUGAUUUAUAAUAAGAGAUUUCUUAUAUAUAUUUUAGCUUUCCUUUUGCUAUUGUAGCUGUCUAAAUAUUUUGAGGGGUAAGGCUCACUAUGUCUCCGCUAACUAGGUAUAAAAUAUUUUUGGUUUUUAAUAAAAUUACCUCGCUAGCCAAAUUUCAUUAAAAAAAAAAAUUAUCUAUUUAUUUAUUUUUUAAUGUUAGGAGGUCCCUCAAAAGUUAAAUCGAUCUUUUUAACCCCUAUGACCCUAUCUCUCCAAAUUGUUUAAAAGUUCAGGACUUUUUUUUUUUUGGUUUUGACCACGAGGUAUCCUGGGGAGGGCCCCAACUGUGGGAGGCACCUUUAAGGUCGUACCACAACCCAGACUAAAAGUCCUAAAAGUUCAGGACUUUAAUUCUAACAUAUCUUGAUAAUAUAAUAUGAGUAAUAAAUUGACACUUACUUGGCAAUUUAUUUAAUUAUUAAAAGAUGUCACACGAUUGGCAUUUCGAUGAUUGAUAAACCACAAAGUUAAACAACACUAUACACAUCAUAAUUAAUGAUAUGUGAAACAAUGAUUUGAGACAAACUAUAUAAACCCCAGUUUCGUAAAUGUAAUAUAAUAAAUAAUUAUUAUACAUUAUAUUUCGAAUCCAUCCUUUACACGGUAAGAUUGAAUUAAUAAGUAUCAAGUAAAGUAAUGGUGAAUUAGCAUCAUUUUCAUCCGAUUAAACUUUCAUACAAUAACAAUGAACAAAACCAUCCAAUAAAUCAUAGUUAACUAUCUUAAACAAAUUCCUUAACAAUUAAAACUACCGUCUUCAUUACAUAAACAACAUCGGAGUAAAAGUAAAGCAGCACAGAAAACUCUAUGACAAGGUGGCAACUGGCAUGCAAGAUGAUCACGGAGGUGGUGGGCCGAAAUCAGUUGGACCAGGAGGACCAAGUUGGCCCAUUGGAUCACCAAAGCAGCCUCGUUGCAACCAGCAGCGGCUCACAAAGCUCAAGCUGUCAUAACAAACCCAACGACAAGCAAUCAAAAGCCAGUACUAGCUUUUUCAGCCACUGAGAAUUUUUGUCAGUAUGUCAAUUUUUUCGUGAUUGUUCAGUUGCAUCUAAAGUCCCCAUUUUGACACGUUUUAGUGUAUCUUACACUACCUGAUAUAUCAACGAUGUUUACUUGGAACAUGGAGAAUUUUGAAACCCUCAACACCUAAAUCCGAUGUUUAAUGACUUACCAUGAACCGAUGACGUCACAAAAGCCAACGAAAAAUUAGUACUGUUACCGGCUCUUUAAGCAAAAUUAGUACACGCCAAGGAAAAUAACAAGAGACUUUCACAAGUCCAAACUUGCUCUUGCUUGUAUAUACAGAGAUGCAAAACGUUUUCAUGUUAAAUGGACGUGGUACAAAUGCCAGAAGGUUUCUUGUGUUUAUAGAAAGUGCAUGCUUAGGAUUUAAGCAUCCAUCUUUGUUGUCACAUUUGCAUCUAACACUUUCCAACUGCUAGUCUUCUAUGUCUAACAUUCAAGACCCUGCUCAAGAAUGAUAGCAUUUACCAAUCUCACGCUCAUUCAAUAAAUCAUCUUACCAAAUGCACUUUCAUUUUUGUAAUUAACAAUCACAAUAGUGAUUUUGAUAAUUCAAGUGAUAAUCGCUGUAGUUAAAACCCAUUUAACAACCUAUGGAGGAUUUGUGCACGCAAAUGUGACCGAAUGGUUUUUAAAUAAUUUUAUUUAAUUGGCUAUCCAACUUCAAAUCUUAAGAGAAAUAAGGGAUUUAAACAAAAUGAAUUUGAUCAAAAUGAAUCUGGACUUUGCUCACUGCCUCGAAAAAAAUAAAAACUACAUAAGGUUAUCGACACGAGUCUUCAAUGAUAAGCAAUUAGAUUAUAUUUUACUUUCCAGAAGAUAGCAUGUCUCAAAGAGGUUUAAGUCAAGAAAUUUCUAAAACGCAACAACAGAUGAACGAGUGUGAUUAGAAAGUGCCACAGAGAAAUGAAAAGAUGUUGGUGAAUUUUCAAAUAUGGAGGCAAAGAGUAAAGAAAAUUUCUUAGGAUUUGAGACGUGUUUACACACUUUCCUUUAAGGUUUUAUUUGCCCUCACCAAUCUUGGUUUGCUACAGAGUUUUAAUGGCAAAUUUCCCCCAAGAUAUAUCAAAUCCUGAAUACAAUCUCUAGCAAAUAAGAUUGUAUUUCCAGAACAUGUAUGAAACCUGUAAAAUCUGAUAUUAAUCUAAUUAUAUGUCUAUCUUUAAUGAAGAAGAUAUUUAAUUGAAAGAAUACAACCAUUAGAAAUGGUACUUCUUCAAAGACACUCUUUUGGUUUGAAUUUGCAUCGACUGACAAUUGAAAUUUUCAAGCUUGCUAACCGUUUUUCCAGUUGACGUCUCUCUGGAAAUAAACGGUUAGCCGUUUUCUAAAUAACGGCGAGCCGUUUUAUUUCAAAAUGUCAAAUAAGUUACUCACUGUAAAUAAACGGUUAGCCGUUUUCUCAAUAACGGUGAGCCGUUUUCUCUAAAAUAUGAAACCAAAGAUUGAAAAAUAUAACAAUCUCUCUUACAAAAGAAUACUAUAACUAAUACAUCUAUAAAUCUUAUUUCCAUGAUGACAUUAUAGCAGUGGGUUACCAAACCCAAUUGAAUUAUAUAUAUAUUUACUCGAAAAUUAGGUUAAACUGAUUACACAAAUUCUAUAGAAAAAUGGCCAAAAAAGAAAAUUAAAGAAAGACAAGUGCAGCAAAUUAAAGAUGUUUAAUUAAACCUCUCUAACCUUAAACAUAACAUAAGUCGUUGAGGUGCCGAAUAUGCAUGGAUCGAUCCAGUACCGUAAGUAACAAGGCAGCUUCUUCUAAUUAAGCAUAUUUCCGUUUGCCAGACCGCAACCUCACCCAGGAUCACAUGAUUAUCCUCCAACAAAACAAUCGUUGCCAAGGUCAUAAUGAAGCCAUCAUCAGACUGUCCGUGCUCUCCACGGACGGCAGCAGCUAUAAGCUCCUAAUAAAUCCAUCACAUUGCAACAACAUUUUCCAUCAAGAAAAGAUGUGCGGGACCCAAAUCUGCACUACGAAAAGCACCACGAAAGAAGUUGAGCAGCAAAGGUAUGUAAAUCGAGAGAAGAAAAUAAUGCACAUUGAUGGUUAAAGAGAGCAGAACGCCGGCCCGCCUGCUUUGUGUGCAGACAUGAGAUAAAGCUACUACGUAUUGUGCCCAGUAAAAGAUCGAAGAUGCUGAUUCGAUUCUGAUGCUGAAUCCCCAGACCAAGACUAAGGUUGGAGCAAGGGUUGCUAUGGCUGCAUAUUCAGAGCCCAACACCUCCGCGAACAAGAUCAUCCAGCUGUUUAAGUUUGUGAUGAGAAUCAUUGUUAACAAAGAUGACAUGUCGGGAAGAAGCUCAUGAUUGUGGGUUGGCCAAAUGGGCAUUUUCCCUUUUUUUUUUGUAAAUUUUUUUUCUCAGUAUUGUAUGUAACUUGUCUGUUUGGCUUCUGGGAAAAUAAAUAUGAGAGGAGAAAGCGAUUGGAGAAAAUUAAGCUGAGUCACAUGAUGAGGAUUGAGGCAGUCCAAACCAUGUGCUUCUACUCUGUUAGUGCAUUUACCUAUCUCAUAUAACAAAUGGAAAUGGCAGAGAAUUCAAAUUAAAGCUUCACAAAAUGGGAAACUGAGGUAUAAAGUGCUGGGUGGAAGUGACAAAUUAAGGAAUUUUGAAGGUCAUAGUCAUCUCAAUUUAUAGACUUCAUUAAUGCCAAUAUCUUAUUAAUUUCUGAAGUUGAAAAUUAACAUAUCGUAGACUUGUUGAGCUGUACAAAGCUCGUUACUCAUUCCAGUCACUUUAUUUCUCAAAUUUAUGAUCUUUCAAAAUCUUCUCAACUCCCACUGUUAUUGCUGGUUUUUCUGUUGAUCAAUUAAAAUUUAUUUCUUCGUUUGUAUGCAGGCACGUUUAUUUUUCAUCAUUUUUUUUAUUUAUGCAUAUCUAUAUUUGAGUACUUGUAAAAAAUUAUGUAUCACACAUAGGAAUUAAGAAUUGUUGCUAUGUUAUUAACCAAAUUCUCAAGAUUUUAAAUGCAGUGGAAAGUUUUGUACAUUUCAAUAUUAUUUCUAUCAAUAUUUUUUGGAGAAAUAAUUGUUGAAAAAAUAAAAUAAAAUCAGAGAGCGAGAAACUUUUGCCAAAAAUUGAAAAGAAGACUUGUACUCCAAGUUAUUGCGGUACGCCCACACAUAACACAAGAAUAACAUAUAUCUCCAUAAUUAAAUGAUGAAUGAGUGAGUAUUCACGUCUCUUGUAAAAGAUGAAAAAUUCAAGAACAGACCAAUAAGUCUGAAAGAAGAAAUAUUGAUUAGAUAUGAAGAUGAUCGAUGUGAACUUAACAUGUUAUUGAAUCAUUUGAAAUAUUGUGUUGCAAAGAUGGAUAAAAUAUUGAAGCUAAUCACGUCGAUAAGUGAACAUGAUAAAAUAAUCAGCGUUAAAGAUCAUUUGAGCAUUUUACAGUUUAAAUGCAUAGAGAAAUUGUAUGAUGGAUGGAGUGAUGUUGCGACAGAGGCAUUGAUUAAUAAAUUAAGGUUACUUGAUUUUAACCUUAAAAAAAACUUACUUGCCUUUUGAACUUUGUAACAGGCUAAUAUUUGCAUUUAAUUUUCUCCAAUAUUUUAAUAGUACAUUUGUCUAUAUCUAUAGGCUGAGGUUUAUCAUGAAUAUAGAUUCAAAAUUGUAAAAACCAUGCUUUUAUAGUGAAAAAAUGAAAGAAAAUAAAGAAAACAACGAACAGCAGAAAUAGAUAACGAAUAAAUGUUCUUUUAAAAAAAUUAAAUAAUUUAUGUCUAAAAAGAUAACAAUCAUAACAAGAUUAUGUUCUUUUUACCUACUCACAAUCAAUAAUUUUAUGCAUUCUAAUAAAAUAGUAAUAAUUAAGUGAAAUAAAAAUAAAAUAAGUUCAUGAUCAACACCAACUACCAACACAGACAACAAAUAUUUUGUGACAGACUGGGGACAAAAUAACGUAUAUCAUAAAAGCACGCGAACUCGUGAUGGAAUUACAGUUUAUGAAGGGAUUAAUGACCAACUUUGUGAUAGAAUUAUUGGCAAUCAUGAAUUUAUGCUAUGGUCUGAGACAAAAAAUUAUGUUAACUAUCAUUUGAAAAUAAGAAAUGAAACAGUGCAUUUACAUAGUGCUUGAGUAAAAACACUCCGGCAUUUUCCAAGUCUAAACACAGUCAUCCUUACGGUAACGGGUCACAGCCUCACUGUUAAAUUUAGAAACUCAAACCCUCACUCGAUCAUUCAAAUCUCUAUGACGUCACUGCGUAUAUUACAAAGCAAAGAGAGUUACCAUAUUGCUGUCGUUCAGAGCUCACGUUGCCGCCGUUGUACCAAUAAUCUAUUGGAGUUCUUGGCGAAGAGUGGUCGGGAUUUGCUCCCCGGUCGCUGGAGGCCCCAACGCUGGUGAGAUUCGAAAGAAACAUUUAGCUGUGAAGCGAUGAGUUAGGCGUGGCCAGGAUUAGUAUCAUAUUAUUAAUCGAUGGUUCAUGCUCUUUCAUUUCUAUUUCAUAAAGAAUUACUUCUAAAUGUAUAAUUUAACUUGGUAAUUAAAUAUUUAUCCGUUUAAUUGUUGCAAGUUGAGCUGGAUUAUGAGCUGUGGGUUCCCUCGAUGAGAAUUCAAUUCAGUCUCUUGAUCAACUAUGGGACCUCACAGUAAUACCAAUUAUUCAACCUUUUUUUGUCCAUAAACCAUAAUAUAUGAAAAGGAGCCUGCUAACCUACCCGUUCAAUUUGACAUUUUUGUUAAAACCUGGAUUUUAUUAAUUUUUAUUAUUUUCAUAUGUGCCCUAUGGUGGAGUUACUGAAGAGUUGAAAGGCAGUUGUUAGAAAACAAAAAAGUAAUAUCCAAUUCCUUAGUUCAUCCUAGACUCCGCUUGCAUGGCUUUUUGCACAAACCAUGCCUGACUAUUGAAAUUAGGGAAUUAGCUUGGAUAAUGCUUAGAUGGUCAAUAAUUAGCCAAACAAGACAAGUAAUAUCCAUUGGUUGAUGAUGCUUGAUUACAGGAUGGGUCAUCUUAAUAAUAGUGCCUUUGAUAUUAGGUAUACUUUCUUAUUUGUUUUGGACUCAUCCAGGGACCAGAAGGCAGAGGCUGAGACUAAGCCUUUAUGAAAAAUUCUCUCUCCUAGGUUAAUACUGGCACUAUUGUGCAGAGUAGGUUGCAUUAAUUUCUUUCACCCUCUGUGUUUUUGAUUCCUUGAUCAGUUUUCGAUUAUGCAAAGCACUGAACUUAAAUUUCUGUGAUUGUGUGGUACACUUAAAGGAGGUUGACUUGACUGGAAACUUGCUUUCAAAUUAGAAGGUUUGCGUUCUUACAUUUUACAAUUUGUAAGAGCUGCUUCAAUUAUGUUUUGAUCUAUGCUCUCUGUUUCACCUGUUUUAAAUUUAUUAGCUACAAAACCUGCAUUUUCUGCUAGAUAACCUUUUAAAAAUCACGGUCAUAUUUAGCAUGGCAUGGAUGCACAUAAUUAAUUGGCUUUUUAAUCUUUCAAUAAAUUCUAAAUUUCUCAAAGUAAAAUGCAAUCGGUGAUCUUUUGUUUGUUUGAGUUUCUCUGUUCAAACUUACCCUUUUUUUUAUACUGAAAAAUGGAAAUGAAAAAUCUGAGCGCAUUGAGAUUUCCUACAAUUGGUUUCUUAAGUCAAAGCUUUUUGAAUGAAAUGAAAUUCGCUACUGCUGCAGUGCAUGCCAGAACAAUUAAUCCUACUUCUACUUUUUAGUGGCGUAUCUACUGAAGUUUCAUUGUUAAUCAUAGUGGAGAGUUGAGACAAAUUGGCUGAAAGUAUAUCUAUAAUUUCGUAGCAAUGUUUUGGCUCAUGCUUUUAUAUUUUCAUUUGUUUGGUAUAUUUCAUGAGAUUACUAUUAUUAACAUAUUAACUACUGUUUGAGUAUACAUUAAGGGGUUAAUGCUACAAAAGUGUUUCUUGUUCAAAACAAAUGAUAGUUUAUACAAGCAUUUUUUUUAAUUAAAAAAUUGUAUAUCAUCAUUAUGGUUUAAUUAUGAAUUCUUUGGAUGAUGAUACUCUGAUGGUUUUGGGGGUUAUUUUAGUGUUGGAAUUUGGUGGACAUUGAUUUUUGGCACGGGUACUUCGCACCUGGUGAUUACUUAUAUUAGGAUAUGGGGUUGAUGUAUUUUGAAAAUACUUCAAAAUACAUGUAUUUUGUUGUUUAUUUUUAUAGGGGGCAACAUCAUAAUAAAAAAAAUAAUAGUUUAUAAGAUUUUGCAUAAUAUCAAAUUUUGUUUAAAAAAUUAAUCCACCAAAGAUAAUUUUUCAAAAAAUUAAUAGGAAAUUUAUUUUUGAGUGGGUUCAAUUGCCCCUGCACCCUUAAAUAUAGAUCUAUCUUGUUGACAAUGAUCUAGAUGAAGGAUAGAUUGCUUGUCAUGCACCCAUUUUAUGAUAAUUAUUUUCCGUCAUCUACUGUCCUUUUCUUGUAAUGCUUGUUAAUUUAAGAAUCAUACAAUUAACUUUGAAUGUGCCCAUUUGCAUAUGUGCGACAUUUUUCCUAUUUCUUGGCUUAACUAGGGGGGAAAAAACUUUAUUGACUUAUUUUUUUGUAUUUCCUUUAAAUUCAUCCAUCGUUUUCAUUUAAACUCAGUUUGAUAUAGUUUUGUAAAUAGAGCUUAUUUACCUUAAGUAUAACUUUUGUUAGUAGAGCUUUUACUAAAACAAUUUUAGUUGUUUGGUUGUCGAUGUAAACUUUUAUUAAAAAUUAUAAAAUUAUUUUAAUAGGUAAGUUUUUUUAAAGGUAUAUUAUGAAAUGAAUGAAAUAAGAUUAUCAAAAGCCCAAUUUUGAGCUCUCCGAGUUAAGGCAAAGUAACUUAUUUGAUCUUUAAAAGUUUUAUCCAGAUAAGUCAUAUCAAACAAGCACUUAGAAUUUUAUUCAUUAUAAGAAGUCAUAGCAUUAAAAUUAAAAGUCCUGAAAUUUCCUUGAACCCGCCCUCGAUACACAUUAUUUGUUGUUGUUCGUUUAUUGGAAUAUUACAUUAAUUUUGACUUAGGGACGGUUCAAAUUAAACAAUGUGAUAGCAGGAAUAUUUGGUUUAGGAGAUAAAUGAUUUGGAAAAUUGCAAAAACAUUAUUUCACUUUCAAGUUUUUUUUUUUAAUUUUUAACUGUUCAUAUAACACCACAAAUCUAACGCCCACAAAUUGUUAGUUAGACUGACCUAAAUUCAAUUACAAGUAAAUAGGUACAAAAACACCAUUUUGUGACUAAUUGUCGGGACAAAAAUAUUAUUUUCUUAUUAAUUGACUUCUUCCGUUAGUUAACAGUAUAAGGUAGCGUUUGUUUUUUUGUCUGAAAUCUAAAUGGAUCUGAAUUUAUCUAAAGUUUGAAUGGGUCUGAAUACGAAAAUUUAAAUGACAUGUUUUUUUUUUAAUAUCUAAAUAUAUGUGGCAUCUUGUUUGUUUUUAUAAUAAAAAAACCUUAAAUUUGGUUAUUUGACAUUUAUGUCCUUGUAAAUUAAAACAAAAAAAGAGGAUUAGAUUUUAUAGUUUAGGAAAUAAGUUAUUUUACCGAGAUAUUUUUGGAAUAUAAUAUUUACUUGUCAUUAAGAUAUUUUUCCAUUCAGAUAAAAGUCAUAAAAGUUUACUUUUUUUAUUCAGAUGUAAAUGUCUGAAAAUCAGACAUAAAUUCCAAAAAAUAAAUAAGUAAAUUUAAAAAAAGGUCUGAAAUUAAUAAAAUUUCAGACUUCAGACAUUUAACAAACAACUUCUAAGUUAAUGGAUUAUUCUCUAAUCGAGUAUUUUUUAAAUAUAUAUCACUUUUUUUUAAAUACGUCAAAAUAAGUGUCAUUGAUGGUAAUUCAUUAUAAAAUAUAUUUUUUUUCAAUUUUACCCUUGAUCUGUUAGAAUUAACAAUAAAAAUUAAUAGAUUAUAUAAUCAAAUGUUUUUAAAAAAUGUGUCAUUAUUAUAAAAUUUAUCAAAACAUGUGUCAUUCAAAUGUAAUUAACCCUUUUAUAAUCAUCUAUUAGUUGUAAUGGCUUGUCUUAAUUUUCUGAAGGCACAUGGGCGCCAUGCUCAUUCAAUUGAUAGAAAUUUGAUCAAUUCUCUAACUACUAAGCGAAUAUUGUAUAAAAAAGACGCCAUGUUCAUUAAAUUGAUAGAAAUUUGGUCUAUUUUCUAACUUCUAAGCGAAUAUUGUAUAAAAAAAUAUCAUGAUCAAGCUGAAGGUUGACAAAGUGACAAGAAUAGUCUGAUCAGGUGUUCCGUGCCGUUUUUGUCUUGAGAAUUGAAAAUCAGCCUCAACCGGAAGGAGUUAGCUUAAAAAAACAAAAACCGAGAAAAACGGCACAUCAUUUUCAAGCUGAUCACGACUCUUCUUACGGUGUUUGGUUGAGAGAAGAAAAUGAAGGAGGGAAAAAUAAUUUAAAUUUAAAUUUUAUUUUUAUUAUUUAUUUAGAUAAAAUUUAAUUUUUAUUAAAAUUUAAUAUCCAUCGUAAUGAAAAAUUUGAAUUUCAUACCAAGGGGUAAAUAAUUCAAAUUUCUCUUAUGUUGGAAACUAAAACUUCUAAAACUACCUUUCAACUUUUUAACUUGUUUAAUGCCAUUAAUAAUCAUUAUUUAUAAUUUUAUUUUAUCAAUGUAAUAUUAUAAAUAAUUUUAUAUUAAUAAAAUUUAAUGAGUGAUUUAAGAAACUUAAUUAAUAAAAUAAAUGAACUUAUUUAUUUUGUUUAUUUAAUGAAAAAUAUAUAAAUACAAAUUAAUCAUCGCUGAAAUUCUACUGGAACUCAUGCGAACUAUUGCCGUUGACUGUCGCCAGAACGCCGUUGUGUGUGUGUGCAUAAUUCUAAUAAAUCAUAAAUUGUUUUAGGAUUUUUUGACAUUAAAAAAGUUUGGUAUUGAUAUUAAAUUAUAUUUCAUUACUAAUAUAGAUAGUUUAAUAUUUAAAGCAAAAGAUAAAUUUGUCCAAAAAAAGAAUUGUAAUUCCUCUUCUUAUUAAAUUUUAUGUCAAACUUAAUAAUGAAAUUUAAUUUUACCAUUCUCCUUCACUCAUUUCUUAUCCCUUACCCUCCAUUCUAUUAUUUUUCUCUAUUCCCCUUUCUUUAAACCAAACAAGGCCUUACUAUAAUUUGGCUCUUAGUGCGCAGAAGGAAUAUUGCAAAUGGAUUAUCUCCCCCCUCCCCCCCCCCCCCCCCCCCAACAAAAUGGUUUUUCUCUAUUAAUUUUUUUCUAAUAAAUUAAAUUAUCGGUAUUAAAUUUUGAAUUUGAUAUUAAUAACUUAAUUAAUUUUUUCACUACAUUUAGAAAAAUAUGAGAGAGUAAAAUAAUAAAUACAACAACAACAACAACAACAACAAUAAUAAUAAUAAUAAUAAUAAUAAAAGAAUCAUAAUUUAUAUUGCACAAGUUAUCUCAAUGACUCGUGAGUCGUGUCGUUUUUCGUGGGUGGGUGACUUGGAUUUAGCCUCAUAUGUCACUGCUCGCGUCAUCUGAAUUUCUCUUUCAUUUCCCACACAUAAUAACAGCGAUUAAUUAAGAAGCACUGAAGCACAAAGCCGCGAACCAGAUUUGUCAUCAAACCUAGUAAUUGCAGAUUACAAAGCUUGUACCAACAACCAAAAAUGAGCUGGUGGUGGGCUGGGGCAAUUGGCAAUGCCAAGGUAAAGACUUAUAAUUAGAUCAUCUCUUUCAAUUGCUGUGCUUGAAAAUUUUAUUCUUAUUAAUUCAUACUUUUAAAAUCUUGAGUUUAAUUUUCAUUUUAAAUUACAGAAGAAAUUCGAAGAAAAUGAGCGACCACCGCAACCUCAAGACUACCAGCACGUGGGACUCCUGAUAGGCGUUACGGGAAUUGUGGGAAACAGCCUAGCUGAGAUUUUGCCCCGACAGGAUACUCCCGGGGGCCCGUGGAAGGUCUACGGAGUGGCCCGACGCCCCCGGCCCGACUGGAACGCCGAUCACCCGAUCGAGUACAUCCAAUGCGACGUUUCCGACGAAGACGACACGCAAGCGAAGCUCACAAAACUCACCGACGUCACCCACAUCUUCUACGUGACGUGGGCCAGCCGUCCCACGGAAGCCGAGAACUGCGAGGUUAACGGCGCCAUGCUUCGCAACGUGCUCCGUUCCGUUAUCCCGAACGCGCCAAAUCUCCGCCACGUCUGCCUCCAAACAGGAGCGAAACACUACGUGGGACCGUUCGAGUCGUUCGGCAAGAUACGGCCUCACGACACGCCUUUCACCGAAGACCUGCCAAGACUGAAUGUGCCAAACUUUUAUUACACUCAAGAAGACAUAUUGUUUGAAGAAGUUGAAAAAAGAAAGGGGCCGUUGUCAUUGACUUGGUCCGUACACCGGCCUCAUGUAAUAUUUGGGUUUUCACCGUAUAGUUUGAUGAAUGUUGUGGGCACUCUGUGUGUGUAUGCGGCUAUAUGUAGACAUGAAGGGGUUCCUUUACUGUUUCCAGGGAGUAAAGAUUGUUGGGAGGGCUAUUCGGUUGCUUCGGACGCGGAUUUGAUUGCGGAGCAACAGAUUUGGGCGGCGGUGGAUCCGUAUGCCAGAAACGAAGCUUUUAACUGCAGCAAUGGGGAUGUUUUUAAGUGGAAGCAUUUGUGGAAAGUAUUGGCUGAGCAGUUUGAGAUUGCGAAUUAUGGGUUACCAGAGGAGGGCGACAGAGUGAGAUUGGAGGAAAUUAUGAAAGGUAAAGAAGGUGUGUGGGAGGAGAUUGUGAGAGAGAAUCAGCUGCAGCCCGCAAAGUUGAGUGAGGUGGCUGUCUGGUGGUUUGCAGAUUUGAUGUUAGAUGGAGGGUUUUUGUUGUUGGAUAGUAUGAAUAAGAGCAAGGAGCACGGAUUCUUGGGCUUCAGGAAUUCUAAGAAUUCUUUCGUUAAUUGGAUUGACAAGAUGAAAACUUACAGGAUUGUGCCUUAGAGGAGUGAUAUUCUGUGAAGGUUGUAAUUGUUGUUUGGUGAGUAAAAUGGUUAUUAUGUUUCCUCAAUCAUGAAUCAAUGGUUUUUUUGUCUGACAUUGAAAAAUCUACAGUCUCUUGUCACAUCUGUUUUAUAAAAAUAAAAUUGGGGACUUGUUAAUUUCUGUUUCUUUGUGUUCAUCGGUUCAUCCCGGCUUUUCUUUCAUCUUCCUUGGCAUCACCAAUCACUUGUAAUAAUUGCACAACAAAACUGAGAUUUUAGAAAAAUACUUUUAUCGGACAGGUGUACAAUUCAUCCCUACCCCUAGCUUUCUAGCUCUAUAUUUUACAUCUCUCCUACUAUGUAUACCAAGGCCCUAAAUAAAUGAAACAAAUAAUGGAGACAUGUCGUCCCAUGCUUGAAAAAUGUUUCUCAUCAAAGAUAUAUACAUCACUGAUCGUUGAUAGAAACUCUCAGAUGUGUGUGGCAUGCAUAAUUAUUUAAUUACAAUGAAUCUAGUUAUUCAAUUGCAUAACCGAAUGAUCAAUAAGGCAGAAUCAAGCUUUUGUGGUAUUCUUGUGACAAAAUAUUCUGCUUUUUUCGUUUGAGAAGAUGACAAAAUAUAGAAUACUUAUUAAGUACUUGAAAAUACAGAGCUUGAUGAGACAGACAUUGGGGUUCCAACACCUUACCGCCAGCAGGUCCUCAAAAUCAAGAAAGUACUUGAAACAUGGGAUAUGUCGGAUGUUAAGGUAGGGACUGUUGAACAAUUUCAAUGAUAUCAGUGUGUAUUUUGUUGGUUGAAUUUCUCAGGUUUUUAUUUGCUUUCAUGGAAACAAUAGUAUAAAUAUCUGUCAGGACAGAGCUCAUCGUGAUGACAUUGACUGAUGAACAAUUGUUGCCAUCUUGUAUGAUUUGAUCCACAUGAUAGUGUUACAGAGAUCUAUUUAUGGCUUGGCGUUGGUUAAUGAAAAAUCUAAUUCAUCCCACAUCGGAACAGUAUGGGAGUGCAGCUACGACAACAGCUAUAAAUAAUGAGUGCUAAUCAACUGAAAAACAUACUUACCUGGACGGGGUCAAUGGGCGAUCAUGAAGGCCCAUGGCCUAGGUUGGUGGCCUCCAUUGCACUUGGGAGGUGCACCCGCCUAAGGUCAGCCCAAAGUGGUUGAGCCUACGUCAUAAUUUGUGGCAGUGGGGGCCUGCGUUCGCGCGGCCCCCUCCCCAACUCAAGUCAAAAUUUAACUACCUUUGUGCGACAUCGUCUCAACAGCUGUCUUUCAACUUACAAUUAUAUUCUAAGCGAGUUUCAUAAUCCUGAUCAGCCUGAAAAUCGAUUGUACAUUGUCGUCUGGUUGUGACUAGUGCCCUAAGGGUGUCACAGUCAGAUCUUUGCUAAAGUCAAGGCGUAUCUUAGUGUACUUACCUAAUAAGAUCCUAAUUCAGGUUUAUUUUAUUAUUUUAAAAAUUGAAAAAAAAACUGAAUAAUUAUAUUUGCUCACCUAAAAUUAGUUUUUCUUUAUUUUCUUGUUUAAGAUGUAGGAUUUUAAUAUUUUUUAAUUAUUUAAUAUUAAAUCUUGAUCGAAUUUAGACCUCACUGAGAUUUAGUUAAGAACAUCUCCAAAAACCUCUAUUAAUUUUACUCUUUAAAUAUAUAUUUGCUUACAUAUGUGGUAAAUAAAAGAGUGAAAAAAUAUGUUAUUAUCUAAAAACUCUUCAAAUAGAAAUAAGUUAAUAUUAUUUUAAUCAAAUAAUUAUUUUUUAAAGAAAAAGUCAAUAGCAAUUAAACCACUCUCUCUCUUUCUCUAAUGAAAAAUAAUAAAAUAUAAAUUACAGAAAGAGAAAUCAACUCUCCAAAUUUGAAGAGAGAGAAUCAUCUUUUAUUUGAAAAAUCUUAAUUGGAGUAUUUUUUGGAGCCUUAAAUAUUGAUGUGGCUCUUCAAAUAAGUAAUAAAAAUCUUAUUUGAAGAGCCUUUUGGUGAUGCUAUAAGGAUUAUUCUCUAUUUUGAAAGUUAAAUUUCCAUCAAAUAAGGUUGUUUGAUGAUUUCUACUUAAAAAAAAAAAUUCAAGGCAAUUAAAAAUUAUUAUGCAGAAAAUCUGUUAACGGUUUAUAUAUGAAAAAAAAUUAAUCAUAGAUAUUUAUCAUAAAAAUUUCAACCAAUCUCAUGUUAACUUUCUUUUAAAUAAAAAUUUUGCCUAAGACGUAAAAUUUUAUUGCGCCAACCUUAACCCAUAGUUUAGGAUGGAUAGAUUUUGUUGACUUUUUUACCAUAGGUACAAUAUGAGUGCCUUAACUGACUUGGAUCCUUAUUAUCCUACUACGUGUAUGGCCUAAAUUGACUAUAAAUAAAAUGAGACUAGAAAUGUAUUUAAUAUUCUAAAAGCUUGUCCGAAAUUGGCUACAAACAAAAUAAGAGCAGAAAUGUAGUUAAUAUUCUGAAGUUGGUAGUUGAUUACAAUUAUAAUCAAUCAUUGUUCUCUUUAUUAUCAUAAUUUCUCGCACCCAAUGGAGAAAGACCGUAUAAUCGGGUCCAUUUAGGUGAUGUCGGGGUUCAAGAAAGAUAUUUUAUAUUUUAUCUCAAACGAUAUGUCAUUUAUUAAAUAGUUAAUAAAUUAAUGAAUAUCACAUCAAUUGUAAUAAUUUUUGGGAUAAAAAAUUAAAAAUAUAUAAAAUUACUCUUUUUAUGCGGAGAUGGAAGCUUGCAAUUUAUCAUGUUCCAAUCUUGAAGACCAUGGAAGAACGUGGACAAAGAUUGAAAAAAAAAUUGUCACUUUGUACCCAAAAAAUAAUUCUAAAGUUUGUUUAAAUGAUCAUACAACACUUAGUUUCAUAAAUGGUUACAUAAAUAUUUUAUUAUUAUUAUAGUAUUAUACCUUUUUGCAACUAUACCCAAAAUUGGUAUAGUAAAUACAAAAUGUCAUUUUCUAUGGAGAGAUAUUUGAGGAUCGCAAAAAAACAAUGCCGACCACCUAAAAAAUAUAGGUACGAAAACUAUAUUUAUUAGAAUACUAUAUUUAAUUAUUUUCAAUCUGUAUUUUUAUCUUUGUAUAUGGUAUAUUGGCUUUUCAAUUCAACCACUCUACGAGUUUCUUUGAGAUUGAGGAUGAACACUAUAAGUAGAUUAUUUUAUAAGUUUUUACAAAAAUGAUAUUUGGUAAAUUUUCUAAAAACUGCUCAUUUAAGAAGUUUCUAUAUUUUAACAACAGCUUUUAAAAGUAUAUAUGAGAUUGCAAAUAAACUUUUCCUAUUUUGAUUUCUUAUCUUUUUUAUAAGCAUCUUAUUAGACAAGUCAUCACAACUAAUAUUAAUAUUUUAACAAAAUAACAAUUCUGUCUUGUUUUUUAAAUAAAUCCUAAUAUAUAAAUAAAAGAACAUUUAUAGUUUAAACUAACAUUUAUUUCAAUCUUUAUAUAAUAAAACAAUCGUUUCACAAUAAAAUUUAACAAUUACAUAUAUUCUACUUUUCAAUCUUAUAGCAACUACAACAAUACAAUAAAUUAAACACGAAACUACUUAGUCAGCAACUUAUUUCUAGUCGCUUAUCAGCCACUGCAAUCUCAUAACUGGUGCUAAGCCAUUGUAAUAAUUCACCUACAACAAUCAAAACUCUGAUAGGAACUAGGCAACAACAUCGUUUAUUAAUUAGUAUAUAUUAACAAUCAAUGAAAAUAAUAAGUCUUGGGCCAUGACUGAUAACCUGCUUUAAACAAUUUUCAUAAAACCCAAAAGUCAAAACAUAGAGGCAUGAGUGUUGUUGAAUCGUGGAGUGAAAAAAACUAUCAAAUUCAUCUUUUCGAGCUAAAAAGCCAAACAAAUGCCGAGGGCGGAGCUAAGAAUUUAUGGUGCGUUUACUUUAAUGAGGUGGAAUAGUAAUGAGAAUGGGUUAUGAGAAAUGUAAAUGAAUUCAAAUGUUUAUUUGGUAAAAAUAAAUGAGAAUGAGAAUGUGUUGGAAUGUUAUUAAUGUGUUUACUUGACAAAAUAAAUGGGAAUGAGGAAUGAGAAUAAGAAAUGGGAAUGAGGAAUGAGGAAUGAGGAUGAGAAUUAAUUUACCAAAAUACUCAUAGCAUUAAAUAAUGUAAUUUUCAUUAACUAGAUACAUGUAUAAAUAUUAUUUUAAAAAUGUUAUUAAUUAAAAAAAUAAAAUUAAUAAUAAUAAAUGUUAAUAACGAUAAUAUUAAUAAAAAUAAAAAUAACAAUAAUUAAUAGUAACUAAAAUAAUAAAGUUAAUAAAAUCUAAUAAUAAUAAUAAUGACAUUUAAAAUAAUAAAAUUAAUUGUGAUUUGAACGAGAGUAAUUCAAGAAAUAUGAAAAAAAAUUAGAGGGAUACAAAAGUCAGUUCAGGGAAUGAGAAUCCCCAUUACCAACUCCCCAUGAGAAUGUGAUUUUUAUUCCUUAUUCUCAAAUUGUGUGGGUCCUACACAUUUUAUUCUCAUUCCCAAAUUAUAUUUUGUCAAGUAAUACAUGUGUUUCAUUUAUAUUCAUUCAUUCUCAUUCCCUAAACUCUCAAGUAAACACAUCAUUAAUUUAACCGGAGUCAUAAUAGAGGAAUUAAAAAAUUGACUAGGUUAUAGCAUAAAAUUUAUAAAAUUGAAGAGGCAUUAAAAUGGAGAUUAUAAUAGUUAAAUUUAAAUCAUAAAAUUUAGUAUACCAUAAAAAAGGUCAAAGAAAUAUAUUUUUUUAAAACAUGCAUGCAUCCAUGGUUCCGCCACGGUCAUACCCUAACGCAAACUUAAGACCGGUCUUAACAACGCCAGGUUUUUAAAGGGAGAUGGAGGAAAGAAAGAAAUACUCACUUGAUUCGAGUGCCCUCAAUGCCCCCGUAGACUUGACUCAUGAAUCAGUAGUUACAAGUGAUCGCGUGGAAAUUGUCAACUUGCUGGGCUAAUUAUGCAAUAAUCGUUACGUGUUGUUAUAAACUUAUACUCAACGCAAAUAAGUUGUUGUUUCAGUUAACAAAUUAUUCUAAUUAAUUUUAAGAAAACAUUUAUAUCCGAAAUUGUUUCAUAAUUUGAAUUGGGCAUCAUCAACUAGCAAAUAAUUAAGAGUCAUCAAUAUUUGAAAUGGUAAGAUGUUAAUAGCGAUAAAACCGAGCACGAUUAAUAUUAUAAAAAAAAAGCACAUAACAUGAUGGAUAAUAAUACCAGCAAGAAAGAUCAAUUAUCUCAGAUUAUUAUAAUAAAAUCAGAACAGCACCGAUAUUCAGCACACAAUAAGUACCACAGUAAGCCCCGAACGGUGCGUUUUGUGUGCAAUAUAAAAGGCCACUGUUUGAACAAACAAACACAUUACACGCGCAUCUCACGCUCGCAUUACUCUCACUCUCAUUCACACCAAACCCACUCCUCAUUCAAGCUAGAAAUCUGUACAACUAAUUCUCCCAAGGCAUUUUCUGUUUUACUUGUGGACUGUUCCUCACGGUGUGAAAUCCGUCAGCUCUCUCACGGUAUAUCAUCCUCUUAGCUGUGUGAGGAAUUGAGUUGCAUCUUGGUGAUUGACUUCACUCAUCGUCGAUUGCGGCAAUCAAUUUCUGCAGGUAUGCAUUGGAUGCGUAUAUGCUACAGAUUAGGAGUUAUAGAAUCUUUGUUCAAGACGACUAGUUAAAUCCUAGAUGCACUAAUUGCGAUCCAGGAUAUACUUUUUUUUAAUUUCAUUGAAAAUGAAAAAAAAAAAAAAAAGAACGCAGCCCCCAGGCCACGGCAGCAGCCCAUUUCACUUUAGUUUCAAUUUGCAACCCAUUAUUUUAAUUUAAAUUAAGUUAAACAAAUUACUUAAUGAAAUGGAAAAAUAAAAAAUCAAGACAGUGAUCGGCAUUUUAUCAGUAACGAUUUGGCAUGCAUUUUUGUCCCAAUUAAAGACGACAGAGAAGAGAGAGACCAACGGCGGGAGACCCACGGCCAGAGACCAAUGCCGAGCACCACUGCCUGAGAAAGUUUGAGAAUAGAGACGACAGAGAAGAGAGAGAGCAGACCCACGGUGAGAGACCAACGGUGAGAGACCCACGGCCGGAGACCCACGGCCAGGGACCAACGCCGAGCACCACUGCCUGAGAAAGUUUGAGAACGGAGAUCAAAGAGAGACACGGCAAGAGAAACGGUGAGAUUUCUGUGAUAGCAUGGAGAAAAGGUGUGUGUCGCGUGAGAUUUAUUGCUCGUGUGUUGUGGUGGCUAUGUGUGUAUCACGUGAGUUGGCUCAUUUUAUACUAUGCCCAAAACGCACCGUUUGGUGCUUAUUGUGGUGCUUAACGUGGGAAGAGUCUCAUUUUCCAAAUCAGAAAGGUAGUGGCCCAGCAGGGCCAAGUGGGCGACCAACUUUGGCCCGCAGCAGGUCAGGUCCGUUGAAGGAUAAAGACGGGAGUAUCAAAAUGAAGUGACUGCCCGAGAUUUCAUUUAGCCAUGAUCCUGAUCACGAUCCUAAUCAUGAUCAAGGAGACAAUUAAAUAUAAUUAAGUGGGGUAUGUAUGAAUGGUUAAGGAUUAGAAAGUAUGAACUGGUAAGCAAAGGCAAAUGAAAAGAAGAAAUUGAGAAGAAACAUCAACGUCGAUGUACAAUUAUGUAUUAAUUGUAGUAGCUGACUUAUCUUUUUUUUUUUUUCUCUUUCUCCCCCACCUCCUAAAGUCGGAAAACGCCAACAUUAUGCAUGGUUUGCACAUGGACUCCAUGUCUCUUUCAUGUUUUGUUUAAGAAUGAAACUCAAAUGAGGACAUCCACAUGAGUAUGACAAGUUAUUUAUGAGAUAAUCGAGAAAUUGUCAAGUUAGCAUCUUUCAUGCUGGUUAAGUCAGAUAUUGAACGGUACGACAUCAAUUAUUUGUAAGGCUAUGGUUAUCUUUGAGUUAGCUCCAACGUGAAGUAUUCAUUCACAAUCACAUAAUUAAAAUAAUAAAUAAUAAAAGGUGCGUAAUAUUUUAGUUGUGUGGUUGUGAAGGAGUGCUUUACGGUAGAGUAACUUCAACAUAACCGGAACCUAUUGGUAAAUAUCAUGUAUAAAUAAUAUUUUUUAAAUUUAACAUACUUGUGUUAAAUGUAUAAAAUUUGAAAUUUUAUUAAUUUUAGAUUUUUUCGAAAAAAAUUUAUUUAUUUUUAGUAACUUAUGUUUGAUUUUUAGAUAUUUGUAACUAAAUAUAAAAAAUAAACUUUUGUGACUUUUAUCUGAAUAGAAAAAUAUUUAAACAAGAAGUAAAUAUUAUAUUUCAAAAAUAUCUUUAUAAAAUAUUAUUAAAUUAAGUGCGAAAUUAAAAAUGAUAUUAGUUAUUCAUGGAUCAUAAAUCUUUGGAAAUCCCUUGUUAUUAUUUAUAGAAGGGACGAAUAUUCCUCAAAUAAUUCUGACAGAGAUGGAAACAUAUACAAAUCAGGAAUGGGUACGAAGAUAUCGAUCUUCUCUUUCUCCUCUCCCCAUUACAAUUUAAGGUUUAAACGAAAAAGGAAGCAUGCCGUUUUUAUCAUGAUUAAGUAAGGACGCGUGUCACACGCGCGAUCAAGCUUUUGGAAAAUCAAUUGUGUUGGUUUGGUCUUGGAAAACCUUCGUUCUACCCUCUCUUUUGUUUCAAAGACUUGUAACGAGCAAAACUUACUUGGAAACCCUUGUACUACAAAAAUAGAAGUCAUGUUUGUUGGAUAGAUUUCCAGCUAUGUAUUGCAAUGUUGUUUGUUAAUAGCAAAUGAAUAAUUAAACGAUUUUACGUCAUUCUCAAACUUCAAUAAAAUUGAGCACGUAUACAAAAUAAAACUGAUCAAUAUUUCAAAUUUCGAAGAUCAACAUGAUCUAUAAUACAUAACAACUAGCAAUAUAUAAAUAUCUUCAAGGGCGUGAUUGGGUUAGUUGUAGUGUAGUUGUAACCUCUAUUAAAAUCCGGAUUCAAUUUUUAGGGGUGGUAAGGAGGGUAAAACAUUAUAUUUGGGUUUGCCCACCCUCCUUAUCUUUUUUUUAAAAUAAAAAAAAAAUUACAGAAAGAUAGCUACCAAUACAUAAGAGAUCGAUGAACUAAGAUUAAAAAAUCAGAAGGGUGGGGUUCCACUUGGGCCAAGUGGCCCACCGACCAUUGGUCUGCAGUAGCUUUAAAAAAUGCAGCACAUAAAUACUACCACAAUAAUUAAUAAUGCCCGAAAUAAGUACAAAAAAAAAAUCAAAACUUCUAUUUGUAGGGAUAGCGACGGAUCGGUUUGCUUAUGUAUUAAACUAAACCGAUCAGUUUUUGCCCAAUAUAUAAACCAAAUUGAAUUGGUUCGGUUUGAUUUUUACAAUUCUUUUAUAUUUUUUUAGUUUUUUCAGCUUCCGAUGUUUUUUUUAACCAAUAAGUUUUUAUUAAUUUUUUAAAUCAAACCAAAUUGGAUUGAACCAAAUCACCGAUUCAAUUUUUUCUUGGCAUCAGUUUUUAUACCCACCCCUAAUUUUUUGUACCACCCAAUUCAAUUAAAGUUACCAUAAACAAAUAAGACGGAGAAUACCACCAAAAAAAAAAAAAAAAUGCAAAGUCUCGGCCCUCCUGACAGCAAACCCCAGCCUGGCGGCAUCUUCUUAUCUCUCCCUAAUUAGAGCUUUCUUUAUUUUCGUUUCCUUAGAAAUGCAAUGCAAGGAUAUAUAUAUAUAUAUAUACGCUGAUGGUUAUUGAUCAAGCAGAUGUAGAAAAUAUAUAGUGGUGUGUGUGUGUGUAGAUUCAAGAAAGCUUAAUGGUUAUGGAUUAGAAUUGUGGACUAGCAAAUGGAGAAGGUAAAUGGAAUUUGUUUAAAUGUAUAUGCUAGGGAACUUUUAUUUACACAGCCUGAUGUUCCAUUCCGAUAAUGAAAGACUAGUAAGUAGAAAGAACCAUUUACAUAUGGUUCAUGCAGUGCAUGUUCUAUCUCGAAAUUACACCAAUUAAGCGCUUCAUAUAUGAAUUCGAUAGGAUACAGGCGAGUCAAUUUGAUGAAAAGAUGAACAAAAGAAUGAAAAACAAAACGUAAAUUCAAAUUUCUCGGUUUGCGCUUCAUAUAUGCAUUAAACACAGAACACUUCUAAGUUCUUUGUACGUUAAUAUUUGCAACCAAUCGCUCUAUCAACAAUUAAACGACUCUUGAUAUAUAUCUAUUAAUAUUAUUCGAAGAAUUUGAGUUUCUCUGCUGCAAACAAUAAUGUUUGGCAAACGUAGGACAUUAUAUUUAUUUGUAGGAUGAUUUAUAACAAGAGAUUUCUUAUACAUAUUUUAGCUUUCCUUUUGCUAUUGUAGCUGUCUUACUAUUUUGAGGGGUAAGGUUCAUUAUGUCUCCCCCAACUAGGUAUAAAUUAUUUUUUAUUUUCAAUAAAAUUACCUCGCUCAAGUUUUAUUAAAAAAAAUUGUCUAUUUAAUUAUUUUUUAUUGUUAGGAGGUCCGUCAAAACUUAAAUCGAUCUUUUUAACCUCCCAUCUCUCCAAACUAUUUGAAAACUACUUGAUCUAAGUCCAGGACUUUAAUUCCAACAUAUCUUGAUAAUAUAAUAUGAGUAAUAAAUUGACACUUACUUGGCAAUUAAUUUAAUUAUUAAAAGAUGUCACACGAUUAGCAUUUUGAUGAUUGAUAAACCACAAAGUUAAAUAACACUAUACACAUCAUAAUUAAUGAUAUGUGAAACAAUGAUUUGAGACAAACUAUAUUAACCCCAGUUACGUAAAUGUAAUAUAAUAAAUUAUUAUCGUACAUUAUAUUUCGAAUCCAUCCUUUACACCGUAAGAUCGAAUUAAAAAGUACCAAAUAAAUUAAUGGUUAAUUAGCAUCAUUUUCAUCCGAUUAAGCUUUCAUAAAAUAACAAUGAACAACACCAUCCAAUAACUCAUAAAUAAUAAAUCAUAAUUAACUAUCUUAAACAAAUUCCUUAACAAUUAAAACUACUGUCUUCAUUGCAUAAGCAACAUCAGAGUAAAAGUAAAGCAGUACACAGAACUCUAUGACAAGGUGGCAAUUGGCAUGCAAGAUGAUCACGGAGGUGGUGGGCUGAGCUCAGCUGGGCCAGGAGGUCCAGGUGGGCCCAUUGGACCACCAAGGCAGCCUUGUAGCAACCAGCAGCAGUCAUAACAGACCCAACGACAAGCAAUCAAAUACCAGUAUUAGCUUUUCAGCCACUAAAGAAUCAUUUUUGUCAGUUCGUCAAUUUUUUCGUGAUUGUUCAGCUGCAUCUAAAGUUCCCAUUUUGACACGUGUCAGUGUAUCUUAUAGAACACUUCAACGGUGGGAAUGGGAUUCAAGUCUAAAAGAACAGCAGAUGGAGAAUUUUGAUUUUUGAAAACCUCAACAUCUAAAUUCGAUGUUUAAUUACUUUCCAUGAACCGAUAACUUCACAAAAGCCACCGAAAGAGUCCGGCGGUCCAAGUAGUGGUGGACCCCACGCAGGUGGCCCUCCAGGUCCUCCCGGUCCCAUUGCUAUUUGUUGAUUACUGUUGCCGGCUCUUUAAGCAAAGUUAGUUAACACCAAGGAAAUUAACAAGAGACUUUCAGAAGUCCAAAUUCGCUCUUGCUUGUGUAUAUAGAGAUGCAAAAUGUUUUUAUGUUAAAUGAAAGUGGUACAAAUGCCAGAAGGUUUCUUGUGUUUAUAGAAAGUGCAUGCUUAGGAUUUAAGCAUCCAUCUUUGUUGUCACAUUUGCAUCAAACACUUUCCAACUGGCUAGACUUCUAUAUCUACAUUGAGAAAUGAGAAUGAUAGCUUUUACCCAUCAAAUGCUCAUUCAAUAAAUCAUCUUACCACAUGCACUUUCAUUUUUAUAAUUAACAAUCACAAUAGUGAUUUUGAUAAUUCAAGUGUUAAUCUCUGCAGUUAAAACCUACUAACAACAGUUAAAACUUACUAACAACCUAUGGAGGAUUUGUAUCCUACAGAUAUGACAGAGUGAUUUUUAAAUAAUUUUAUUUGAUUGGCUAGCCGGCUUCAAAUCUUAAGAGAAAUAAAGGAUUUAAACAAAAUGAAUUUAGUCAAAAUGAAUCUGAACUUUACUCACCGCAUUGGAAAAAAAAAAAAAACUACAAAAGGUUUAUCGACAAAAAUCUUCAGUGAUAAUCAAUUAGAUUAUAUUUUACUUUCCGGAAGAUGACAUGUCUCAAAGAGGUUUAAGCCAAGAAAUUUCAAAAACGCAACAACAGAUGAACGGGUGUGAUUAGAAGUGCCACAGAGAAAUGAAAAGAAUACUAUAACUAAUACAUCUAUAAAUCUCAUUUCCAUGAUGACAGUAGCAGUGGGUUACCAAACCCAAUUGAAUUAUAUAUAUAUAUUUACUCGAAAAUUAGGUUAGAGGGAAAACUGAUUAUACAAAUUGUAUAGAAAAAUGGCCAAAAAAGCCGCCUUUCGCCUCUGUAUAUGUCAUGUUAACUAGUAUUCUCUUCCAGAUAAUUCAUCCCUAUACAACUCUGCAAAUCACAAGAAUCCUUCACGAAAU